This 137284-nucleotide long non-coding RNA is filed under the name Triticum aestivum (bread wheat). Its description in RNAcentral is "long non-coding RNA (TAES_LNC010384)". Lineage: Eukaryota; Viridiplantae; Streptophyta; Magnoliopsida; Poales; Poaceae. The record is from RNAcentral.
ACAGCAGUGAUUACGAACACAUACACAUGAACUGGUAACAAACUUGCACACAAUCUGACUAACAAAAAGAACACAAUACACGUGAACUGAUAAUCCGCACGGCUAAUGGCAGAGCUUUGUUGCACCUAGGUUCACCCGUUUACUGAUAGUAGAACUUCUCAGUUGUAUUAAUUCAGACUGAUGUUUAAAUUUUCACCAUUUUGUCCUACAUAUUAGAAUACUAAGAACAUAUAUUUACAGAAGAUCCUGCCAAUACAGAGUUACAGAAUAAAUUCUUUGUCCAAUGACAACGUAAGAGUCACGACCAGUAAUCACAAACAACACUAUCUCGACCGCCGGGCAUGUGUGUGCGGCAAGGGGAUGCAGAUACUCCGAUGAUAGAUGUGUUGAGACAACAAGCUCACGCAGGAGGCCUUGAACUGCUUGCCUGUUGCCAUUGAUGGCUAUGGAUCAUGCAAAAUCCUGACCAAAAGAUCACAUUAUUUUCACGAAACUAAUCUCUUGAACUUGCUCCACGACAAUCUUUGAACAUCCUACAAGAACAGUCAUUAUUUUAAAGUUCACAUGAAUACCUACAAGCCAUGAUCACAAACAUUCCCAAAACAUUCUUUUAAAGAGUUAUGCAGCAAUAAUUAGAACCAGAAAAAUAGGGUGAAACUAUGGCAUCUACACUACACAUCAUCUAGACUGUAGCAACAACUGUUUUGCAUGAUCAUUGGCAUUUGGAGUAGCAUACAACAACUAGACGGAGAAGGGAGAAAGAGUUGGACCGGUGUGAACCCCAUACCUGGACAGGGACCGGAGGAAGUAAUGCAUGGGGCGGCGGGGGCUGUCUGUAGUCCAACCUCCCCCGUGCCGCAGUUCAGAGAGAAACAAAUUAGUAAGAGAAAAGAGUAGUAGAGAGGAAAGAGAUAUGGCAGAUGCAUGGACAGCUGCUGUUCUUUUUUGUUGAAGCACAGAUGAAGAAACUCCCAUAGGUCGCAGCUGAAGAAUAACAGUGGCUUCAUAACAAGUUUAACAACACAACAUUUUAGCAGCAAGUACGUGCAGGUAGAGGUCAUCCCAUGGAUUGGAUGGAAACUCGAUGCAUGAGCUGACCAUAAACCAAGGAAAGAGCUAAAACUUUUUAAUAAAUCAUAUCUUUAAAUAUACUUGUGCGAAUCUCCCUUUCCAGAACCAACCACCUCAGACAAAUACAUGCACAAGCUUACCUUCAUUUUAACCAUGGUAUUUUUCAGCAAAAAAAUGGUGUGCAUUAGCUCCACAUAAACAUGCAACUUCCUGCUUUUUCCAUCUUUAUGCGCCAAAUGCAAUGUGCAUUAGUAGUACCAAGUGCCUCAGCAUGGUGCCCUGGUCAGGGACGAUGCCGCUGGCGACGCACCACGGACGUAGAUAUAGAUGGACAACAGCCAGGCAGAAUGUAGAUAGCUCGUCACUUUGGCAUCAUUGCAGCCGACAUCCUUGUGGCCGCGCACGAGAUCACUACAGCAUUAGCAUGGACUCGCUACAGCAUUAGCAUGUCCAUGUUGUUGAACUGAUGAGAUUUUUUUCAUUGCACUGUUGUAACAUAAGGACUAGAACAACUAUCAAUAUAAAUUGAUGUUUUUUGUAGGUUUCUGAGAAUUAUAAUUUUUGUUUUGUAAAUAUAUAAAAAAAUUAAAUAGGUGUACUGCACCAUUACAUAAGUUUGCAAUGAACAUGUCCAUUAUAAUUACUGUAGCUUUUAUUUGACAACAGAGAAGUUUUUUAAAAAUUUGAUGAUUGUUUGGGCUAGACAUACCAAAACAAACACUUUAGGAAAGAAGAGUCUGAACUUCUUGUGCAUUUUCCCAUUGAUCUUCACUGAACUAAAAUUAGAAUUUGAACUCCAGCUUUCUUUUAAUAGAACAUGGUAAAUCCAUGUUGUUUGUUUUUUAACCAGAAAACUAAGCAAGAUUGCUCGCUAAAGGCCACAUAUUUUUUCAUAUAGUAAGACAAGUGAAAGAUAAUAUAGAUAACGGCCCAUAGGAGAAAGAAUUAGCAAAACUGAAACAAAAACAUAUGUUACCAGAACUAAAAGCAAUGGUUUUUCAAACCUUUGGCUGAGAGCAUGGUGCUCUAAUAUGAUUUUGCAUGUAUCUAAAACUCCACGGGCGACCUGAACUGAUGCAUAACAGUAUGAGUGCAGAAUUCUUGUAAGCAUAAGAAAAUACAUAGAGUGCACAUAUAAUUUUUUAGGAUUUCCUCGAUGUUCUGCACAUUAAAGUUUAUGUAUUGAAAAUAACGCAAAAUUUGAACUAAAAAUCAAGUAAAAGUUGAACUCUUGUAUAGUUCAAGUAACUGUUUUGUAGUUAUAUGUGUUAACCAUGUGCUACACAAUGAACUGGUACAUUUUUUAUUAGCGAAUUGUAGUAAUAUAGGUACUAGAACUUCUAGCAGUAUAUAUACAUCAUGUCAAAAGCAAAUAAUAGGCAUGAUCUCCACAAGACCAUACACUCCAACCAGCCACAAUCAUGCAAACAUCCCACUCUCUCAUAUCUUCAGAACAUAAAUACUAGUCAUGCAUGAUCUCCACAAUACCGAUAAAUUGAGUUGUUUCAAUAACACAAAUUGAACUUUUUCUAUGAUUAUUUUUUAACUGAUGAUAAAAUACAUAGUGAACGGUACACUUAUUGUAUGAUUUCUUGCAAAACCAUGGAAGUAUACUCUGUUCACAUCCAUUCUGUGACUUUGUUUCUAGAGAGUGGAAGAAUUUAGGACAAUGCAAAUAUUUAUCUAUAAUUUGGCCAUUUUAGUGUGGUCUGAACUGAAAAAACCUGAUAAGUGAUUUUCCAAAGCCAUGAAAGGAGUUGGAGGAGGCAGCGAUGGGGAACAAAGGGUUCACGACGACGCAUUUGGGAGCUUGAGGUAUGGAGGCACAUGGGGGCUGGUGGGACGCUGCACCGGCAGCUCGCAGUGGUAGUGGUUGUCGCAUGGCUUCCCGGGGACGCGGCGACCAGGGAUAUUCUGGAACUCUUUCCUGAACAUCUUAGGUCAUAACACAUAUAUUUUUGUUAUCUUUUUUAUAUAGACAAAACUUCCAAGUUUUCUCUAAGACACUCGUUGAACUUUUAACUUCCUAAAAGUUGAACUAUGUAUGGAUUCAUUAAACUUCCAACCAAAAUCAGACGAGCAUCACAAAUGCUACAUCAACAGUUUAGAAUCAGUGAGAACACAAGUUUAGUAACAUUGUCAGUUUAGUAGUACACACAAGCAAACAUGGCUGAAUCAUCAAUUUAGAGAUGAGAUCUUUAUUGUGGCUUCCAUUUUGAUAGUAGUACAUCAGUUGUUUUAAGAAACAAGAAAUAUGAACAAAAAACAUGUCUAGCUCCUUGUCAGCAUUUCAACAAACAUGUGUAGAGGUAUAUAAAAGAAAUUGAAUUAACAACAAUAUAUCAUAUGAACUUGUGGGAGCACAUUUUAUUUUUUCACUGCAUUUUUUCCACAACUUGUUGCAACAAAGCACCAUCUUUUGAGAGCAUAAUGGUUUGCAGAAUCAUGGCAGCUGGGACUAAAUUGUACUGCUGUGAAUCAAAACUUCAGAGACAACUAAACUGUACUGCUAUGCAAUCAAAAUUUCAGCUGCAAGCUAGCAAGGAUACGUGAUUCCAGAAAUGUCCCCCUACAUGUACUAGGAACUUUCAGAACCUGUACUGACAAUGAACUAUGGAUCAACGGCUAGAGGCGGAGGAGCUCCACCCGAGUGAGUCUCACAGCCCCACCACGUCGGCCAGAUUCACACCGUUCGACCCGCAGGAGGAAAAAGGUGGAGGCGGCUACAGGAGCUGGCAGAGGAUGGCGGUUGGCGGCGCCGGGAGCCGGAGAGGUUGGGGACUAGGCGUCAUGGGGAUCCGGGGAGAUGCGGGCAUGCGGCGCCGGGAUCCAGGGAGGAGGUAGGGGCAGGGUGGCGCCUGGAUCCGAGGAGGUUGGAGGUUGGGGGCCGGGCGGCGCCAGGAUGGGUCUGGGGUUCUUAGAAAAUCUUGGCAUGCUUUUACCAUGAGGCACCUUCUCCCUGACGUUGAAUAGAAGAAUGUAGAUAAAGAAACAAUUCAAUUUGUUUCUAAAAAAAGAAUUGAACUGAACAAAAAUUAGAUAUUGAACUAAACUAAAAUAAAAACUAGACUAAAUUAAAAUAAGAAAUGAAACUUCACUAGAAUUUGAAAUUGAACUGAAAUAAAAUAUUAACUUUUCUUGCAUAUCCUGACUUGAACUUUUCUCCUAGUGAAUUUUUUGUUAAUAUUUGUUGUGUUCUUUAUUUUCUACGCUCUUGCCUCUGAACUUUCUCGUAGUGCAAAAUUUGUAUGCCACGAUUAAAACAAACAGAGGUAUACGUGAGCAUUGUAGCAGCGGAGAUCUGAACUUAUGUGCUUAUCACAUUUGAGCUUCAAUAACCUUUUUCAUAGAUCCAAAAAAAAUACAACCACAUGGACCAACACAUUUGGAGGGAGAAACUAUAGACGUACAUCAUGGGGUAGCAAAUAAUAUGAACUCCAGGCACAACAUUUUUUAACUUCUUUUUGUAUCUUGCAAACUGAAAAUAAGAAGCAAAUUAGAACACAAAGUAAGAAGAAAGCAGAGCACUAGUGCUUGUGUGGCAUGGAUCUGUCAACCCUUUUGCAUCCUAGCUCCAGCCAGCAUGAGCUAGCACCUCCUGGGUCGAGCUACAGUAGUGCAACACAACGUAUCAGAGAGAUAAAAAGGUGAGUAGAAGCAUGUAUAGGAAGGGGAGAAAGCAACUACAACACACGAGCAUCCACCGACAGAGAGAGAGAGAGAGAGAUGCAGCAAUGGCUGGACAUGCGCAUUCUCAAUGGACGGAUGGUAGCCUGCUUUGUUGGGCAAAGACGGUGUCCCUCACUGUCAGGCACCAGCGACGGGGCGCGACAGUGCUCGGGGGUCCCAGAGCAACGCGAUGUGGGUUGGCGGUCUAGGCAUCGGGGUGGCGACCGUGACGACUGUACUAACAGACUGAAUAAGAAGUUAAGAACUGGAGUGUCGGUGUCAAAACCGGCGGAUCUCGGGUAGGGGGUCCCGAACUGUGUGUCUAAGGCGGAUGGUAACAGGAGGCAGGGGACACGAUGUUUACCCAGGUUCGGGCCCUCUUGAUGGAGGUAAUACCCUACGUCCUGCUUGAUUGUUCUUGAUGAUAUGAGUAUUACAAGAGUUGAUCUACCACGAGAUCAAAGAGGCUAAACCCUAGAAGCUAGCCUAUGGUAUGAUUGUAUGUUGUCCUACAGACUAAAACCCUCCGGUUUAUAUAGACAUCGGAGGGGGUUAGGGUUACACAAGGUCGGUUACAAAGGAGGAGAUAUACAUAUCCGUAUUGCCUAGCUUGCCUUCCACGCCAAGUAGAGUCCUAUCCUGACACGGGACGUAGUCUUCAAUCUUGUAUCUUCAUAGUCCAACAGUCCGACCAAAGGAUAUAGUCCGGCUGUCCGGAGACCCCCUAAUCCAGGACUCCCUCGGGGAGCAAAGACCUUUGGAAACAUAUUUACAAUUUUACAUUAUAUGAUAAAAAACAAACUUAAUAUACCAUGCUAAAAAUUCAAAAUCUUCAGAGUUGAGUGCCUAUAACUGAACGUACAUCCCAUUUUUCUUGCAACGGAGUACCACAAUACUAACUUGUGGCCUGACUGUAAUCAAAUAGAACUCAUGGACUAUGCCCUUGCAACCACCUAAACAAGCCCCAGGGUAGCAAUGCGAUCCAACAGCUCGUUUAAGGAUGAGACAUCCGCCGGGUCCAUUUUUUCGGAGUAUUCAAGGCCGAUGCGGAGGUGAUGUUUGGCUGGCACGGGGGGCGUCGUCGGCUCGACAGCCGUGCGGGUGCCCACGGUGAAACCGCCAAGCUGGAGAGCCUGUCCCGAAGUUAGGCUCCUUCUAGAAGUGAUAUCAUUGUUGAUGACAAGGCAAGUCAUCGAUCCUUCUAUUGACAACACAAUGGAACUCUCAAUGAAAGCACCAAUGUCGGUGUCAAAACCGGCAGAUCUCGGGUAGGGGGUCCCAAACUGUGUGUCUGAGGAUUGAUGGUAACAAGGGACAAGUGGGACACAAUGUUUACCCAGGUUCGGGCCCUCUUAAUGGAGGUAAAACCCUACGUCUUGCUUGAUUGUAUUCGAUGAGUAUAGGGGUUACAAGUGUUGAUCUACCUCGAGAUCGUAAUGGCUAAAUCCUAGAUGUCUAGCCUAUGAGAAUUCUGAUAGUCUUUAAGGACUAAAUCCUCCAGUUUAUAUACACACUGGAGGGGCCUAGGGUUAUACAAAGUCGGUUUGUGGGGGAAGGUAAUAACAUAUCCGGACACCAAUCUUGUCGUCCACGCAUAUAGGAGUCCAACCCGGACAUGGGGGAAAGUCUUCUGCUUGUAUCUUCAUGGCCCAUUAGUCCGGCCCAUAUCAAAUAGCCCAGACACCCGAGGACCCCCUGAUCCAGGACUCCCUAAGCGGUGUACUAGACCGGCGAGCCUUUUAUUUUGGCAAAUCAAGCAACACAGAUAUUUUUCUUGGAAGACACAUAUGCACAUAGCGAUGACUUGAGAGUAUUCCAAAGGUUUGAGCAGAGGAAUUCGUUUAAUGAAUUUGCAUAACAAGAUGAUGCUUACACUGCUCCUGAUGUAGAAGAUUCCACAUAUGUUCCUAAUAUCUAUGAGAACCAUCACGUCAAUGACGCUCGGAAAGAUUGCAUGUCGGGCUGUGGACAUACAAGAGUUGCUCAAUAAGACUCCAACGUUUGAGGACAUUGAGGAUGAAGAAUAAGAUGACACUAUUUUGAAUUACAAUUCAGACUGAUACACAUGGGAAAGAUGUUGACGCUGCUGUUGCGGAUGAUGAUUAGAUUGCUUUUGUCGUAUUUGACUGUCAGAAGACGACUUUUUAUCUACUAUGUGAAAUCGUGUUUGCUAUGACAAUUGAAACCUGAUGAAGUUGUUGAGUAUUUUGUUGCGAGAACAUCACUUAUUGUGUAUGUUGAUUUGUGUUUGGUGAUUGUAUGACGACUAAAACAUGAUGACAUUGUUGUUUAGUUGUACUCAUAUUUGGCUAUGAAACUUGUAUUUGAUGACAUAGUUUGCUGUUGGACUGCAAUUUGCUCUAUGUCUUCAAAUGGGAACGAAGCUGACCUGACAGGGCCUCUGCUAAUUUAUUGAUUAGCAAAAGGGCCUCUGCUAUUUAUUUAUUUAGAAGAAAAAGGUGAUAACCCCCGAUUUCUGUUAAUAGAAAUAAUUAGAUGUUCACAACACUACACCCAGCCUGCUAAAUAGGUUUCAUUCAUUACUAGUUUUAGCAAAGUGAUCAUGUCAUAGCCACUGAAUACAUCAUGAGUGCUACAUACACUGCAAAUAAAGAGACAAUCAUCCUACAGAGCACAUUGAUUUUGCCCAUUAUCUUCACAAGCUCUUUCAUCUCCUCAUUGUUGUCAAGGUCGUUCAUCAAUUGUUGCUUGGCCAUGAUCAUAGGAACUGCAUCUUUAUCCUUCUGCUUUGUAGAUUCCUCUUCUGCUGUCCGUUCAGUUACUUGUCCAACACCCCAACCUGCUGGUAUUGGGAUUCCUCGGCUAACCAAAUAAUCAGCGUAGUUCCAUUCCCCCACAUCAGCAACUUCCCAAAAAUAAAAAUCACACGAAUAUUCCCUUUUCUGCAUGAAUCAAAUUGGAAGAUCAUCAACCAAACUAUUAAAAAAAUAGCAACUGAAAGCAGCCGAACAACACUUCAACAUAUUAUUACCCCAUGAUUCGGGCAUUUGUAGAAGACUCGACCAGGGUUGAGGAUUGUGGUUGAGACGCGAUGGAUGACUCUCCGUGAUUUGCAGCGGUGGCACCACACCAACGACAGCGGGUUGUGAUGAGCAACCGGCUGGGUGCGUGUGCCGGUGGGGGGUGUGAUGAGACACACAGGCGAUGGUACGGGUGGCGACUUAGUGCAUAUCUGGUUUUUGCCUGCUGAAGAGCAGGUGGACGAGCCGCCAACGGACAUGGUUGUUGCGGCCAGAGCUUUUGAUGCUAGGCAGAGUAAGUAGAGAAGAGGAGAAGCGAAUAUUGGAUAUGUUAGUUUCAUUACAUGCAUAGUAGCAUAGCACCAUAUAUAGUCAUAGUCUAGGUUUGGAUUUGAACCAGCUACAGGAGCAUGUCUCUCUUUUUUCUAAAACUCAGCAAUGUCUCUUUACUAGUACACUAGCUUGUUUUGUACGCCUUCUCAAGUCUUUGAUUUUCUUUUUUCUUUUUGCGAGGAAGGAAAGAGGAGAAAAUUGAGGGUUCCUGGGACUUGAACCCAAGACCUCUCGGUUGAAAACCAAGGGUGCUAGUCACUUAUGUGGUGAACGUUCCCUAGGAGGAGGACGGCAAUCGAUGCAUUUUCCUGGCAAUUUUAGUUGCGACGCAAGAUCAAACGGUCGCAGUUUCUGGAAUGUUAUCUGGCGAAUGAGCCCAGUUUUUCUUUUCUUCCUAUAAAAAGUAUGCUACAUGGUGUCGGCUUAGUCAAAAAAUGAUUGUGCCAACCUUGACCGUUGGAUAGACAUUCAAUGUCUAUCGUGUUUCUUCAGUCUCUUAUUCCUCCAUCCGCCAAAGCCAAACCAGCGCCGGCGGGACCACCUGCUCCCGCCUCCCACGACUGGCUGUGUUGCCACGCACGCAUCGUGGCCACAUCGCACCCUAAAACUUUGUGCAUCUUCCCUGGCUACUGUUCCUCCCAUGACUGGCUGUGUUUGCUCAUCGCGGCGCCGCCCUCUCGUGUUGUCAAGAUGAUCAACAACCGAGAGGAAUAAGGAGAUGAUUGUACAUGGUGAGGAUGACAAUAGGGACCCAGCAGGAUCAUGGCAGUAGGCAAGCAAGUGCCUCCUUUAUUACAGUAAAAAAAGGGUUCCUCCUGAUGGUUUCCUGACAUCUGGGUCGCACGCUACUGUCAACAUAGUCAAUAAGCGAGAUAACUGCACAAGGAGCGGCAGACACCCAGGACCCAACAGCGCAUGCAGUAUUUUUUUGUUUUCAGGACGGAGAAGGGUAUCAACUAGGUUGUGCAGGAGCUAUGGCUUGUCUAGCCCAUGCUUUUAUUUCAUAUGUUUACCACAUGACCAGCCCAUUUUUUCCUUCCUGAAAAUGGCUAGCUCAGCUAUUUUGUUUUUUGCAGAAUAACCAAUGUAGGCCUACUUGCUUUUCUAUGCCCUACUGGGCCGAAAAUCUUUCAAGACGAGGAGGGAUGCAUUCGGGCUUGCCAAGAAAAUGGGCUAUAAGUAAUAAGAAAUGGGCUGCAAAAUGAAAAAAUACAGCAAACAGACAAUUAGUUCCAAAAUACUUUUUUCUUUCAGAUUUUGAUAUUUUAAAUUUCAUUGUUUUUGUGCAGGUAAAAUUUCAUUGGAUUGAAAUUAUGGUAUGUUUAAUUUUAAAAUUAAUUUGAAUCUGGCUAAAAAAAAUCGGACUGUAUGCUUCUUGGGACAGAUUUGGAGGCUGACUUGUGGGUCUACUAGGUUGACGUGUAUGAAAGGCUUUGUCAACUUAGUCCACAAAUGAUUCUAGCAGUAGUGAUCGUUGGAUGUUAAUCCAACGGCCAUGCUGCUUCUUCAAUAUCUGAUCUUCUUGCUCCAUCUGCCCAAACCAGUGAUGAUGGUACUGCUUGCUCCCGCCUCCCGUGGCUAGCUGUGCUGCCGCACAGGCCGCACCACCCCACCCUACUCCAUCGCUGGCCAAGCCAUUCCUCUACUCACCCACACCUCAUGUUAUUUUCCGGCGACGGCAGCCGAACCAGUAAACCCUCAUACUCCCCACCGUGUGGGCAACCACUGCUGAGUCUUCCCCAGCUCCGGGUCGUUCCCUUCCUAGGCCUCGCCGUUGUCCACCGCCCUGGUGCUAUCGGCGUGGUGACCGUGGUCAACGAAUGACAUCCAUCGGAAGAGGACUAUACAUAGAGAGGCUAACAGGUGGGUCCACGGCCAUACGCAAGUAAGUGCCUCAUUAUUAUGUGCAAAAUAAUGAUUCCUCCAUCUGACAGCGAGGACCCACCGAAAGGGCAUCGGUAUUUCGCGAAAAAAACAUUCCUCCUGCUGACAGCUCGGAGCCACCAACUAUAUCUUCACACGCAAAGAAGUGCCUCCUUAUUAUGCACAAAAAAGAAUACUCCCCCUGCUAGCUGGGACCCACCUUAUUUGGAGGCUGACAUCUGGGCCUACUAAGUUGACGGGGAUGCAUGAUUUGUCAACUUAGUUAAUAUAAACGAUUCUAGUUGCAGCGACCGUACAAUGUCCAUCCAACGCCCGUCGUGCUUCUUCAACCUCUGGUCUAUUUGCUCCAGCCGCCCAAACCAUCACCGGCCGUGCCACCUGCUCAUGUGUCUCGUGGCCGGCUAUGCUGCCGCGCAGGCCUCACCGCCCCACCCUACUACCAUUGCUAGCCUAGCCAUCCCUGUACUCAUUGAGACCUCCUCUUAUUCUCCGGCGACAGUAGCCUCACACCGCAACCGAAGCAGUAAACCCUCAUACUCCCCUCCGUGUGGGAAACAACUGCCGAGUCUUUCCCGGCUCCUAGUCAUUCCCUUCCUAGACCUCGUCCUUGCCCCAGCCUUGGUGCUCUUGAUGCAGCAUGGUCAACAUGGUCAAGGAACGACUUCCAUCAGAAGAGGUCUGUAUGUGGAGAGGCUGAUAGCUAGGUCCACGGCCGCAGCAAGGAAGUGCCUCCUUAUUACAUGCAAAAUAAUGAUUCCUCCACCUGACAGUGGGGACCCACCGGAAGGGCCACCGUAUUUUGCGAAAAAACAUGCCCCCUGACAGCUGGGACCACUAGCUACAUCUUCGCACGCAAGGAAGUGCGUCCAUACUACGGGAAAAAUGAUUUUUCCCUUGACAGCUAGGACCCACCAGUUAUAUCUUCGCACGCAAGGAAGUGCGUUCUUAUCCUCCCUCCCAACUAGGACCCACCUGAUCAAAGCAUAUGUAGUGUUCUCGCGAAUGUGUACGUACAUACUGGUCGACCAGUCUCUCUGCAGCGAUGAACUAUGGCCGAGUAAGGAGCGACGUGUGUCGUAGUAGAGGCGCACACAUGGCAUGUCACGCAGUCCCGUAUAUAUCGUGUACACACACAUGCAUAGCUUCUACCUCUUGAGCAUGCAUUGGUUUUCCCUUGAAGAGGAAAGGGUGAUGCAGCAAAGUAGCGUAAGUAUUUCCCUCAGCUUUUGAGAACCAAGGUAUCAACCCAGUAGGAGACUACACGCAAGUCGCCUAGUACCGGCACAAACAAACAAGAACCUCGCAACCAACGUGAUAAAGGGGUUGUCAAUCCCUUCACGGUCACUUAUGAGAGUGAGAUCUGAUAGAGAUAAUAAGAUAAAUAUUUUUGGUAUUUUUAUGAUAUAGGAUGAAAGUAAAGAUUGCAAAGUAAAUGACGAUAGAAAUGGCUAGUUGUUGGGAGAAUAAUAUAAUGGAAAAUAGACCCGGGGGCCAUAGGUUUCACUAGUAGCUUCUCUCAAGAUAGCAUAAUCUACGGUGGGUGAACAAAUUACUGUUGAGCAAUUGAUAGAAAAGUGAAUACUUAUGAGAAUAUCUAGGCAUGAUCAUGUAUAUAGGCAUCACGUCCGUGACAAGUAGACCGAAACGAUUCUGCAUCUACUACUAUUACUCCACACAUCGACCGCUAUCCAGCAUGCAUCUAGAGUAUUAAGUUCAUAAGAACAGAGUAACGCAUUAGGCAAGAUGACAUGAUGUAGAGGGAUAAACUCAAGCAAUAUGAUAUAAACCCCAUCUUUUUAUCCUCGAUGGCAACAAUACAAUACGUGCCUUGCUGCCCCUACUGUCACUGGGAAAGGACACCACAAGAUUGAACCCAAAGCUAAGCACUUCUCCCAUUGCAAGAAAGAUCAAUCUAGUAGGCCAAACCAAACUGAUGAUUCAAAGAGACUUGCAAAGAUAUUUAAAUCAUGCAUAAAAGAAUUAAGAGAACAACCAAAUGUUGUCCAUAGAUAAUCUUGGUCAUAAAGCCACAAUUCAUUGGAUCUCGACAAACACAUCGCAAAAAGAAUUACAUCGAAUAGAUCUCCAAGAGAAUCGAGGAGAACUUUGUUUGAGAUCCAAAGAGAGAGAAGAAGCCAUCUAGAUAAUAACUAUGGACCCGAAGGCCUAUGGUAAACUACUCAGACAUCAUCGGAGAGGCUAUGGUAUUGAUGUAGAAGCCCUCCAUGAUCGAUUCCCCCUCCGGCGGAGCUCCAGAAAAGGCCCCAAGAUGGGAUCUCACGAGUACAGAAGGUUGCGGUGGUGUAAAUAGGGUUUCGUGAUGCUCUCAGAUGUUUUCAGGGUAUAUGGGUAUAUAUAUAUAGGAGGAAGUAGGUCGGUGGAGCUGCGAGGGGCCCACGAGGGUGCGUGCAUGCCCUCCUGCCUCGUGGCCUCCUCGCUUCUUUCUUGACGUCCACUCCAAGUCUGUUGGAUCACGUUUGUCUCAAAAAUGAUCCUCGCAAAGGUUUCAUUCCGCUUGGAUUCCAUUUGAUAUUCCUUCUAUGCGAAACACUGAAAUAGGCAAAAAACAACAAUUUGCACUGGGCCUUUGAUUAAUAGGUUAGUCCCAAAAAUAAUAUAAAAGUGCAUAAUAAAGCCCAUUAAACAUCCAAAACAAAUAAUAUAAUAGCAUGGAACAAUAAAAAAUUAUAGAUACGUUGGAGACGUAUGAAGUAUCCCCAAGCUUAAUUCCUGCUCGUCCUCGAGUAGGUAAAUGAUAAAAACAGAAUUUUUGAUGUGGAAUGCUUCCUAACAUAAUUCUCAAAGUUCGGAUAUGAAAGAUUCAAGAUAAAAGUUUAAUAUUGAAGUAAAAAUAACAAUACUUCAAGCAUACUAACUAAGCAAUUAUGUCUUCUCAAAAUAACAUGGCCAAAGAAAGUUAUCCCUACAAAAUCAUAUAGUCUGGCUAUGCUCUAUCUUCACCACCCAAAAUAUUUAAAUCAUGCACAACCUUGAUGACAAGCCAAGAAAUUGUUUCAUACUUUUGACGUUCUCAAACUUUUUCAAUCUUCAUGCAAUACAUGAGCGUGAGCCAUGGAUAUAGCACUAUAGGUGGAAUAGAAUGGUGGUUGUGGAGAAGACAAAAAGGAGAAGAUAGUCUCACAUCAACUAGGCGUAUCAAUAGGCUAUGGAGAUGCCCAUCAAUAGAUAUCAAUGUGAGUGAGUAGGGAUUGCCAUGCAACGGAUGCACUAGAGCUAUAAGUGUAUGAAAGCUCAAAAAGAAACUAAGUGGGUGUGCAUCCAACUUGCUUGCUCACGAAGACCUAGGGCAUUUUGAGGAAGCCCAUCAUUGGAAUAUACAAGCCAAGUUCUAUAAUGAAAAAUUCCCACUAGUAUAUGAAAGUGACAACAUAGGAGACUCUCUAUCAUGAAGAUGAUGGUGCUACUUUGAAGCACAAGUGUGGUAAAAGGUUAGUAGCAUUGUCCCUUCUCUCUUUUUCUCUCCUUUUUUAUUUUUUUAUUUGAGCCUUUCUAUCUUUUUUAUGGCCUCUUUUUUCUUUUUUUUCUUCGUCCGGAGUCUCAUCCCGACUUGUGGGGGAAUCAUAGUCUCCAUCAUCCUUUCCUCACUGGGACAAUGCUCUAAUAAUGAUGAUCAUCACACUUUUAUUUACUUACAACUCUAUACUAGAACGAAAAUUACUCUAUGUGAAUGCCUCCAGCGGUGUACCGGGAUGUGCGAUGAAUCAAGAGUGACAUGUAUGAAAAAAUUAUGAACGGUGGCUUUGCCACAAAUACGAUGUCAACUACAUGAUCAUGCAAGGCAAUAUGACAAUGAUGAAGCGUGUCAUAAUAAACGGAGCGGUGGAAAGUUGCAUGGCAAUAUAUCUCAGAAUGCUAUGGAAAUGCCAUAAUAGGUAGCUAUGGUGGCUGUUUUGAGGAAGAUAUAUAUGGUGGGUUUAUGGUACCGGUUAAAGUUGCGCGGUACUAGAGAGGCUAGCAAUGGUGGAAGGGUGAGUGUGCGUAUAAUCCAUGGACUCAACAUUAGUCAUAAAGAACUCACAUACUUAUUAUAAAAAUCUAUUAGUUAUCGAAAGAAAGUACUACGCGCAUGCUCCUAGGGGGAUAGAUUGGUAGGAAAAGACCAUCGCUCGUCCCCGACCGCCACUCAUAAGGAGGACAAUCAAUAAAUAAAUCAUGCUCCGACUUCAUCACAUAACGUUUCACCAUACGUGCAUGCUACGGGAAUCACAAACUUGAACACAAGUAUCUCACAAAUUCAUAACUACUCAACUAGCAUGACUCUAAUAUUACCAUCUUCAUAUCUCAAAACAAUCAUCAAGUAUCAAACUUCUCAUAGUAUUCAAUGCACUUUAUAUGAAAGUUUUUAUUAUACCCAUCUUGGAUGCCUAUCAUAUUAGGACUAAUUUUAUAGCCAAAGAAAAUUACCAUGUUGUUCUAAAAGACUCUCAAAAUGAUUUAAGUGAAGCAUGAGAGAUCAAUAAUUUCAAUAAAAUAAAACCACCACCGUGCUCUUAAAAAGAUAUAAGUGAAGCACUAGAGCAAAAUUAUCUAGCUCAAAAGAUAUAAGUGAAGCACAUAGAAUAUUCUAAUAAAUUCUGAUUCAUGUGUGUCUCUCCCAAAAGGUGUGUACAGCAAGGAUUAUUGUGGUACUAAAAAGCAAAGAGUCAAAUCAUACAAGACGCUCCAAGCAAAACACAUAUCAUGUGGUGAAUAAAAAUAUAGCCUCAAGUAAAAUUACCGAUGGACAAAGAUGAAAGAGGGGAUGCCUUCCGGGGCAUCCCCAAGCUUAGGAUUUUAGUUGUCCUUGCAUUUUACCUUGGGGUUCCUUGGGCAUCCCCAAGAUUAGGCUCUUACCACUCCUUAUUCCAAAAUCCAUCAAACUUUACCCAAAAACUUGAAAACUUCACAACACAAACAGAAAAUCUCAUGACCUCCGUUAGUAUAAGAAAACAAACCAUCAAUUCAAGGUACUGUAAUGAACUCAUUCUUUAUUUAUAUUGGUGUUAAACCUAAUGUAUUCUAACUUCUCUAUGGUUCAUACCCCCCGAUACUAGCCAUAGAUUCAUCAAAAUAACCAAACAACACGCGAAAAACAAAAUCUGUCAAAAACAGAACAGUCUGUAGUAAUCUGUAGGUUUCGAAUACUUCUGUAACUGCAAAACUCCUACCAAAUUUGGACGACCUAAAUAAUUUGUAUAUUGAUUUACUGCAAUUGGAAUCAGUAUUUUAUCAUUCUCAGGUUAAAAAUGAAAAUUAUUCUCGUGAGCGCAUACUGCCUGUUUUUUUCAGCAAGAUCAAACAACAAUCAUCCAAUAAGAUCCUAAAGGCUUUACUUGGCACAAACACCAAUUAAAGCAUAAAAUACACUAUCAUCAAAGAGGAUAGAUGAUUUAUUUCGUACUAAAUAUGAACAAAAAGCAAGAAAUAAAAAUAAAAUUGGGUUGCUUCCCAACAAGCGCUAUCGUUUAACGCCCCUAGCUAGGCAUAAAAAGAAGAAUAGAUCUAGGUAUUAUCAUCUUUGGUUGGCAAUUCUUCAAUUGAACACUUAUAAUCCUUAGGAAUUUCCUUAUUUUUAUUAAUGAUCAAACACCUAGGCAAGAAAUCAAUAAAUUCAUUUGUAGCAAAAGGUUCCUUAAUGAUAGUGAAAAAGUUGGGAUGAACACUUAUUGAUUUGUGAUCCACAUUUUCUUUACUAGAAAAUUCAACCUUAUUUCUAGGAACAUACAUAAACUUGGAAACUUUAGUAGUAGGAGGAUUUGGGGUAUUUUUCACGGAAGAAAUGGCAGAUCCUAAGUUUGCUAUAAUAUCCUCAAGUUUAUCAAUUCUUGUGGAAUCUUGAUCUAUCUUUUCGUUAACUAUGGGUUCCUUUUCUUUAAAAAAUUUAAGAGCAACUCCUACAUUAGAUCUGUAUUGGGUAAUUUGGUUGUGGAUUCUUUUAUCCAAAUUUUCAAUCAAUUCUACAGUGGCAACUUUAUUUUCAAUAAUUUCAAGCCUAUGCAGCACAUGUUCCAAAGUUAAAAUAGUUCCAUUAACCAAAAGAGGUGGUGGGCCAAAAAAAUCUAACAUAGCAUUAUAAGAAUCAAAAGUAUGGCUGCCCAAGAAAUUCGCUCCGGUAAUGGUAUCAAGAAUACAUCUGUUCCAAGGAGUGAUGCCUACAUAAAAAUUGCGAAGAAAAACGGAAGUAGAUUGCUUCUUAAUAGAUCUAUUCUGAGCAUUGCAAAUUCUAUGCCAAGCAUCUUUUAGAUUUUCUCCCUCCCUUUGUUUAAAAUUAAGAACUUCAUGAUCGGGAGUACUAACAAUGAUAGAAGGACUAGCCAUGACGAUGAAACAAACGAUCUAUCACAUGGACACACAAGAAGCAAGCGGAAAGAGACGGGCGGAAAAAGAGGGGUGAAUAGAAAAGAGGCGAAUAAAACAGCAAGGGUGAAGUGGGGGAGAGGAAAACGAGAGGCAAAUGGCAAAUAAUGUAAUGCAAGGGAGAAGAGUUUGUGAUGGGUACUUGGUAUGUCUAGACUUGUGUGUAUAUCUCCCCGACAACGGCGCCAGCAAUCCUUCUUGCUACCUCUUGAGCAUGCGUUGGUUUUACCUUGAAGAGGAAAGGGUGAUGCAGCAACCUAGCGUGAGUAUUUCCCUCGGUUUUUUAGAACCAAGGUAUCAAUCCAGUAGGAGACUACACGCAAGUCACCUAGUACCUGCACAAACAAACAAGAACCUCGCAACCAACGCGAUAAAGGGGUCGUCAAUCUCUUCAAGGUCACUUACGAGAGUGAGAUCUGAUAGAGAUAAUAAGAUAAAUAUUUUUGUGGUAUAGAUUGGAAAAUAAAGAUUGCAAAAUAAAUGGCGACAUAAAUGGCUAGUUGUUGGGAGAAUAAUAUAAUGGAAAAUAGACCCGGGGGCCAUAGGUUUCACUAGUGGCUUCUCUCAAGAUAGCAUAAUCUAUGGUGGGUGAACAAAUUACUAUUGAGCAAUUGAUAGAAAAGCGAAUAGUUAUGAGAAUAUCUAGGCAUGAUCAUGUAUAUAGGCAUCACGUCCGUGACAAGUAGACCAAAACGAUUCUGCAUCUACUACUAUUACUCCACACAUCGACCGCUAUCCAGCAUGCAUCUAGAGUAUUAAGUUCGUAAGAACAGAGUUACGCAUUAGGCAAGAUGACAUGAUGUAGAGGGAUAAACUCAAGCAAUAUGAUAUAAACCCCAUCUUUUUAUCCUCGAUGGCAACAAGACAAUACGUGCCUUGCUGCCCCUGCUAUCACUGGGAAAGGACACCGCAAGAUUGAACCCAAAGCUAAGCACUUCUCCCAUUGCAAGAAAGAACAAUCUAGUAGGACAAACCAAACUGAUAAUUCGAAGAGACUUGCAAGGAUAUUUAAAUCAUGCAUAAAAGAAUUCAGAGAAGAACCAAAAAUUUUCAUAGAUAAUCUUGGUCAUAAAGCCACAAUUCAUCAGAUCACGACAAACACAUCGCAAAAAUAAUUUCAUCGAAUAUAUCUCCAAGAGAAUCGAGGAGAACUUUGUAUUGAGAUCCAAAGAGAGAGAUUAAGCCAUCUAGCUAAUAACUAUGCACCCGAAGGUCUGUGGUAAACUACUCACACAUCAUCGGAGAGGCUAUGGUGUUGAUGUAGAAGCCCUCCAUGAUCGAUUCCCCCUCCGGCGGAGUGCCAGAAAAGGCCCCAAGAUGGGAUCUCAUGGGUACAGAAGGUUGCGGUGGUGGAAAUAGGGUUUCGUGUUGCUCCCGGAUGUUUCCAGGGUAUAUGGGUAUAUAUAGGAGGAAGAAGUAGGUCGGUGGAGCUGCAAGGGGCCCAAGAGGGUGGGGGCGCGCCCUCCUGCCUCGUGGCCUCCUCGCUUCUUUCUUGACGUCCACUCCAAGUCUCCUGGAUCACGUUUGUCCCAAAAACAAUCCUCGUGAAGGUGUCAUUCCUGGAUUCCGUUUGAUAUUCCUUUUCUGCGAAACACUGAAAUAGGCAAAAAAACAGCAAUUUGCAUUGGGCCUUUGGUUAAUAGGUUAGUCCCAAAAAUAAUAUAAAAGUGCAUAAUAAAGCCCAUUAAACAUCCAAAAUAGAUAAUAUAAUAGCAUAACAAUCAAAAAUUAUAGAUACGUUGGAGACGUAUCAAUAGCCACGCUGCAAGAAAGUAAAUACGGCUACAUACGUACAUACAGGUAGGGUCUCGAACAUGUACAAAGAUGUCAUCCUGAUCAUCGGCAGCCAACCGGCUGGGUCGCAACAGAGGAAACAUCGUUGUGUUCAUCGGGAGGAAACAAAAUACGUCAUGUUCAUCGGGAGCCAACCGGCUUGGACGGAACAGCCGAAACAAGUUCUGGCGUACCGCAAAACGGAGGAAACGGGCCUUUUGUUCGACCACGUACGGUCGAAACAGGGUCAUGUUCAUCGGGAAGGGUCAGGCGUACUGCAAAACAAAGCAAAUGGACUUGUGUUCGAGUGCCUACGGUCGAAACGGCGGCCUGUUGAUCGGGAGGGGUCUGGCGUACCACAAAACAAAGGAAAUAAACUUGUGUUGGAGCGCCUAUGGUCGAAACGGGUCCUGUUCAUCCACCGACUACUGCCUUGCUCUAGCCUCCACGGGCUACUGUUCAUCCACAGUAAACCUCCUCCAGCCUCAAGCGGCUACUGUUCAUAGAACCUCCACGGGGUCAUGUUCAUCCAACCCCAACCGGCUGGGGUACGACAGCCUCCUUCGGGUCCUGUUCAUCCAGUGGCAACAACCUACUACCAUAGGGUCCUGUCAUCCGACCCCCACUGGGAACUGUUCAUCCACAGCCAACCAACCGGCUAGACUCACCAUGUCUCGACUCAUUCUACGUACCACACACACGGUAGAAAUGGUCAUUGUUCAUCGAGAGGCAACCAACACUGGUUGGCUAGCUACGUCUCGCAUAGGGCCUCGACCGGCUUUAGUGUAAGCAACGGCAAUGAUCGAUCGCUCGGUUCAGUUAGCAGCAACAGCGAAGGAAUCGCUCAGGUUCAGUCAGCAGCGAAUGAAUCGCUCGGGUUCAGUUAACAUCAAAGGGAUUGAUCGCUUGGGUUUAGUAACAUAGCUAGCAGUGUGGUCGCGCAGGUUCAGUUAGAGCCCAAUGCCUCCAACACAUAUGCGUACACGAGAGAAAUGCGCAAACCACAGUGCAUCACUCGGCCCCGACCACCCACCAUAACCGUGAACUCCCCAAUAUUUUCCUCGCCCUUGCUUCUACCACGAUUUUUUCCAUCAUGGACGGCCCAAAGAAUGUCAUGCAUCUGCAUCUCUGGCCCGCCCAGGAUGAAAAGCCCAUUUUCUAUCAUGAUUUUUUAUCAUAGAAGUGGGAGCCCACCACAUCUAUGAUGAUACAUGUUUUUGUCACAAUUAUCGUCAUAGAAGUUUCAUGAGCAUGACAGAAAAAAUUUCGUUCAGGCCAAAAUGUCACAGAUGUGUCUUUUUUUGUAGUGCAUCCCAAGGCUUAUGGCUUUGCAUAUAACUAGAAUCAUGGUUAUUCAAAGAAUUCAUACUAGCAACAUUGCAAUCACGCUCAUCAUUCAAAUAUUUAGUGCCAAACAUUUUAUUGACUUCUUCCUCUAACACUUCGGCACAAUUUUCAUUUCCAUCAUUUUCACAAAAGACAUUAAAAAGAUGAAGCAUAUGAGGCAACCUCAAUUCCAUUUUUUGUAUUUUUCUUUUAUAGACUAAACUAGUGAUAAAAAAAUAAACUAAAAGAUUCAAUUGCAAGAUCUAAAGAUAUACCUUUGAGCACUCACCUCCUCGGCAAUGACGCCAGAAAAGAGCUUGAUGUCUACUACGUAACCUUCUUCUUGUAGACUCGUGUUGGGCCUCCAAGCGUAGAGUUUUGUUGUAGCAAGUUUCCUUUAGGUGGAUGGCCUAAGGUUUAUCAAUCUGCGGGAGGCGUAGGAUGAAGAUGGUCUCUCUCAAACAACCCUGCAACCGAAUAACAAAGAGUCUCUUGUGUCCCCAACACACCCAAUACAAUGGUAAAUUGUAUAGGUGCACUUGUUCGGCGAAGGGAUGGUGAUACACGUGUAAUAUGGAUAGUAGAUAUAGGUUUUUGUAAUAUGUUAAUAUAAGAACAACAAUGUAGCAAGUAACAAAAGUGAGCAAAAACGGUAUUAUAAUGCUUGAAAACAAGGCCUAGGGUUCAUACUUUCACUAGUGCAAAUUCUCUCAACAAUGACAACAUACUUAAAUCAUAUGGAAAUCCCUCAACAUGCGACAAAGAGUCACUCCAAAGUUCCUAUCACAAAGAACAUAAGAUGAAAUUGCUUGUAGGGUACAAAACCACCUCAAAGUUAUUCUUUCUGAUCAAUCUUUUGAGCUAUUCCUAUAAGUGUCACAAACAUCCAUUGAGUUCGUGCUAAAAUAACACCAUGUGAUACACAUCAAUCAACCCUAACCUAGACACUCCAAUGUCACCACAAGUAUUCGUGGGUCAAUUAUAUGAUAUGCAUCAAACAACUUCAGAUUCAUAAUAUUCAAUCUAACACAAAGAACCUUAGAGAUUGCCCCAAGAUUUCUACCGGAGAAACAAGGAUGAAAACAUGCAUCAACCCCUAUGCAUAGAUUACCCAAAUGUCAGCUCGGCAAUCCGCGAGUUGAGUGCCAAAACAUACAUCAAGUGAAUCAAUAGAACACCCCAUUGUCACCAUGGGUGUCCCACGCAAGACAUACAUCAAGUGUUCUCAAAUCCAUAAUAGUAUUCAAUCUGAUAAUAGUGAAACCUCAAAGGUAAAACUCAAUUCAUCACAAGAAGAUAGAGAGGGAGAAACACCAUAUGAUCCAACUAUAGUAACAAAGCUCUCGGUACAUCAAGAUCGUGCCAAAUCAAGAACACGAGAGAGAGAGAGAGAGAGAGAGAGAGAGAGAGUGAGAGAGAGAUCAAACACAUAGCUACUGGUGCAUACCCCCCAUCCCCGAGGGUGAACUACUCCAUCCUCAUCAUGGUUACUACCGGGAUGAUGAAGAUGGCCUCCGGUGAUGAUUUCCCCCUUCGAUAGGGUGUCGGAACGGGGUCCUGAUUGCUUUUUCAUGGCUACAGAGGCUUGCGGUGGCGGAACUUCCGAUUUAGGGUUCUUUUUGGAGCUUUGGGUAUUUAUAAGAAUUUUUGGCGUCAGUCUCACGUCAAGGGGUUGCCCGAGGGGACUACAAGCCUUGAGCUAGCGCCCUGGGGGGUAGGGCGCGACUAGUAGGUUUGUGGCCUCCCCGGUCACUUCCUGGCCCAGCUCCGGUGCUACGGGGGUCUCCUGUGGUCCAUAAAAAAUCACCGUAAAUUCUCAGCCCAUUCCGAGAACUUCUAUUUUUGCACAAAAAAAACACCACGGUAGUUUUGUUGAAAACAACAUCAGUCUAGGUUAGUUCCAAUCAAAUCAUACCAAAAUUAUAUAAAAUUAUUUUAAACAUGGCAUGAAUACUUCAUAAAUUAUAGAUACAUAGGAGACGUAUCAGGAACCUACCAUUAAAAUUAAAAUUAAAAAUUAUGAGUGCAAUGCUUGAUGUGGUUUGGGUGCUAGUGUUUCCACAAUACCAAAAUCUUUAUGUGAUGUGCUAGGUUUUAUCAAUAUGGAUGAAUGUUCUCUUAAUUUGCACUUGGCGGAUUCCACUAUUAAGAAACCUUUGAGUAGAAUAGAUGACAUUCUUAUUCUUGCAAAUAGGAAUUAUUUGCCCAUUGAUUUUAUUGUGAUUGACUUGAUUGCAAUCUGUCUUGUCCCAUAAUACUUGGUAGAACUUUCUUGCGAACCAUAUGUGCUAUUAUUGAUAUGAAAGAAGGGAUAUAAAAUUUGUAUUUCCGUUAAAGAAGGGUAUGGAACACUUUCCUAGAAAGAGAAUUAAGCCACCAUAUAAAUAUAUUAUGAGGGCCACCUAUGGGAUUAAUUUGAAAGAUGACAACACUUGAAACUAUGCAUUACGCCUAGCUAGGGGCGUAAAAGAAUAGAGCUAGUUGGGAACCCAGUAGUUAUCUUAUUUUUUCUAGUUCUUUUACUGUUUUUUGGUCUGCACACAAUUAUGAUACUAUUAUGGUUGUGCUUUUGUGUUUUAGUCAUUGUUUGUGACAAGUAAAGCCUUUGGGAUGAUUUGGAUGAUGCUUUUCUUGGAUUCUGUGAAAAAGUAGAAACUUUUGCGUCCAAAAGGAGAAUUAUUUAAAAUCACUGGGGCGUGAUAAAAUUCUGCAUUUUUAACACAUGGUUUAUAUACUAAUUUCCCAUGUUUUCCUAUUUUUUCAGAAUUUGUGGAGUUACAUAUGUAUGUUCAUUGUUCGAAUCAUUACAGAGUGUUCUGUUUUUGACAGAUUCUGUUUUUGUUGCGUUGUUUGCUUGUUUGGAUGAAUCUAUGGAUUGUAUCGGGGGGGGGGGGUAUAAUCCAUGGUGAAUUUAGAAUAUAGUAGGUAUAAUGCAAGAUUAAAAUAUGAAUGGGUUUACAACAGUACCUAAAGUGGUGAUUUGCUUUGUUAUAACGGAUCUCACGAGUUUUCUGUUGAGUUUUGUGUGCUGAAGUUUUCAAGUUUUGAGUGAGAUCACGACGGAUGAAGUAAUAAGGAGUGGCAAGAGACUAAGCUUGGGGAUGCCCGAGGCACCCCAAGGUAAUAUUAAAGGACUCCCAAGAAUCUAAGCUUGGGGAUGCCCCGGAAGGCAUCCCCUCUUUCUUCUACCAACUAUCGGUAAUACUAUUUGGAGCUAUAUUUUUAUUCAUCACAUGAUAUGAGUUUUGCUUGGAGCAUCAUGUAUUGUAUGAGUGUUUGCUUUGUUUGAUUUUUAGUUUGCCACAAUUAUGUUUGUUGAACACACCUUUUUGAGAGGGACACACAUUAUUCGUGAUUUGUUAGAAUAGUCUAUGUGCUUCACUCAUAUCUUUUGAGCUAGGUAGUUGCUCUAAUGCCUCACUCAUAUCUUUUAGAGCGCGGCGGUGGUUAUAUUUUAAAGAAAUAGGUGCAAUCUCAUGCUUCACUUAUAUCUUUUUGAGAGUUGGUAAUAGUGAUGGAAAUUAGUACAAGCUAUGAAUUUGGUCUGGAUAUGGUAGACAUUCAAGAGGGAUAUAAUAAAAACUUUCAUGUAGAUAACUGAAUAUGAUAAGUUUGAUUCCUUGCAAUAGUUUUGCGAUAUAAAGGUGGUAAUAUGUGGGUUAUGCUAAUAAGUAAUUGUGGUUUAGUAAUAAUAUUGGUAUUAAGGUUUGUGAUUCCCGAAGCAUGCACCAAUAGUUUCUUGUUAUGCUAUGAAGUUGGAGCGUGAUUUAUUAUUGAGUGUCUUCCUUUGCGUGAAGGUCAGGGGCGCACGAUGGUUAGCUCCUACCAAUCUCCCCCUAGGAUCAUGCGUAGUAGUACUUUUCUUCAAGGGCUAAUAAAAAUUUGCAAUAUGUAUGUGAGUUCUUUAUGACUAACAUGAGUCCAUGGAUUAUACACCUCUCACCUUUCCGCAAUUUGCGAGCCUCUUCGAUACCGUGCAAUGCCCUUUCUCACCUUGAUAUGUGGUGCAAACUUCGCCGGUGCAUCCAAACCGCAUGAUAUGAUAUGUUGUAUCACACAUAAGACUCAUUAUAUAUUCCUCAAAACAGCCACCUUACCUACAUAUUAUGGAAUUUCUAUAGCCAUUCCGAGAUAUAUUGCCAUUUAACUUCCACCAUUCCAUUUUUAUGACAUGCAUCAUCAUUAUCAUAUUGCUUUGCAUCAUCAUAUAGUUGACAUAGUACUUGUGGCUCAGCCACCAUUAAUCAUUUUUAUACAUGUUAUGCUAGAUCAUUGCACAUCCUGGUACACCGCCUAAGGCAUUCAUAUAGUCAUAUUUUGUUCUAGUAUCGAGUUGUAAUUUUUUUUUAAUUGUAAGUAAAUACAAGUGUGAUGAUCAUCAUAUUCAUUAUUAGAGCAUUCUCCCAAGUGAGGAAACGAUGAUGGAGACUAUGAUUCCCCCACAAGUCAGGAUGAGAUUCCGGACAAAGAAAAAAAAUAAAAAAGCCCAAAGAAAAAAAGAAAAAAAGGAAAAGAAAAAAGAGAAAAAAAUAAAAAAAGAGAGAAGGGACAAUGUUACUAUCCUUUCAGCACUUGUGCUUCGAAGUAGCACCAUGUUUUUCGUAUAGAGAGCAUCCUAUGUUUUCCCUUUCAUAUAACUAGUGGGAAUGUUUCGUUAUAGAACUUGGCCUCUAUAUUCCAAUGAUGGGCUUCCUCAAAUGCCUGAGGUUUUCAUGAGCAAGCAAGUGGGAUGCACACCCACUUAGUUUCUUUUUGAGCUUUCAUACACUUAUAGCUCUUAGUGCAUCCGUUGCAUGGCAAUCCCUACUCCUUGCAUUGACAUCAAUUGAUGGGCAUCUCCAUAGCCCGUUGAUUAGCCUCGUCAGUGUGAGACUUUCUCCUUUUUUGUCUUCUCCGUAUCAAUCUCUACCACCAUACUUAUUCCACCCAUAGUGCUAUAUCCAUGGCUUGCUCUCAUGUAUUGCAUGAGGGUUGAAAAAGCUGAAGCGCGUUAAAAAGUAUGAACCAAUUACUUGGCUAACACUGGGGCGGUGUGAUGUCUACUAUGCAACUUUAUUCUUGUAGACUCGUGUUGGGCCUCCAAGCGUAGAGUUUUAUAGGGAAGUAACAAUUUUCCCUCUAGUGGAUGGCCUAAGGUUUAUCAAUCCGUGGGAGACAUAGGAUGAAGAUGGUCUCUCUCAAACAACCCUGCAACCAAAUAACAAAGAGUCUCUCUUGUCCCCAACACACCAAAUACAAUGGUAAAUUGUAUAGGUGCACUAGUUCAGCGAAGAGAUGGUGAUACAAGUGUAAUAGGGAUAGUAGAUAUUGAUUUUUUUCUAAUAGGAACAAUAAAAAACAACAAGGUAUAAAGUAACAAAAGUGAGCACAAACAGUAUUGCAAUGCUUGAAAAUGAGGCCUAGGGUUCAUACUUUCACUAGUGCAAUUUCUUAGCGAUGCUAAUAUAAUUGGAUCAUAUAACUAUCCCUCGACGUGCGAUGAAGAAUCACUCCAAAGUUCUUAUCUUGCGGAGAACAUAAGGCGAUAUUGUUUGUAGGGUACAAAACCACCUCAAAGUUAUCAUGUCCGGUCGAUCUAUGAAUCUAUCCCUAUAAAUGUCACAAAUACUCCAUAUGAUACACAUCAACCAACUCUAAUGUCACCUAGAUACUCCAAUCUCAAUGCAAGUAUCCGUGAGUUGAUUAUAUGAUAUGCAUCAAACAAUUUCAGAUUCAUAAUACUCAAUCCAACACAAAGAACCUCAAAGAGUUCCCAAAGAUUUCUACCAAAGAAACAAAGACGAGAACGUGCAUCAACCCCUAUGCAUAGAUUACCCCAAUGUCACCUCUGCAAUCCGCGAGUUGAGUGCCAAAAACACAUCAAGUGAAUCAAUAUGAUACCCCAUUAUCACCAUGGGUAUUCAUAGGAAGACAUACAUCAAGUGUUUUCAAAUCGAUAAAAGUAUUCAGUCUGAUAAUAAUGAAAUCUCAAAGGGAAAACGCAAUUCUUCGGAACAAGAUAUAGAGGGGAAAACAACAUAUGAUCCAACUAUAUUACCAAAGCCCACGACACAUUAAGAUCGUGCCAAAUCAAGAACACGAGAGAGAUAUUAAUGUAACACCCACAAUGUGGCUAUAUCUCCCACGUGUCGGGGCACGACUUAGAGGCAUAGCCACAUGGUAGGCAUGUCGCAAGAGGGGUAAUCUUCACACAAUCCCAUGUACUGAAUAAGAAAGGGAUAAAGAGUUGGCUUACAAUCGCCACUUCACACAAAUACAAGUUAAACAUACAUCAUCUGGAGUACAAGAAAGAUCCGACUACGGAACCAAAAUAAAGAAGAAAACCCCAAAUGCUAGAUCCCCGAUCGCCCCAACUGGGCUCCACUACUGAUCAACAGGAAACAAAACAACACAAUGAACAAGAUUUUCAUCGAGCUCCCACUUGAGCUGGGUUGCGUCACCUGUACUGGCAUCAUCGGCACCUGCAACUGUUUGGAAGUAUCUGUGAGUCACGAGGACUCAGCAAUAUCACACCCUCGAGAUCAAGACUAUUUAAGCUUAUGGGUAGGAAAAGGUAGUGAGGUGGAGCUGCAGCAAGCACUAAGCAUAUAUGGUGGCUAACAUACACAAAUAAGAGCGAGGAGAGAAGAAACGCAAUGGUUGUGAAGCUAGAAGUGAUCAAGAAGUGAUCCUGAAACUACUUACAUUCAAGCAUAACACAAGAACCGUGUUCACUUCCCGGACUCCGCCGAGAAGAGACCAUCACGGCUACACACGCGGUUGAUGCGUUUUAAUUAAGUUAAGUGUCAAGUUCUCUACAACCGGAUAUUAACAAAUUCCCAUCUGCCACAUAACCGCGGGCACGGCUUUCGAAAGUUCAAAACCCUGUAGGGGUGUCCCAACUUAGCCCAUCACAAGCUCUCAUGGUCAACGAAGGAUAUUCCUUCUCCCGGGAAGACCUGAUCAGUCUCGGAAUCCCGGUUACAAUACAUUUCGACAAUGGUAAAACAAGACCAGCAAGACCGCCCGAUGCGCCGACAUCCCGAUAGGAGCUGCACAUAUCUCGUUCUCAGGGCAACACCGGAUAAGCUAAGCAUACAGGUACCAACAUAACCCAAGUUGCCAAGGGACAGUCCCGCACGGUGCUCUAGUUCGGACCAACACUUAGAAAAGCAUUGGCCCGGGGAGGGGGGUUAAAAUAAAGAUGACCGUUGAGUCUGCAGAACCCAAGGGAAGGUGAUAGGUUGUUAGGCAAAUGUAAAACCAAGGUUGGGCCUUGCUGGAGGAGUUUUAUUCAAAGCGAACUGUCAAGGGGUUCCCAUAACACCCAACCGUGUAAGGGACGCAAAAUCAAGGAACAUAACACCGGUAUGACGGAAACUAGGGCGGCAAGAGUGGAACAAAACACCAGGCAUAAGGCCGAGCCUUCCACCCUUUACCAAGUAUAUAGAUGCAUUAAUGUAAACAAGAUAUAAUAAUGAUAUCCCAACAAUAUCCAUGUUCCAACAUGGAACAAACUUCAUCUUCACCUGCAACGAGCAACACUAUAAGAGGGGAUGAGCAAAGCGGUAACAUAGCCAAACAACGGUUUGCUAGGAAAGGUGGGUUAGAGGCUUGACAUGGCAAUAUGGGAGGCAUGAUAGAGCAAGUGGUAGGUAUCGUGGCAUAGCAAUAGAGCGAGAAACUAGCAAGCAAAGAUAGAAGUGAUUUCGAGGGUAUGGUCAUCUUUCCUGAAAUCCCGCAAGGAAGAAGAACGAGUCCAUUAAGAAGACAAAUGGACGUAGUCGAACGAUUCCUCACAACCCCAGAACGAAACCGAAGCUAACGAGAGAAGCAACCCGGAAAGAAGCAAACGACAUAGUAAACAACCAUCACAUAAGCAUGGCAUGAUGCGCAACCAAGUAUGAAGCAUGUCCAGUUUAAUGAGGCAUGGCAUGGCAAAAUGCACAAACAAUCCUACAAAUUAAGUGGAGCUCAAUAUGCAACUCCGUUGCAUAUUGACAAAACACCAUGUGACUUAUUUAGUUCUCUCUUGUUUAGGUACCCAACAAUAUUAAAUGUUGAUUAACAUGGCAAGAGGUGAAGCAUAUGAAAACUACCUAUCUAGGGAAGUUUAAAUGAGGUCGGUGUCGGCGUACUGGGAACCAGGGUACCCAGACUUGCCUGUCUGCAGCCCAUGUCGCGUUCCAGGUACGGCUCGGUAGGGCCCAGCUGAUCGACCAGCUGCUCAAGACCCUCGCGAGAGGGCCAGCCCUGGCGAGGAGAACGACCAAGACCUCCUCAGGGAGCGGCCUCACCUAGGCUGCUCCAGAGGGGCAACCAAGACCUCUCCCAAGAGUGGCCUCGGCUAGGCUGCUUCGGGAGGGUGGAGAUCUCAAGGCAAGGGCUGCCUCAGGAGGAGGCAGUGACGCAAGCCAUGAUGAACCGUGCCAGCGGGCGCCAGUGGGCGCCAGCGCGCACCAGUGGGCGUAGUUUCCAUAUCGGUGCAAAGGAGACCGCGCAGGCGCAGGUUCCCGAGGGGCGAGACAAAGGUUUCCCCUUUGGUGCAACUAGACCGAAGACCGCAAGGACGGCAGGAAGGAUGUCAUCACUGAGCCCACCACCGCGUCACCGCCUGCCCUCUUUGCAGGCGAAGACCACCUUUUGUCAGGAUAGGAGCGUCCUUGUGUUCCCGCUGAAAUGGCCGUUGUGGGAUUCCCUUCCCGCCUAAACAUUUCGGGGGAAGAGGACCCUGGCCGUCUAUAUAAGUAGCUAGGGUUCCUAGCAUAGAGAGGGACCAAGCCAUUGGGACUUAGCAUAGCAAAGGAGCAAGAACAUCCGCUUCCUCACCCCUCUCGAGCUCGCCUCCUGAGCUCAAGAAACCACUAUAUUUGUUCAUACUCGAGCCCUCGCGAGGCCAAUCCACUAAAGCAGGACGUAAGGUUUUACACCGCAAGGUGGCCUGAACCUGGGUAAACUCUUGUGUGCUCUACUUGUUUGCUUGCUUGCAUUCCAUUCCCACCACCAAGAGAAGAGCGAGGCACUAGGUAGACGUGUAGUGGGAGAGAUCUUCGUCAUGCCCCUGUGUUCGAAUCUUAAGGGUUUUGCGGAGCCCGAAAUCCGACAUUUGGCGCGCCAGGUAGGGGGCGUGUUGAAAUCUCGCUUCUCUGAUGACCUCUCUCCGCUCUUCUCCGUUGACCUCAUUUCACCGCCAUGGUGGACACUCGCCGAGCACGUGUCGCCCGCCGCGCCGCCAACGUCACUCAGAUGGUACCCGCGGGCAACGGCGCACCACUCCGCCCCAACUCGCCGGUCGUCAACGCGGCCACGGACCCAGCCAUUCACGAGCAGCAGGACUUGUCGUUGCCGCUAUCCGUGCGGCGCGAAGGCCGCACAGCGACCCCAUCACCUUCGCUGGCAGCAGCGUCGUCCUCGCUAGUCCGCCGCAGGCCGGUCUACCAGCAGCCUGUGCUACUGAUGGCGCGGGAGCUCCUACGCUACCGUCCGGCGGACGACCUCUACGACGAGUGGCUCCACCGCAUCACCAAGCUCGUCAACGCCGCCGGGGAGGCGCCCGCACCGACCCAUUCCUCUCGCCCUCCGUCGCCCAUGGCAGGGAACAAGGACCAUGGCGCUUCGCCCCCACCUCCACCGCGCGGCGCCGGCUAGGGGCUCAGGCGCGAGGCUCCAUUGCGUGAAUAGCCCCGCAGGGCCCCCGCGCGCGAUGAGGAGAGCUGCCAGGUGGUCCCAUGCCCCCAGGCAGAAGCGCGCGUGCUCCCCGCUCAGCAACACCAGAAUCGUGCCCCACAGGAGGUGGUGGCCCCUGCACCCCAAGAUCCAGCACCAUAGGCGCAGGGGGCGCCAGCAAUCAUGAGCGUGGCUGGAUGCCGCGCCCUAGCUCCUGAGCUACGGCGCCUCAUCUGGCCCGACAAGUUCAAGCCGGACCUACCUUCACGUUACGACGGCACCGCCGACCCGGCGGAGUUCCUCCAACUCUACGAGCUCAACAUCAAGGCGACGAACGGCACCGAGCAGGUCAUGGCGAACUGGUUCCCCAUGGCCCUCAAGGACGGCGCACGCUCCUGGCUCAUGAACCUUCCUCCAGGAUCCAUCUCUUCUUGGGAGGAGCUUCAUGAGCGCUUCAUCGCCAACUUCCAAGGUACCCGCGACCAAGCUCCAGCGGCCGCAGACCUGCGCCGCGUAAGGCAGCAGCCUGGGGAGACCCUGCAGAUGUACAUCCAACGCUUCAACACCGUGCACCUCAAGAUCCCCAGGGUCUCCGAGGCCAUCAUCUCGGCGUUCUCCGACGGUGUCCGCGACGUCAGGAUGAAGGAGGAUCUUGCCAUCCACGAGGACCUGUGCACGGACCUCGAGAUGUUCGAUCUCGCGGCGAAGUGCGCCAGGGCAGAGGAAGGCCGCCUCUCCCUCCUGGAACUGCCUGAGGCGGAGGCCGACGACAAGAAGACCAAGGCCAAGGAAGCAAAGCGCAAGGGACCAGCCGUGCUGGCCGUGGAGCCAGAAGUGAAGCGCGGCUGCGGCUACAAUGACCCUCCAAGAGACAACCGUACUGCGUCUUCCAUGAUGUCCAUAGCCAUAACACCAACGACUGCCAAGAGCUCAGGGCGAUGCGCGGCGGGCACGUCGGGCAGCGCCCUAAGCGCGACAACCAUGGCUACGGCCACGGAGGAGGCUGUGGCGGAGGAUGCUGGGACGGCAGGAACUCGCGCCAAGGAUGGCAUGAUCAGCCUCGUGACGCCCCCUGGCGCGACCAGCCUCGCGAGGGUCGCCCUUAGGGCAACGCGGGCCUGCCUCCGCUGCCACCACCGCCAAGAAGGAACGACGACGACUGCCAGGGAGAUGAAGCGGGGGGCUUCCAGGAGCCACGCGGGGUCGUGUGCAUCCUGGGAGGAGCUCACGCUCCGGCUUCUCACCGCAUCUUCAAGCAGUUCGCUCGUGAGGUGAACGCGGCGCUCCCCAGGCCUGACGCCGCGCGCAACCUCAGGUGGGCCAAGUAGAUCAUCGCCUUCGACCCCAAGGAUCAGCUCAGUUGCACCGCCGCGCCAGGCACUCUCCCGAUGCUCUGCACCCCGACCAUCAGUAACGUCCGCGUGACCAAGACCCUCAUCGACGGUGGGGCAGGGCUCAACGUCCUCUUCGUUUAGAUCUUCAAGACUCUUCAAGUACCCUACGAUCAGCUGCACCCGACCAAGCCAUUUUACGGAGUCACAGACGGCUCCACCCUCCCGAUGGGGCAGUCCGCCUCCCCGUCACCUUCGGCGACCGCGACAACUACCACGCCGAGCUCAUCGACUUCGACGUCGCCAACAUCAACCUCCCGUACAACGCCAUCCUAGGGUAUCCGGCCCUCUCCAAGUUUAUGGGGGCGACCCAUCAUGGCUACAACGUCCUCAAGAUGCCUGGAAGUUGCGGAGUCAUCACGAUCGCCUGCGACGAGAAGGAAGCAGUACGUUCUCUGGAGCGUGCCUAUCAGACUGCGGCGAUCGAGAGCUCUGAUGGAGACGGAGCCGUCUUCGCCCUGAUGACCGCCCCCAAGAAGAAGAAGCAACUGCCCGACUCUCAGGCCUCGGGGGCUCCAGACGGCACGACCUCAAGCUCCAUGCCUGCUGAUGAGGCGCCUUCCACCCUCGCAUAGGGAGGCGCGCCCAGCGCCCCUCUCAGGACGGGCUCGGGGGCUCCCCUUAGGGGGACCCCGGACCUGGUCGUGAGGGAGGUGCCCGAGCACCACUCGCAGGCGCGCCCCGCCGUGCGUCGUCAUGAUCCCAGCGUGAGCCUCAUAAUGCUGGGGGCUUAGGAUGAACCGUGCCAGCGGGCGUAGUUUCCAUAUUGGUGCAAAGGAGACCGCACAUGCACAGGUUCCCGAGGGGCGAGACAAAGGUUUCCCCUUUGGUGCAACAAUACCGAAGACCGCAAGGACGGCAGGAGGGAUGUCAUCGCCGAGCCCACCACCGCGUCACCGCCUGCCCUCUUUGCAGUCGAAGACCACCUUUUGUCAGGAUAGGAGCGUCCUUGUGUUCCCGCUCAAAUGGCCGUUGUGGGAUUCCCUUCCUGCCUAAACAUUUCGGGGGAAGAGGACCCUGGCCGUCUAUAUAAGUAGCUAGGGUUCCUAGCAUAAAGAGGAACCAACCCAUUGGGACUUAGCAUAGCAAAGGAGCAAGAACAUAUGCUUCCUCACCCCUCUCGAGCUCGCCUCCUGAGCUCAGGAAACCACUGUAUUUUUUCAUACUCGAGCCCUCGUGAGGCCAGUCCACUAAAUCAGGACGUAGGGUUUUACACCGCAAGGUGGCCUGAACCUAGGUAAACUAUUGUGUGCUCUACUUGUUUGCUUGCUUGCAUUCCAUUCCCACCACCAGGAGAAGAGAGAGGCGCUAGGUAGACGUGUAGUGGGAGAGAUCUUCGUCACGCCCCUCUGUUCGAAUCUUAAGGGUUUUGCGGAGCCCGAAAUCCGACAGCCGGUACAACAAACAAGUCUGAAAACUCCUUAUGUGCAUAUUUUAGGUUUGGUACUGUUAUGUCCUAAGGCAUAUUUUAAAGUUUUUAAACAUGCAAAGCAAGGUCACCAUGAUAAUCUAUGCAUUUUUCUACCCCAUUUACAUAUAAAGUUUGUUAGGUUUGGAGCUACGGUUAUUUAGUUAUGAAUUAAAUCAUUUUAACAUGGCAAUUAAGAAAAUAAAUGCAAACAGCAGUUUAAACAUUUUAAACAUGGUUUAAAGUUUGAUAUUAUGAAACUAGACACAAUUUUAAGCAUUUUUCAUAUAUAAAGUUUUUACAUAAGAUGCACGGUUUGUGAGUUACAAUAUGCAUGAACUAGAGGGGUUAUUCUGCAAAACUAACAUUCUCUAGACAAAUAGGGAAAACCUCCAGAGCUGGAAAAAAUGUAACAGGCCGAAUGUGAACAACGGUUUGGGGUGCUGGGGUGAGAGUUCUCACCAUGGGCCUCAGCCCAGUCGAUGGAGACAUAGGCCGGAAAGGGGGUGCUGGGCCUUGCGCGGUGCUGGGCCUCACAGGCCGGUCCAGCGAUGCAGGAGUUUGAGGCGCUCGUCCUCCUCGUGUCUGGCUCAGGCGCAGGAGCAGGAGACAGGGACGGCGGCACCCGAAGUCAACGAUAGGGCAGGAGCGACUCCGGCAGGUGAGGGCGGUGGGGAGGACCGGAGAGGAACGGAUCCGGGCGGUGGCUCAUCGGAUCUGGCACGGGGAUGGCUGGAACGAGCACCGGCGACAAUGAGGACCUCGAGGCCGGCGAGCUCCUACAAAGAAGAGGGAGGGAGCUCGGGUGAGAGAGAGAGAGAGAAGGGGAAGGGAAGGCGGGUGGCCUGGGCGAGCUCACCAAGGCGGCGAUGGUCGCCGGCGGCGGUAGGUCCGGCGAAGACGACGACCGACGACGAGGUUGGGGCAGCGCUGGAGGAGGUUGUGCGGUUCGGGAACUCGGGGAGGAACCAGGGGAGCGGCGAUGGAGCGCUCGGGCCCCAAUGGGCUCGGGCGGGCCCCGCACGGGCCUGAGCGGGCCGCGGUGGAAGGGGGCGCUGGAGGGGCGACGUGGCCUCAUCUGGUUGGGCGGGGAGGCGGCGCUGCUAGGGCUAGAAAAAAAGCUCGAAGCUCGCGAGCUAAACAAGUAGCUCGUGACUCGGCUCGAAUCGACUCGAUCUCGAAGAAUAACGAGUUGAGUCGAGUUUUAGUUUAAGACCGUUUAUAGACCAAGUUAAACAAGCCAAUCUCACGAGUACUCGUGUAACUCGUUAGGCUCGAUACAAUAGAUCAGCCACUCCCAAUACAAAGAAAGAUCAGUCACUCAGCACCCUACGCCCUAGGCGCACAACACAAGGCCCGGUCGUUGAAGGCCCAGCAGCCUGGGAGAGACUCAUGUGUUACAAGGAAAUUGCAAUUGUUUAGUGAUAUAUAUGUUUAAUAUAUAAAUAAUCAUUUUUAUCAUAUUUGUGGGCUUUAUGUUUAUAUCUUGAACGAGCUUAACAAGCUAAACGAGCCAGCUCGUGAGUUAUACGAGUCGAGCAAAUCUUGGGUUUGAGCUCGUUAUAGUAACGAGUCGAGUCGAGCUAGCUCGUUAACGAAACAAGCUCUAGCGAGUCAAGCCGAGCUGGCUCGACUCGGUUCGAAUUCCAGCCCUAGGCGCUGCCCACUGGGGUGGCGCUACAUGGCGACGGCGAGAUGGCGGCGCUGUAGAAGGCCAAGUGGCGGCGGCGGAGCGGAUCGGACGGCGACAAGUGGCGGGUGGAGGCUGGGGCUGCGUGGAAAAUGAGGAGGAGGGUGGAAGAGGGCCAAAAUGGACUAGGGGUGUCCAUAUAUAGCAGAAGGAGCUAGGGUUGGGGGUUUUGCUCCAUUUCGGAGCCGUUUGAUCUCGAUCGGAUGAUCCGGAGCGGAGGGGGUUAGAUAGGUGGACUAGUGGGCUGUGCUAGAGAGAGAUGAGCUGAGAAGAGAGGAGAGAGAGAGGCCCGACAGUAGCUUCCGAAGACCGAAAACGUCUGACGUUAGACCGACUAUAUUGCCGCUAUAGAUAUCCGUUGGGGCAUCAAACGAAGUCCGAAUGCGAUGAAACUUGGCAGGCGACCUACUAACAACAUAACAACACCGCAUGCCAACUUUCAACGCAUUUCGAGAACAUUUUCCGACCACUUAUAAAGUACUAUUUCGGACGUGCCGCGUGCGCGUGCGAGUGUGGUUGGGCUCAGUACGAACAACGGAAGGAACUGGGAGACCCGGGACGCAUGCAAGUUUUAAAAACAUGCAGAUGCAAUGCGGAUGAUGACAUGGCAGAGAUGCAACACGCAAACGAAAGACAAGGCAACAACAGUGAAUAACUGGAAGACACCUGGCACAUCGGUCUCGGGGCGUUACCACACUCCACCACUAUAAGAGGAUCUCGUCUCAAGAUUUAGAUGGCACCGGAGAGAAACAGAAGAGGAAGAGAAGAGGUAAAACUAAGUUGCUUCUUUGACAAACGAGUGAAACCAAUGAACCUUGUGAGGUUGAACAAAUUUAAAGAAAGAAUAUGACGAAGAUGAACAAAGUUUAAAACACCCCGUUAGAAAAGAGGAACAAGGAACCUUACUAGAACCUUGUGGGUAGAAAGACAUAAGGAAAGGGUUACAAUGGACAAAAAGUACAUUCAACUACUCCGGUUAAAACGAGAUGUACAAGGAAUGAUAAAGAUCAAUUACGUCAACACUCCGGUUGGAAAAAGGAAUGUAAAGAAUAUAAACUUUGCAAAACGAAAGCACUUGGAUGAGACUCCGGUUAGAAGAGGAAUGAUAGACAUGACACUCCGGUUAAAACAAGAUAGAGAAGGAAUAAGAAUGAUAUAAUUUGGACAGCACUCCGACUGUAAAUGGAAUGAACUGAGCAUGAACUUGACAAGAUGAGAGGAUACUUGAUGAGAUCAACAACACACUUCCUCCGGAACAAAUGAAUGGAAAACUAGAUGGUUGGAAAGAAAAAGAACGGAGAAGACGAAUGACAACUCUUGCAAAUAAAAUUGAAAUAGCAUGCUUACGAAGAAAAGUUUGAACAGAGUUGCUGGAUUAUCAACAACGAAAGCAUAACCUUGAUGUGGGCUAAUGGAAGACAUCUCGAAACUGAGGUGAAAUUCUGCCACUAACUUAAACAAUUGUUUGCUUGAGAUCAACGAAGAGAUGAAAACUUGUUAAACCAAGAGGAUAAAGAGCAAGCUUGGGUCACUGAGAAGCACCACAAUAGCAACAUUCCUUAGGGAAGGCUUUAGGUGAAAUCUUUGCCAAGAUAACUCCAACGAAGAGAUUGAUGGAUUUAAAAUAUCUCAUUCUUGACAACAUGUGAAUCAUGAAACACGAAGGAAAAUUAACAAGAAUGACAUAACACCACCUGAAAAGAUAAAAGAGAAAGAAUUGCACUUCGGAAUGCAAGAUGAAGAAUGCUUGAGCUCCUUUGAAAAGAAUCUCAAUGAACACUUCGAGAAGGAAUUAAAUCCUUGAUGAGCUGCCAUGUAGCGCCUCCCUGAAAAACUCCGGUAAUAAAAAGGAUAACGAAAAGAAAGAGAAGUUGAAAACACAAGGUAAAGCCUUGCGAUGAUUUAGAUGGAGCUUUGCGACGAGAUAAAGAGGAAGACCUGGAACUCCGGAAAAGAAAGAUGAACAAAUGAAAUCAAGAAUUUGAUGAGCCUCCGGAAUAAGGAAUUGAAUUCACUCAAUGAAACAAGAAUAAGAAUUACAUUAUGCUUAUCCUUCACCAAUUUAAAUUGAUGACAAGCAACAGAUUUGGCAUACUACUUAUUCUCGUAGAAAGGAUUAAGAUAGAUAUAGCGCCAACUUGGGAAGGUCUCGAUGAGGCACUGGUAGGAUUGAAACAACGGAUAAAUUAAUAAGAUAAAGAAAGAAGAGAAAUCCUGAACGAACCACCAUAAGAAUUCGAAAUGAAAGUAGCAGAGGCACAAUUCACCGGGAAGAAUUGGAAAAAACGAAUGAAGAUACUUGAGGGAAUUUGAAGCAUGAGAAUGAAUAGAUCACGAACUGAUUAGAGAAUAUUUGAAUGAUGCACCGGUAAGAUUUGGAGAACGAGAGCUAAAAGAUGGAAUGAAUAAACCUGAAAUGACGGCCUUCGGAGAAUCAAACUGAAAAGAAUCUUUAAUUGCUCAGGAUUGGUGAAAAGAAUUUUCACAAUCAAAAACAAGUAUGAGAGGAUAGCAGCAAGCUUGAACUACGCAUCUCUAAGAGAACAGAUAAGAUAUGGAGGAAAAACUCUUCUUCGGUCUUCAAAUGUUGAGAAUGCCGAUGAGAAAUACCACCAUGAAUUGUUGAGGCACUCCGGAAUGAAAAUUAGAAAGGUUGAACUACGAUGAAAAGAAUUUGAAAGAUCUUGGAGAAAGACAUAUGACUGAUGAUAAUUCAUUCUUACGUCAACUUGGAGAAGAAUUUGAUAGCAGCUCCGGAAAAUAAGAAGAGUCAGGUAAGAUCCUGGGAAAAGACAUGUGGGUUAGGGCCCACUCAAAAGAAACACCGUUGAAAGAUUACUUGAAAAGGAGAUUGCACCGGUUGAAUUAAGUUGUUUGAAUGAGAUAACAUCCUCAAAAGAACUUGAGCGAACUGAGAAUGGAAACGGGAAUCUUCUAAGAUAUCUUCAACACUUCAGAUAUGAAUAGAGAGAGAUGAACGAUUAAGAGGUGCACCGGCAUGAGAAAACAUUUGACACGAGGAAAGGAUAUGAUCGACACAGCUUGAAUUUAAUCCACCGGAGAAGAAAAGAGAACGAAGAAUAAUGAACUUGAAGCUCCGUUAGAAUCUUCAUGAGAAUUCACUGGAUAAGAAUAUUGAUGGAAAAGAAUGGAGAGACUUCACAUCAAUAAAAAGGAUACUUGAUUAAGAAGUCUGAGUCCUUGAAUAAAAGGAAGGGUGGGAGGGCGGGAAAACAAAGGCAACUUGGGGACAGAUGAAACGAACAACAUUGGAAAAACCGAGAGGUGAUCUUGCGAAUGUUGAAAUGAUCGGAUCCACUUGAAGAGAAGCUCACCGGUUGAGAAGAAUUUGGGAUGACAAACUCGAUGAUCAAGAAGGAUUAGCAUCCACAUAGAAAUAUGACAACACCGCUUAAGGAAGGUAUGGAAUCAACACUUGACAUUGAAGCAACUCGAAUACCACAAUCAAAACAAAAACAAAGGAUUGGCUUGCAGAAUAAGCUGGAAACAAACAUAAGAUAGACCCCAUGUCGUAUCAUGUGUUUGUUGGGAAGAUAUUCUAGGAGCUACUUGAAUUCCCACUUAUAAUCUCCCAAAACUUUCUGGUUAUGCAAUCAGGUGUUGGGGAUACAGGGGAAGCAUAAUAUCUCACCGAAAACUAGCAAAUCCUACGUCCAGCUGUAUCCAUCCUUCAACACAUAACCAAGAAACCUUUGGAAAUCGUUUACCUCAACCUUCGAAAAGCAUACGUUAUACGAUUUAUGGCAAUACUCCCGAACUCCCGCCCCAGUACUGGGUGGCGUUGAGGUUACCUCACCAACAACUGCAUAAAAGAGAUUUUUGAUGUCGGCGGACUCAGGUAUUCCAGAACUGGAACGAUAAAAUUGUGACGACAACAUCUCAGAGCUCAACUCCCCGGGAAACUGCCACAACCCCUAAAUGUCAGGAGGCACCAAGAACAAUGUUCUUGUCACAAGACUAUCAGAACGAUUCCAAGAUACCCGCGUGAUCAUAAAAAAAUCAUGAAAUUUUAGGAGAGAAGAGUCAAAACUUCUACGUCAGGAGGCCUCACCAGAGCGACGAUGGGACUGAGGAGUAAAACGAAUCCUACUCUUCGAUAUAUAUAAUCCUAAGACUCAAAACAUUUUGUUCUAGACUCAACAACAUCAGCGAUUCAAUCAAGCAGGGGGCUCCUAAGUCAGGGAAGGCUCUGAUUACCAACUUGUAACACCCAUAAUGUGGCUAUAUCUCCCAUGUGUCGGGGCACGACUUAGAGGCAUAGCCGCAUGGUAGGCAUGUCGCAAGAGGGGUAAUCUUCACACAAUCCCAUGUACUGAAUAAGAAAGGGAUAAAGAGUUGGAUUACAAUUGCAACUUCACACAAAUACAAGUUAAACAUACAUCAUCUAGAGUACAAGCAAGGUCCGACUACGGAACCAAAAUAAAGAAGAAAACCCCAAAUGCUAGAUCCCCGAUCGUCCCAAGUGGGCUCCACUACUGAUCAACAGGAAAUGAAACAACACAAUGAACAAGAUCUUCAUCGAGCUCCCACUUGAGUUGGGUUGCGUCACCUGUACUGGCAUCAUCGGCACCUGCAACUAUUUGGAAGUAUCUAUGAGUCACGAGGACUCAGCAAUCUCACACCCGUGAGAUCAAGACUAUUUAAUCUUAUGGGUAGGAAAAGGUAGUGAGGUCGAGAUGCAGCAAGCACUAAGCAUAUAUGGUGGCUAACAUACGCAAAUAAGAGCGAGGAGAGAAGCAACGCAACGGUCGUGAAGCUAGAAGUGAUCAAGAAGUGAUCCUGAAACUACUUACGUUCAAGCAUAACACAAGAACCGUGUUCACUUCCCAGACUCCGCCGAGAAGAGACCAUCACGGCUACACACGUGGUUGAUGUGUUUUAAUUAAGUUAAGUGUCAAGUUCUCUACAACCGGAUAUUAACAAAUUCCCAUCUGCCACAUAACCAUGGGCACGGCUUUCAAAAGUUCAAAACCCUGCAGGGGUGUCCCAACUUAGCCUAUCACAAGCUCUCACGGUCAACGAAGGACAUUCCUUCUCCCGGGAAGACCCAAUCAGUCUCGGAAUUCCCGUUACAAGACAUUUCGACAAUGGUAAAACAAGACCAGCAAGACCGCCCGAUGCGCCGACAUCCCGAUAGGAGCUGCACAUAUCUUGUUCUCAGUGCAACACCGGAUAAGCUAAGCGUACAGGUACCAACAUAACCCAAGUUGCCAAGGGACGGUCCCGCAUGAUGCUCUAGUUCGGACCAACACUUAGACAAGCACUGGCCGGGGGGGUUAAAAUAAAGAUGACCCUUGAGUCUGCAGAACCCAAGAGAAAGUGAUAGGUUGUGUCGGCGUCCUGGGAAUGGGGGUCCCCAGACUUGCCUGCCUGCGGCCCCCGGCAUGGCCGAGCCAACAGGCCGUACGACCCAUCUUCACCAACGAAGCGCCCAAGACCCUUGCGAGGGGCCAAGCCUCGCGAGGCGGAUGAUGCAAGACCUCCUCUGGAGUGGCCUAGCUAGGCAGGCUCACGAGGAGCGGAGAUAUCAAGGCGAGGCGAACCUCACGAGGCUCUCGUGACGUGAGCCGUGAUGAUCGACACAGGCAGGCGCCAGCACGCACAGCGUCCUUGUUUACUCUUUGGUGCAAAGGGGGGCAAGCGCAGCCGCGGAGUACCGAGGCAUCCGGCAAAGGUUUCCAUUUCGAUGCAACAAGACAAAGAUCAAGGAUUACAAGACAGAGGUCAUCGUGGAGCCCAGAACAGCGUCGCUACCAGAACUUUGUGCAGGCGAAGACUAAUUUUGUCAGGAUAGCUUGUACUAGCUGCCCCCCUUCAAAUUAGCCCGCCAUUGUUGGCUCCCUUCCCGCUCGAUAUUUGGGAAGAGGACCAGGGCCUCUAUAAAUAGGACUACCCACCACAGCAGAGGGGGCAGAGUGAGAGAGAGGAGGAUCUCAUCUUAGCUCGAGAGAGACCACCGCACACACAAGCUCACCGAGCACAAGAACGCCUUAACCUCUGGAGGCCGUUCUGCCCUUGUAUUGUUCAUCAUCAUCCCAAGAGGCAAUCCACCACCACCACACUAGAGUAGUGUAUUACACCACAACGGUGGCCCGAACCAGUAUAAACCAUGUGUCCAUCUGUGUUGUGAGUUCGUCGAGUUCGUCCGCGAGAUCCUAGCAAGCUAGAGCGUAGAUAGGUUGAAGGGAAAGACUUCGCACGCACCCCAGUGUUCGGACCUUAAAGGUUUUCCGAGACCCCAUACCCCGACAUUUGGCGCGCCGGGUAGGGGGGCGCCGGAGCCUUUUCUCUGCCAAUCAGCUCUCCGACGAUCACCGGCUAUGAUGUCUGGUGACCCAAGAGCCGGAUCCGACUGCUGGGCAGCCUGGCCGGCCCGGACGGUGCCUCCUGCCCAUGAAGAUCUCGACCCUGCACGCCAGGCGGCGCGGGCGUCACCGAGCUCUACCGGGCGUGGACAGCACGACCAGGCAUCAUCCACCCUCACCCCGUGGCAAGCACGAGCCACGGCGAGAGCAGCAAGUCACGCCACUGCAACGGCGCCGCACUCACGGCGGGAGCAAGCGAACAUGCGGGCAGAACUCAUAGUGGCAAGGGAGCUGCUACGAUGCAGACUGAUGGAGAGCGGCUGGGACACGCUGCUUGAGCGUGUUGCUGAGCUGCUGGACACAAUGGCAUCAGGAGCGCCACCCUUCAGCUAUUGACUUCCCCCCAGGCCAAUGCAAGGUUGCGCGGCGAGCCUCACCACAUCUGUGCACCGUCGACUAAGCCCGGGGGCUUCACCAACAUCAUGACGGCCGGCGGCGUAGGGGGCUCCAAUCCCCCCAUUCCGCUCUCGAGAAGCACGAGCGCAAGCGUCACCCUCCAUGGCCCCAGCCGGAUGCCGUAUUAUCAUCCCCAGGACGCCAUCAUGGGCUGAGCAACAUGGAGUGUGGGGCACCAUGGCAAGGUGUUCGGGGUGACGGCCUCGGAAGCCUACGUCCCCCGCAUGAUGGACCAAGGGUACGCACUAGAGGACGACAUCGGCUCAUUCGUUGGAGAAGACUGGGGAGAAGGGGCGCUAGGAGUCGAAGCCUUCUAAGAGCUAGCGGAGAACCACAUCGAUCGCACCGGCGACGACAACUAUAGGGUACCGCUAACCUCUAAGGAACAUGCUUAUGCUAACCAUGGGCUACCAAUGAAUCAGGUUGCAGCACCGAUCGACGACCCCGGCGCAGCGGCACCCGUCUCAACAAGGGAGACACGCUGGGGGCCGCCGAGAGGGAGCCAGGAGCAAGGCCCCUCCCCAAGGCACGUGAAAACAGGGGACACCCAGAGGUAGGCCCUCUGCCGGGGUGGCUUCAACGACCCUUCCUCCGGCAGAGGACCCGUGGUCGCCGAGGGAACCGCUGGCGUCCUCUUUCCCUCCUUUGUGCCGUCCUGGUCUCCGGCCGGCUCAAAGGAGGUCAAGAGUGGCGCAAGGCGGGGCCCUCAUGGUGAUAUGAAGCAAGGCCAGUACCUGUGAAGAAGGCCCGGUGCCUGUGAAGCUCGCCGCCCGUGACACUCUCACAUAAUAAUGAGUUGGGGUUGUACACGCCCCAGAGUCUCAGGAGCACCGGCCUCAGACCCUGGGGCUCCCUCCCAUGCCUAGUGGACAGCACUUAGCUCCGCGCUGGUGAGAAGACUUGAAGACCCGAAGACUAGACUAGGUGCCGGACACGGCCUUUUGCUUUGGAUCUCUCUUUUUGUGGCUUUGCUUUCUGAUUCUGGACUUAAGUUGAAGCUGAAUUUUUAUCAUUGCGUGCGGGGGGUGCCUUUUCUCGUUUGAGUCAUUUCCCGCCUUCUGGAUCUUUUUUGGUUUGGGACUCACGUCCGUCGCCUCUCCCUCGCAAAGCUCCUCGCGAGCCAGACCGCGCAGAGCACACGCUAGCACUACGCCUGGUGCUCACCCUUCCCGGGGCCCCCCUUCAAACAGGGCGGCAACCCCUGCAAGAUUCUCCGGAACACGUCGCCUCACGACCCAUCCCUAAGCAGGCGCUGACUAAGGUAAUCCACGUCUGAAACUCACCCACAGCUUCACAAGCUCACGAGGUCACAUACCCACAUCACAUAGGAAAGUAAAAACUACGAUUUGCUUACAUGAGGGGCUCCCCCUCUCAAAAUGCUCUCACAAGUUUUCCAAGGGCCACGCCCGAGUUUUGCAUGCAGAAUAAGACAACAGGAGAAUAUGGGAUCACCUAGAGAUAUCGCUCACUCGUCAUCCAGGGACGUGUCGCUCGCAUCAUCAUCACCUUCGGUGGAAUCGUCGCCCCGUCGGCGACGCCCCCAUCACCGUCGUUGACCACGUCACCUUCGUCUGCGACAACCACCACCCCAUCGUCCUCCGAGGUGAAGGCCCUGACCAACAUGUUGACAUGAUCCUCUACUCAACGCGCCAAGUCGCCCCGAACGGCAAUGGGCACAGGAGCAAUGGCGGCAUCAAAGUCGAAGUUGGGGUCAGCGUUCAGGAGGUGGCUGAAGACAUGGGAGAAAGCGCGCUGAAGCAGGCCACGACCCCUCUCCUCCACAAGCUGCCGAGCUCUGGCAGAUUGAGCCUCCAGGCGCGUCACCACCUCCGUGAAGAAGGUCAGGUGGCUGGCAUAGUCACUCGAGUGAGGGGUCGGGGCAUUCUCGUCGCAGAUAUAGCCCAGGGCGAUGUUGGUCUUGUUUCGAAGGUCUUGAUGCAUAGGGCCAUGCACGCGCUCCAGCGUUCGGUGUUGGAGCACUUCUUUUUUGUUUUGCCGAGCAACGGCCUCGGCAUCGUCAAUUUGCCUCCGGAGGGAAAGCAGCUCGGCGCGGGCGGAGGCCAGGUCCGCCUGCACCGUAACCAGGGCGGUGGUUGUGGCCUCAGCACGCCUCUCGGCCUCGUCCAACCUGGGCCUGAGGGCGGCGGCCCUGCCCGCACCCUCUUGUCCGGCGAGAUCCAGCCUCAAGCUGUACCUGCCCUCCAGAUCGGCGCGAACCAUGGCUACCUGACGAUUGAUCUCUUCUUCGACUCCGACCUCGCGGGCCCCGACGGCAUCUUCAGCUUGAGUGACUUGAUGCUCCCUCGUCUCCAGCCGCUCGAUCUCGAGGCUGCGCUCCACGGCCUCCAGGGCUAGCGCCUCCUCACGCCGUCGGAUCUCCUCUUCCUCCGUAGGCGUCCCCCUCAUCGACGCAAGGGCAGCCCCACGCGCCUUGACUUGCUGCUCAAGGGACGCGCUCCAGGCCUGGAGCUCCCACGCGCACUCCUCCACAGCCUCGCGGCGGCGAUCGGCCUCGCGAGCUUCCUCCAAAGCUCACGAACGGGCCUCAUUGGCAAUCUUGAGGGACGCCAUGGCCUUCGCAUCCUCGAGGUCACGAUGAUAACGGCCAAGGUUGAUGGCCACUCGCAGCUUGAGCCGCUCCUCCACCAACCGAAGACCUUCAGCCUCAAGACGCGAGUCAACGCCAGCAAGCUCUUCACCAAGGUGGUUCAUCGCGCCCAUCGCCUCCUAGAAGAGCUCGUGGCGGACCACGCUGCGCUGGCGCUUGAGCUCGAAUGCUCGCCCCAUCUCAUCCUCCGCCUAGGGGGCUGCGGGUGGAGCAUAAAGUGGCGCGCCAUCUCCUGGUUGGGGGCUGGUGCGGCCCCAGGCGUCGGCUGACCCUCGCAAGGGGCCCGGACCAAACAAGGCCCGCUGCUUGAAGGAGGCUCCAUCAUCGAGGCUAGCCAUCCACCAACCGUGACCAAGGGAGGAGCCCUUGGCACUCCCGCUGCGAUCCAAGCAAGGCCGUGUAGGAAGGACAGCGAAGGCACAAGCUCGGGGCACCUUGACGACAGACCAGCUCCCGAGGCUGACCCCACGCCACGGGCAGUGUCCGAGCCUGAAGCACUGGAGCUUGGUGAGUACAAUGUGACGAGAGGGAGCUGCUUCUCUGGAGAUUUUGCGGCCUUAGUAGAAGGGGACCUGAGGGAGCAAUCGUCAGGAAAGGAAGGCGGCACAUAGAAGAUCACCAAGGAGAGGUACUUACUCGUCGAUGGCGAUGUACUUCCAUCGGUUCAACGUUCUGAAGAUGUUGCUGUCGCUGGGGGAUCCCUUCCUCUUGCGGAGCUCCUCGAAGUCCACGCAAAGGCGACCGAAGCGAUGGACGUGACGGCCGGAGCGCGGGGAGCCGACGAAGAACCAAGAGGAAUGGCUUCAGGGGAGCCCGGCUGUGGCGAACAGCCCGACUCUCUCUCGCUGUGACCUCCCGAGGCCCCUGAAGCCUCGGCCUUGGGAGCCGCAUGCCGUACCUCAUCAGCGACUGGCGCCUCAGGAGAGGCGUCGCAAGCUCCUGAGGACGACGCCCCUGGAUCACUGCUUGGCACGUGCUCCUCAGCACCUGAGCAGCCGGCCCCCGUCGCAGCUCGCUCCCCUGCACCAUCACCUGGGGCGAGCUCGUCACUGGCGGCAAAGAAUGGGACCAUGAUGACGGGAUUCUCGCGGGGUCACUCCAAGCCAAUUGGGAGCAGCCCCCACUCAUCAAAGGAAGACAUGGUCUCGAUGAAGGUAACCUUGUUCUCGCUGCAGUACAACAUGCAGCUCUUCCUGGGCAUCUCAUCCGGCAGAGGGACACCGGAUAGCACCGUGAGCACAAUUUGCCGCGCAGCAAGAGGAAGCCCCUCCUCCUGAAACCUCAUAUUGUCCCGACUGCUGAGCAAGUCCCACAUCGGGCGAGAAUGACGCUGAAGCGGGGCAACUCGAUGCUUGACGAACUCCCUCACCACCACGGAGCAGUCAUACCAAGGUCCUUCAACCACCGCAGCCUGGCCCAGACAGGGGCAAGGCAGGGGCUCGUGAGCCUCUGGUGACCCCAACCGGAGUUUGGAAUGGCAGGCCCCACCGGAGCUUGGAGCAGAGGGUUGAGCACGCCGGCAUCAACAAACACCCAAUGCGUGCGGAAUUCGGUCGCGGAUGAAGGAAGCUCGAAGUCGAUCCCCAUGCCUACCGUCGCCGCCACGGCCUGAAAGCCCACACACCCAGAGCUCUGCCAGGCACCGAUGAGAUGUAGCGAGAAGAAGUGGCGGAGGAGCGCCACGGAGGGGGUGAUGCCCACCAUGGCCUCACACACGAAGGCAAAGACGGCAAGAAGGGUCACAGAUUGAGGGUCGAGAUGGAGCAUAUGGAUCUGAUAGUGCUCGAGCACCGCGUUGAAGAAGGCCGAGAAGGGAGGAAGCAGGCCAGCCUAGAGGGAGUCAAUACUGGAGCGAGACGCAGGCCAGGCUGGCGUCUCUCCCCACUCGUUGAAGCUGGAGGCGAGCAUGGGGCGCACCUUGCCCAUGGCCUCGUCGUUGAGCACCCGAGGCCGACUGAGCGCCUGCUCGAAGGAUGGAGGCGCAGUUGGCGAGGACAUAGGUUUCUUCCCCUUGUCGACUUGUUUCGGCGCCAUGGCGGUAAAGCGGGCGGAACACUGGUUGGACUGGGAAGGCGGAGCAGGGCGUCGAGGAAGCAGGAAGAUUGGAAGAUUGGAAAGCCAGGCGCAGAGGGGGAGGAAUAACUGUGCAAGAAGCGGGGCCGCAUAGCCAGGCGGAUUCAAAGGCAGCGUGGGGAAGCGGAGACGCCCACGUCCAAUCAACCGCCACGCGUCAACCGAGGUCACAGGCUUUUGGGGCCCGCGGCGCUUCAAGCUUGACCCUUGGCUUCGCCGCGAAGACAAGCCCGCGCGCACCUUGGGCCCAAGGGCUACUGUCAGUGUCCUGGGAACGAGGGUCUCCAGACUUGCCUGCCUGCGGCCCGUGGUAUGGCUGAGCCAGCAAGCCGUAUGGCCCAUCUUCACCAACGAAGCGCCCAAGACCCUCGCGAGGGGCCAAGCGUCGCGAGGCGGACGAUGCAAGACCUCCUCUGGAGUGUCCUAGAUAGGCAGGCUCACGAGGAGCAGAGAUAUCAAGGCGAGGUGAACCUCACGAGGCUCUCGUGACAUGAGCCGUGACGAUCGACACCAGGCGGGCGCCAGCGCGCACAGCGUCCUUGUUUCCUCUUUGGUGCAAAGGGGGGCAAGCGCAGCCGCGGAGUACCGAGGCAUCCGGCAUAGGUUGCCAUUUCGAUGCAACAAGACCAGGACCAAGGACUGCAAGACGGAGGUCAUUGUGGAGCCCGGAACAGCGUCGCCACCAGAACUUUGUGCAGGCGAAGACUACUUUUGUCAGGAUAGUUUGUACUAGCUUUCCCCCUUCAAAUUAGCCCGCCAUUGUUGGCUCCCUUCCCGCUUGAUAUUUGGGAAGAGGACUAGGGACUCUAUAAAUAGGACUAGCCACCACAGUAGAGGGGGCAGAGUGAGAGAAAGGAGGAUCUCAUCUUAUCUCGAGAGAGACCACCUCACACACUAGCUCAUCGAGCACAAGAACGCCUUAACCUCAGGAGGCCGUUCUGCCCUUGUAUUGUUCAUCAUUAGCCCAAGAGGCAAUCCACCACCACCACACUGGAGUAGUGUAUUACACCACAAUGGUGGCCCGAACCAAUAUAAACCCUGUGUCCAUCUGUGUUGUGAGUUCGCCGAGUUCGUCCGCGAGAUCCUAGCAAGCUAGAGCGUAGAUCGGUUGAAGUGAUAGACUUCGCGCACACCCUAGUUCGAACCUUAAGGGUUUGUCGGGACCCCAUACCCCGAUAGGUUGUUAGGCAAAUGUAAAACCAAGGUUGGGCCUUGCUGGAGGAGUUUUAUUCAAAGCAAACUGUCAAGGGGUUCCCAUAACACCCAACCGCGUAAGGGACACAAAAUCAAGGAACAUAACACCGGCAUGAUGGAAAACCAGGCAUAAGGCCGAGCCUUCCACCCUUUACCAAGUAUAUAGAUGCAUUAAAGUAAACAAGAUAUAAUAAUGAUAUCCCAACAAUAUCCAUGUUCCAACAUGGAACAAACUUCAUCUUCACCUGCAACUAGCAACGCUAUAAGAGGGGCUGAGCAAAGCGGUAACAUAGCCAAAAAAUGGUUUGCUAGGAAAGGUGGGUUAGAGGCUUGACAUGGCAAUAUGGGAGGCAUGAUAUAGCAAGUGGUAGGUAUCGCAGCAUAGCAAUAGAGCGAGCAACUAGCAAGCAAAGAUAGAAGUGAUUUCGAGGGUAUGGUCAUCUUGCCUGAAAUCCCGCAAGGAAGAAGAACGAGUCCAUGAAGAAGACAAACGGACGUAGUCGAACGAAUCCUCACAACUCCGGAACGAAACCGAAGCUAACGAGAGAAGCAACCCGAAAAGAAGCAAACAACACAGUAAACAACCAUCACAUAAGCAUGGCAUGAUACACAACGAAGUAUGACGCAUGUCUGGUUUAAUGAGGUAUGGCAUGGCAAAAUGCACAAACAAUCCUACAAAUUAAGUGGAGCUCAAUAUACAACUCCGUUGCAUAUUGAUGAAACACCACGUGACUUAUUUAGUUCUCUCUCGUUUAGGUACCCAACAAUAUUAAAUGUUGAUUAACAUGGCAAGAGGUGAAGCAUAUCAAAACUACCUAUCUAGGCAAGUUUAAAUGAGGCCGGUACAACAAACAACAAGUCCGAAAACUCCUCAUGUGCAUAAUUUAGGUUUGGUGCUGUUCUGUUCUAAGUCAUAUUUUAAAGUUGUUAAACAUGCAAAUCAAGGUCACCAUGAUAAUCUAUGCAUUUUUCUACCCCAUUUACAUAUAAAGUUUGUUAGGUUUGGAGCUACGGUUAUUUAGUUAUGAAUUAAAUCAUUUUAACAUGGCAAUUAAGAAAAUAAAUGCAAACAGCAGUUUAAACAUUUUAAACAUGGUUUAAAGUUGGAUAUUAUGAAACUAGACACAAUUUUAAGCAUUUUUCAUAUAUAAAGUUUUUACAUAAGAUGUACGGUUUGUGACUUACGAUAUGCAUGAACUAGAGGGGCUAUUCUGCAAAACUAACAUUCUCUAGACAAAUAGGGAAAACCUGCAGAGCUCAAAAAAAACUUAACGGGCCAAAUGUGAACAGCGGUUUGGGGUGCUGGGUUGAGAGUUCUCACCAUGGGCCUCAGCCCAGUCGAUGGAGACGUAGGCCGGAAAGGGGGUGCUGGGCCUUGCACGGUGUUGGGCCUCACAGGCCGGUCCAACGAUGCAGGGGUUUGAGGUGCUCGUCCUCCUUGUGUCUGGCUCAGGCGCAGGACCAGGAGACAGGGACGGCGGCGCCCGAAGUCAACGACAGGGCAGCAACGACUUCGGCAGGUGAGGGCGGCGGGGAGGACCGAAGAGGAACGGAUCUGGGCGGCGGCUCACCGGAUCUGGCACGAGGACGGCUGGAACGAGCAUCGGCGAUGACGAGGACCUCGAGGCCGGUGAGCUCCUGCGAAGAAGAGGGAGGGAACUCGGGUGAGAGAGAGGAGGGGAAGGAAGGCGGGCGGCCUGGGCGAGCUCACCAAGGCGGCGAUGGUCGCCGAUGGUGGCAGGUUCGGCGAAGACGACGACCGACGACGAGGUUGGAGCGGCGCUGGAGGAGGUUGUGCGGUUCGGGAACUCGGGGAGGAACCAAGGGAGCGGCGGUCGAGCGCUCGAGCCCCGAUGGGCUCGGGCGGGCCCUGCACGGGCCUGAGCGGGCCGCGGUGGAAGGGGGCGCUGGAGGGGUGACGUGGCCUCAUUUGGUUGGGCGGGGCGGCGGCGCUGCCCACUAGGGUGGCGCCACGUGGCGACGGCGAGGUGGCGGCGCUGUAGAAGGCCAAGUGGCGGCGGCGAAGCGGAUCUGACGGCGACAAGUGGCGGGUGGAGGCUGGGGCUGCGCGGAAAAUGAGGAGGGUGGAAGAAGGCUAAAAUGGACUAGGGGGUGUCCAUAUAUAGCAGAAGGAGCUAGGGUUGGGGGGUUUUGCUCCGUUUCAGAGCCGUUCGAUCUCGAUCGAACGAUCCGGAGCGGAGGGGGUUAGAUAGGUGGGCUAGUGGGCUGUGCUAGAGAGAGAUGGGCUGAGAAGAGAGGAGAGAGAGAGGUCCGGUAGCAGCUUUCGGAGACCGAAAACGUCCGAGGUUAGACCGGCUAUGUUGCCGCUAUAGAUAUCCGUUGGGGCAUCAAAUGAACUCCGAAUGCUAUAGAUAUUCUGUUACCCUACUUGAACUGAUGGUUUCAUGCGAUCGUACUGAUGAUUUUCAUCCCGUCGAACUGAUCGUCUUUCCGUCGGAAUGGGGCGUGUAAUAUAUCGCUGGAAAGCUCUUGACAUCUACAUUACAAAUAUAUUAAAUUAUUUUGCAAAAUCAUUAUGGUUUAAGAGAAGUUUUGAAAAAAACGUUUUUUUCAAAACCAAAAACACAAAUCGUAUUUUGGACUUAAUUUUCAAACGGUUUGUCGAAAUUGAGCAAAUAAGAUGGCGUUGGAAAGCUGGUGAAAAUCCGCAUCUUCCAUAUAUCUAUUGUUUUUUCUAAUUCUAUACGAUUUAAAAGUAAUUUGGAAAACGAUGAAAUUCUGAGCGAAAUGUAUUUUCGCGAUUUUUUGGAAACGGUUUGUCCGAUUGAUGCAAACAAUACGGCGUUGGAAAUCUUUGUAAAAUGCACAACUUUUUCAUAUUGAAAUGUUUUUCUAAUUCCUUACGAUUUAAAAACAAAUUCGAAUAUGGUCAAAUUUGAUUUCGAACGCGAUUUUUUAAAAAGUUUGUCGAAAUGAGGCAAAUAAUAUACGGCUGGGAAGAUAUCGAGAAUACAAAACUUAGUCAUGUUGAACGUUUUCUUAAAUUUGCAACCGUUAAAGAGUAAUUUGGAUUACGAUGAGACCCAUCGUGCUGUUUUUCCAUCAGAAAAAACAGAGUACUUGUACUGAUCUACGUGUGCGUUUAUACUGAUGUAUUCUUCGGAGAGUAAUUUUUAAAGGUUCCGGAAAAAAGAGUACUUGAACUGAUGUUUGCAUGGGUUUGUAUUAAGCGUGUUUUCACUAACUAGACUUUUAUUUUUUGCUCGUACGUUUUCAACGGUUUAUUGUAUCGUCCCUGUACUUGCAUGUUUUAUAUCAUUGAACUGAAUGAUAGUUUUUUUAAAAAUAAAAUGUUUUUUUAUUCUUUUUUUUUUGAACUAAACAUUUUUUUACAACGAUGUUUUGGAUUUUUCUUUUUUUACGACUUGUACUUUUCCCAUUUGAAUUGCAUGCGGUUUCUUUUUUGCUUGAACUUUUACAAGUUGAAUUUCUGUCAUUUCUUUUAUUCCGAACGGACCACCAUUUUUAACUUGUACUGGUCAAUUUAUUUAAUUCAACCAUUUUUUCUUUGUAGAACGGACCAUCGUUUUUGUUUGUACGGAUCAGUUGUAGAACUUAGACGUCAAUGUCACAGAAUUACACUUUGAAAGAAUCACCUUCUCCCAUUCGGACUGACCACAAAAGUUGCAUCAGGAAACUCACAAAAACAGGGACGAAUCACCUUCUUCCAUCCGGACUGACCACAAAAGUUGCAUCAGGAAACAAAAACAAGGACGAUUACAACGAGAUCGACGAGAAUGUAUGAACCAUACCAUUUUUAGCUCAAUAACUUAUUAAACAAGAUGUUUUUGAAGUUUCCCACAUGAACACAAUGAUAAUUAUCAAAAAAAUAAAGUGCUUCCGCACAUGGGUACAAAAAAACUUCCAGCACACUUGGUCCUGCUCCUUGUCUUCGGUAUCAGUUCAACAGGUAGCGUGCUUUAGUGCUUCCACAUGAGGAUUGCAUUAACCAAGAAAUCACUUAUUUCACAAAACUAAACUCUUGAACUUGCUACACGGCAGUCUUUGAACCUCCUACAGGAACAGAAUAUAUAUCAUACAACAUAUAUAUAUAUUUGCAAACUUGGAGCUUGUACUCAAUAAGAAUCUCUUGUUUCUUGGGCACAUAUCAACAGAAAAUGCUCAAUAGAAUUGCUUGAUGUACUAUAUUUUACAGAACAAAUUGUACUAAACUUAACUAAAAUUAGAAAUUGUACUGAACUAAAAUAAGAAACUUAAACUGAGUGUGUCACUAAAAUAAGAAGUAGAACAUGUAGGUCUGAGAAGGCAUGGAUGUGAACUUUAUUUGUGCAAUGAAACCAAACACUCAGAGUCUCGCUUUUUUAUUCUGACAUUUAGAAAUUGAUUUGCAAAUGACAACAUGUGGACUCAGCUCAUGAACAUAUCAUCCUUGCUGCUGGUUUAUCAAUAACACUUUUUUCUGGAUGAAACCAUGCAAUCCCAUCAUCAAUUGUAAAAAGAAAACUCCUUUAUUUUUCAUUUUCCCAUGCAAUAACACAAGAAAAAAAAUCAACAAACCACAAUGGUAAGACCAAAGCUACAAUACCUUUUCUUGAGCUAGCUACUACAUGUACUGACUCCACCACUGUAGCGUCCCUGUAUCCUCCUUGCGCGGGCAACCACUAGGGAUCAAGUGCUGCUGCCGCUCGACACAUUGAACCACCUGUAGGAAUCAAAGUGAACGGAAGGGAUUCGAACACAUCAAUGGACACAUGUACUACAGAGCAAUGUGAAUCUGUACUGUCCAUGACAACAAACUAACAAAAAUACAAUUUAUGAAGGAAAACAGUUCUUUGAAAUUGGGUUGAGCUUAAAUUGUUAGAUUUUUUGAACUCCUGCAGUACUUAUACUUGGACUUGCACGACACAUUUUUGAAAGCAUCUGAUGUUCAGAAUAUGCUAUAUGAAAAGAGGAAGGGGUAACACAAUAAGAGACAUAGGCGAAAGAGAGAAAAUCAUGAUCUAUUUAGCUAGGAUAUUUAUGAUACUAGGCAGUGACAUACAUGUCAAACCAUUCCCACCAAGAAGUAGUAGCAGGGUUCAGCUAUCAGUGAGGAGAUGCAAAAGAAAUGCAACUAUACAUUGAAAAUUCCAAUAAAAGCAUUGAAAAAACCCUACUGUUGGCCGUUUGCAAUGCAACUUAGAGGAUUGAAAUACACAAGCAUCAUGGGAGAACUAAAUCAAAUAAAGUACCUUUCUUCCUGCAGCUAUCUAAUUUGCAUUAUAUGUUGCACGAACUCCACAUUGAACAGCUCGUUACCAUUGCUAGUUUGAACUGAAGUAAAUUUAGUACUCCCUCCUUCCCAAAUUGUUAGGCGUAUUAGCUUUUGCAUGCAAUCCCAACAUGUAAGGCACAUGCAAACAAAUCCUUCUCUCAAGCAGUUAAAAUAUCCUGACGAUCGCUAAAUUCCUAGAAGUUAAGGAGUACUAGUAGGUAAUGAAGGGAUCGUGCAGUUAAAAGACGUGGUCAAGGAGAUCGUGCAUGCCUCCCUUUCCUUUUUUUGAGGUCGUGCAUGCCUUCGUCUCUCGUACCUGUACGUUAGCUCGAGUAACAAACGAUGUGCGCUAAUUUUCGUGCUGAAAUCUAAAGCGCCUAACAAUAUGGGAAGGAGGGAGUAACAUUUUGAACUAAAGUAAUUUUAUUAAUUGAACUGAACUAAAAAAAUAAUUUACUAAUCGAAAUGCUAGUUUUUUUCCUGUGUGCACUGAAGAACUACUGCAGGUCAUACAUCAAAUAUACUAGAGAAAACCGAACAUGUGUGGCAGUGCCAGUGCAGCACGGUGUCCUCGCUGAAGAAGCAUCAUGAAUUGCUAGAGAAAACUGUAUGUGAUUUUUUUCUGAACUGAAAAAGAGCUCUUGUUUGUUAGAGAAGUGAAGAAAUAAAUAUUGGGACCCGCUGUAAUGCAUAUAUCCACAAAUUCAGACACCAAAACUAAAGAAAAUAAUAGAAAAGAAAUUAGAUAAUGUUAAAUUUGAAACGUCUCAGUUUUUAGCAUCACUUCUAAACUUUUUUUUCACUCCUAUCUAAUCUUCAAGAAAUUCUCUAGUGGACCUAUAAUUAUUGUAAAAAAUAAUCAACAGGAAUGAUCUCCACCCGUCACCAAUUUACUCAAACUAUCUACACUCAUAUGAGCUUUCCAUUCAAGAUUUCCCGUCCUAUCUUCUUCUAAACAAAUUGAGAACUCUAACCACAUUUUUUUGGAAGCUAUACUGAAAUGCUAGCACAUGUACUACUUUACAGCAACUAUCUUUCGAAGAAAACAUAAUUAAAAGUUGCAAGCAUUUGAAUAGGAGGAAGUCCAACUCAGCUGCAAGCAUAAGGUCAACCAGAGCAUCAGAAUAAGUACACUCAGCUUCAAACAAAUUUGAGAGAUUGAGGGACUACAGGGGUUGUUAUCUCCAAAGAACAUUUGGUGAAUAGAGAAAUGGAUUUAUGAGAUUGACAUUGUCCUGUUUAGACUAUCUACCCAAACAGGGAUAGGAGUUUGACUACGCCGGACAUUAUUCUGCGCUACAUAGUGUGUAGACAUGCUGCCAAUGUCUCACACAUGGUUUGCUAGAACAAGUUGAAAUAAAUAUCUUUUUCAUUUUGAACUUUGAAAGAAGCUAUAACUUUGGCAAAUGUAUGCAGAACUUUAAAUUUCCGACCACAUGCCUUAUGUUCUUGUUUGUUGCCGGGCAUGCCGCUCCUACUCCUGUGGACUGACUGUGCCGACGAAGUCGAGCUGAAGGAGCGGGGAUCACGAGCGGCGGCUGGGUGCGCCGGGAUUUUGCCGAUGUAGGGGGAUCCCAUCUACUACCAAGUCAUUCCCAAGGAGCUUGUAGAGGCGGGGCAGUUGGUCGCAGGCCAGUCGGUGUAAGUUUGAACUAUCAGGUGUGCCGGGAUUUGGCCGCUGUAGAGAAACAAGAAGUCAGAACAAACAGGAGCUAUAUAAUGACGUGCUUCAUGGGCAGUCCAAAAGCAGCAGCCACACAAGUUCAGUAGCCGCUCAACACGCGCACCUAAUCGAUGGGAAUUUACACAGACUGUUUGGAAUUUAUACAAACUUUUAAAACAUGAACUCUGUGGUCCAAAACUUAGUGUUUGAACCAAAAUGCAUGUUUUAACUAAGUUGCACGAUAGCUCAAAUUUGAAAUCAAAUCAUUCAGAAAUUGCACCAAAUAUAUCACAUUUUUGCAAAGAUGAAAUGUAUCUAGUGUUGCUAGCAAGUUGAUUAAUAGAACGACUCUAUGUAUCUCUCUUAUUUCUGCCCAUGAUGGUAUGGUAAGUGAUAACAAUAUACAAUGGACAAUACACACAUGUACUACACAAGACUCUACGUCUGUACUGCCAAGAACAAUAAAUUAACCAAAAGAAAACUAAUUUAUGAAGGAAACAAUUCUUGAACUUUGGUUAGAGCUAUGUUCGUUGAGAUUUUUGAACUCUUGCAGUAGUUAUAUGAUAGAGGCGGGGGUGUCCCGAUCUUUCGAUGAGAUGAUAACUAUCGAUUUGGUGGAGACGACUUUGACGAUCCGACUACAAACGUGCACGACGUUGCGCCUUAGCAAUCGCUAAACCAACUCCGAGAGGUUAUUGACCAUGCCGGAGCACAAUCAACCUGACCACGAAGGUCUAUUCCUGCAAGCAAUCGAAGAACAAGCAAGAAUAUGAUAAAAGCAAUCUGAAUAUUGCGAGUAUAUAUGAAGUAUUGAUAAAGGUGGGGAUCCGUAAGCAGUCUUGGUCUGGUCGUUGGACACAAACGAAGUACACGAAGUUGCAAUGGCUAACUUUUAACUAAACAAAUCCCAAGGAAAAGCUACUAGAUGGAUCUACUUAUAUAGGAGCAAGGGGUGGCGGCCAAGGAGGUGGGAGGACGUCCCAAGGCAGCCUAAAACUAAAUCUAGGUCGUACAAGGCCAAUGGGCCCAAGUGGAGGUGAUGUAACACCUUUGGACUUGUAGUUUGACUCGGAUUCUGCUGCAGCAUCAGAUUGUUUCGUCCACAACUCAACGCUACGGACGAAUUUGAAGGUGAUUCCACUUGGGUUGGAAAGUGCACGAAAUCUAGUUUCCAACAAAAAAAGAAUCACCCAAUUCGGAGUCCGUCUGAAAAACUUGUGUGCAUUUUGAGUCAGGUAUGUCUGUGCAGUCCGAAUCUGAAUCCAGAACGUGAGAGACUUGGACUCUAUCUUCUCUUGGGCCAAAAGUGACGUGAGAGAACUUUUUGGACAGCAAAUAAACAUCUCUUUCUUCCUUAUCUUCAUAUGUGGAUUGUACAAAUGUCCCAUACACCUGCAAUUAGACAAAACACAAAAGUGUGUGAAGUAUUUUUGUUCUGGAUAACACAAAUAGAUUAUUGAAUAGUUUGCACUAGAAAUCACCUGACAAAUAUGCAUAUAUGCAAUAUUUUUGGUCAUAUCCAAGGUAGUCAUGUCCUCAUCAUCGAUGAUGAGGACAUCAAUACAAUUGUUACACCCACAGCCCCUGCUGCUAUACAUACUGGACCAAUUACUAGAGCUCGUGCACGCCAACUAAAUUACCAGGUACUUUCGUUUCUUGGUAAUGAUUCUAAUGUUCAUGAGAAUAUGAUGCUGCCUAAAUUGGAUACAUUUGUUUUGCUUACAAAUGAAGGACCUAGCUUGGAGAAGGAUGAACAUUGGAGCAAGAACAAGCAUGGAGAUGAUGGCAUGCGCAAGGGGAACAAGAACGGAGUUACAAGUGAUGAUUUCAGGACUUUGAAGCCACCAUAAUGGGUGCAUGAAGCCUUGGACGAAAUAUACAAGAUGCCACUUCAUAAAUUUCGUCCCGAGGCUAUUUUAGGUGCUGCGUCACCUUAUUAUUGGGCCAGGCCCAUGUAAUUUCGAAAUACAUAAGUAUAGGCUAUUUUUAGAGUCCGUAUGUGUGGGGAAACAAGAGAUAGGGUUGAUUUCGGACUCCUCCACCAAGGGCCACGAAAUUCCCCCCCUCUUCCUCCAUAUAUACAGCCCUUAGGGCAUCGUUUAGACUUUGGGAUUUGUUUAGUUAAAAGUUAGCCAUUGCAACUUCGUGUACUUCGUUUGUGUCCAACGACCAGACCAAGACCGCUUCCGGAUCCCCACCAUUAUCAAUACUUCAUAUAUAUUUGCAAUAUUCAGAUUGCUUUAUCAUAUUCUUGCUCGUUCUUCGAUUGCUUGCAGGAAUAGACCUUCGUGGUCAGGCUGACCGUGCUUCCAGCAUCGUCAGUAACCUCAGGAGAUCGGUUUAGCGAUUGCUAAGGUGCAACGUCGUGCACAUUUGUAGUCGGAUCGUGAAAGUCGUCUCCAUCAAAUCGAUAGUUAUCAUCUCAUCGAAAGAUCGGGACCCUCGUCUCUAUCAAGUAGUACUUGACGCAUAAUCUCCUUCGUCUCCUCUGGAUUGGUACGGUAUGGUGCACGGUUUGGCAGUGAAGCACCGGGAAUUAAGUCAAUUUGAUGCUCAAUCCCUCGAAUAGGCGGUAAUCCCGGUGGCACGUCUUGUGGAAAGACGUCAGCGAACUCCUGCAAAAUGUUAGUGACAGCAGGAGGCAAAGAGGAAGGCACGUCCUCGAAUGAAAAUAAUGCCUCUUUGCACACAAAAGCAUAGCAAACAGAUUUGCUGAAAUCUAGCUCAUCAAUAUCAGAUUUGGUGGCAAAUAAACAUGCACUUUUCAAUUUAAUUUCAGAAGCAACACUAGAUGGUUUAUUAUUAGGCUUCAUUUGUUGCUCAAAUUCUUUUGCCACAAUCUGAUUUUCACUCUUAUUCGUCUCCUUUUUUGCUUUAUUAGCUCUAUUAAUAUCAUCUUUCAAAAUGGAAUCAGGAGUCAUAGGAAGCAAAGUAAUAUUUUUAUCCUUAUGAACAAGAGUAUAGUGAUUGUUUCUACCAUGGUGUACAGAAUUUUUAUCAAAUUGCCAUGGUCUACCAAGUAAUAAGGAACAUGCUUGCAUAGGUACCACAUCACAAUCAACAUAAUCAGCAUAUGUAGAGAUACUAAAAUGCACACGAACAGUACGUGUUACCUUAACCUUGCCGCUGUUGUUGAACCAUUGGAUGUAGUAAGGAUGUGGAUGUGGUCUUGUGGUGAGAGAAAGCUUCUUGAUAGAGGCAAAGGUGUCCCGUCUUUCGAUGAGAUAGUGGAUUUCGCUUUGGUGGAAGUCGACUUUGACGAUCCGACUACGAACGUGCGAGGACGUCGCGCCUUAGCAAUCGCUAAACCAACUCCGAGAGGUUAUUGACCACGCCGGAGCACGAUCAACCUGACCACGAGGGUCUGUUUCCUGCGAGCAAACGAAGAACAAGCAAGAAACUGAGAUUGCAAUCUGGAUAUUGCGAAUAUAAGAUGAAAGCUUUAUUGAUCAAGGUGGGGUUCUGUGACGCCUUUGUCUGGUCGUUGAACACAAACGAAGUACGCGAAGUUGCAGCUAUGGGGAACUUUUAAUCUAAACAAAACCCAAAGUCUAAACGAUGCCCUAAGGGCUGUAUAUAUGGAGGAAGAGGGGGGAAUUUCGUGGCCCUUGGUGGAGGGGUCCGAAAUCAACCCUAUCUCUUGUUUCCCCACACAUACGGACUCUAAAAAUAGCCUAUACUUAUGUAUUUCGAAAUUACAUGGGCCUGGCCCAAUAAUAAGGUGACGCAGCACCUAAAAUAGCCUUGGGACGAAAUUUAUGAAGUGGCAUCUUGUAUAUUUCGUCCAAAGCUUCAUGCACCCAUUAUGGUGGCUUCAAAGUCCUGAAAUCAUCACUUGUAACUCCGUUAUUGUUCCCCUUGCGCAUGCCAUCAUCUCCAUGCUUGUUCUUGCUCCAAUGUUCAUCCUUCUCCAAGCUAGGCCCUUCAUUUGUAAGCAAAACAAAUGUAUCCAAUUUAGGCAGCAUCAUAUUCUCAUGAACAUUAGAAUCAUUACCAAGAAACGAAAGUACCUGGUAAUUUAGUUGGCGUGCACGAGCUCUAGUAAUUGGUCCAGUAUGUAUAGCAGCAGGGGCUGUGGGUGUAACAAUUGUAUUGAUGUCCUCAUCAAAAACAUUGAGCGUAUGAAUGCUAAAUAUAAACUUGCUGGAGAUAAGGGUAGAAAACAUGUUGUGUUUGCACCUGGAGAUCUUGUUUGGUUACAUUUGCGUAAGGAUAGAUUUCCUGAUUUGCGCAAAUCAAAGUUAAUGCCACGUGCUGAUGGUCCCUUUAAGGUGUUAGAGAAAAUAAAUGAUAAUGCAUAUAAACUUGAGCUGCCUGCAAAUUUUGGGGUUAGUCCCACUUUUAACAUUCCAGAUUUGAAGCCUUAUUUGGGUGAGGAAGAUGAACUUCCGUCGAGGACGACUUCAUUUCAAGAAGGGGAGGAUGAUGAGGACAUCAAUACAAUUGUUACACCCACAGCCCCUGCUGCUAUACAUACUGGACCAAUUACUAGAGCUCGUGCACGCCAACUAAAUUACCAGGUACUUUCGUUUCUUGGUAAUGAUUCUAAUGUUCAUGAGAAUAUGAUGCUGCCUAAAUUGGAUACAUUUGUUUUGCUUACAAAUGAAGGGCCUAGCUUGGAGAAGGAUGAACAUUGGAGCAAGAACAAGCAUGGAGAUGAUGGCAUGCGCAAGGGGAACAAUAACGGAGUUACAAGUGAUGAUUUCAGGACUUUGAAGCCACCAUAAUGGGUGCAUGAAGCCUUGGACGAAAUAUACAAGAUGCCACUUUAUAAAUUUCGUCCCGAGGCUAUUUUAGGUGCUGCGUCACCUUAUUAUUGGGCCAGGCCCAUGUAAUUUCGAAAUACAUAAGUAUAGGCUAUUUUUAGAGUCCGUAUGUGUGGGGAAACAAGAGAUAGGGUUGAUUUCGGACCCCUCCACCAAGGGCCACGAAAUUCCCCCCUCUUCCUCCAUAUAUACAGCCCUUAGGGCAUCGUUUAGACUUUGGGUUUUGUUUAGAUUAAAAGUUCCCCAUAGCUGCAACUUCGCGUACUUCGUUUGUGUUCAACGACCAGACAAAGGCGUCACAGAACCCCACCUUGAUCAAUAAAGCUUUCAUCUUAUAUUCGCAAUAUCCAGAUUGCAAUCUCAGUUUCUUGCUUGUUCUUCGUUUGCUCGCAGGAAACAGACCCUCGUGGUCAGGUUGAUCGUGCUCCGGCGUGGUCAAUAACCUCUCGGAGUUGGUUUAGCGAUUGCUAAGGCGCGACGUCCUCGCACGUUUGUAGUCGGAUCGUCAAAGUCGACUUCCACCAAAGCGAUAUCCAUCAUCUCAUCGAAAGACGGGACACCUUUGCCUCUAUCAAGUGGUAUCAGAUUUCCAGGUUGCUCGGUGAGAUUUUACAGUUUUUCGUAGUUUAGAUCGAGUCUGUUCUUCAUACCUACAGUCCACGAAAAAGCCACAAAAAAAAUUAGGGUUAGUUCAUCAUAUCCGAACCAAUCUGAGCCUUUGCAUAAUCUUUUUAGGGUUUUGCUUUAUUGAAUUUGCGGUUGCAUCGUCGUGUCUAGUUGCUGGUCUUAGAGUCUAGUCUUUUAGAGUUUCGAGUUCUGGUCAUAAGUUGUCACGCCGCUGCCGCACCAUCAUCAUCGCCCCUGCCAUCUACCACCACCGCUUAUCCGCCACCGCUCCGAAUCCGUAUCCAUAUACCACCACCGAUUCAUAUACCACCACCGAUUCAUAUCCAUAUCCAUAUACUACCACCGCUACCACCACCGCUGCCAUAUACCACCACCAUAUAUCCACCACCAAUCCGAGUUCCUUGCAUAUUCGGUUUGUUUUCGAGAUCCAUCUAGAUUCCGAUUCGUGUUUCCUUGCCGGAGUAGGUUUCGGAAAAAAAAAAGAAGAGUCGGGUAGCCACGCUCCGUUUAGGCCCAAAAUUUUUCGAAAACGCAUUUUUCGAAAAAUUUUCUGGCUAUCCUAUUUUUAGGUGUUUCUGAGUGUUUUGAGACAGGUGCCAUUAUAGGAAGUUUUUUUUGACCCGUUUCCAGUUUUUGGGUCCGGGCAGUCAAAAAAAAAUUGGUCGAAAAAAUUUCGUGCCCAUCCUGAUACCACUUGAUAGAGGCGGGGUGUCCCGAUCUUUCGAUGAGAUGAUAACUAUCGAUUUGGUGGAGACGACUUUGACGAUCCGACUACAAACGUGCACGACGUUGCGCCUUAGCAAUCGCUAAACCAACUCCGAGAGGUUAUUGACCAUGCCGGAGCACAAUCAACCUGACCACGAAGGUCUAUUCCUGCAAGCAAUCGAAGAACAAGCAAGAAUAUGAUAAAAGCAAUCUGAAUAUUGCGAGUAUAUAUGAAGUAUUGAUAAAGGUGGGGAUCCGUAAGCAGUCUUGGUCUGGUCGUUGGACACAAACGAAGUACACGAAGUUGCAAUGGCUAACUUUUAACUAAACAAAUCCCAAGGAAAAGCUACUAGAUGGAUCUACUUAUAUAGGAGCAAGGGGUGGCGGCCAAGGAGGUGGGAGGACGUCCCAAGGCAGCCUAAAACUAAAUCUAGGUCGUACAAGGCCAAUGGGCCCAAGUGGAGGUGAUGUAACACCUUUGGACUUGUAGUUUGACUCGGAUUCUGCUGCAGCAUCAGAUUGUUUCGUCCACAACUCAACGCUCCGGACGAAUUUGAAGGUGAUUCCACUUGGGUUGGAAAGUGCAUGAAAUCUAGUUUCCAACAAAAAAAGAAUCACCCAAUUCGGAGUCCGUCUGAAAAACUUGUGUGCGUUUUGAGUCAGGUAUGUCUGUGCAGUCCGAAUCUGAAUCUAGAACGUGAGAGACUUGGACUCUAUCUUCUCUUGGGCCAAAAGUGACGUGAGAGAACUUUUUGGACAGCAAAUAAACAUCUCUUUCUUCCUUAUCUUCAUAUGUGGAUUGUACAAAUGUCCCAUACACCUGCAAUUAGACAAAACACAAAAGUGUGUGAAGUAUUUUUGUUCUGGAUAACACAAAUAGAUUAUUGAAUAGUUUGCACUAGAAAUCACCUGACAAAUAUGCAUAUAUGCAAUAUUUUUGGUCAUAUCCAAGGUAGUCAUGUCCUCAUCAUCCUCCCCUUCUUGAAAAUAAAGCCGUCCUCGGCGUUGCUUAAUCUGAAAUGUGGCUAACAAAAGAGACAAGGUGUACAUGUUGUAUAUGUAUAUGUCAUCCAUUUUUACUUCCCUUGAUUUUUGCAUAUAUGACACAUGAAUAGAUGAGUAACUUGCAUAGUUCAUAAAAUCUAAAGCCCAAAAAUUAGCACAAGAAGUAGAAGGCAUGAAAAUAUUGCAACUCAGUUUGCACAUAUAAGUGAAGCUCUUAUUCAUUUCAAAAGAUUGACAAUGUUCAUCAUUAAACCAUCCCAACAUUGGUGAAUAAACCUUACUUGCAUCAAAUUUACAUGCUACAACAUGCUUAAAUAAGCAAACAUGCAAUAAGUCAUUCAACACAGAAUCAUCACCAAGAUUAGAGGUCAUAUCAAAAUGAUUAAACAUUGGUUCUUUUGCAUCAAUAGUUAAUUCAAUGAGUGCACUCAAAAUUGUUGGUAUUUCAGUUGUUUGAUCACAUGGCAAAGUCAAAUUAUCAACGUAGUCCUCUAAAAUAGGUGGUGUGAUCAAAGUAGUGGGUAGCUCAUCAGAUGGUGCAUUCAAAUUGACAAGGCAUUCAUCAUUCUCAUGUAGAGAUCUAAGAUCAGUACCUUUGUCAUUACCUCUUAUGAUCAACUCAGAUGAUGUAGCCACUCUCGGGGGCGAUGUGUCACAUGGUGGAGGUGAUGUAGUCCUGACAACAACGGAUGUGGUUGUCAUAGUAUGCCUAGUAGUUGAAGGAACAAUCAUAUCAACUCUUGGAAUGUGCACCGUGCGCUUGUUCUCCUCGUGGCCAACACGUCGUUUUAUUUCCUGUUCAGCUUUGCAAGCAAGAUGAAACAAAUGGUCCAUAGGAUAACACUCUUCAUGAAUUAGUAUCUCUUGAAUAUCAUGGUUUAAUCCUCCCCAAAAUCUAUCCAUAAAAUCAUCUUCACUUUCUUCUAAAGAGGAAUGCAACAAGGUAGUUUGUAAAUCAUCAUAAUAUUUUGUUACAGUUUCACUACCUUGUUUUAAGUGUUGCAACUUCUUAAUCAUGUCACGAGUAUAAUAAGCAGGGACGAAAGUAUGUCGCAUGACAAGUUUCAAAUCAUCCCAAGUAGUAGGUAUAUAAUCAGGGUGUAACCGACAAUAUUCACUCCACCAAACCAAAGCAUAACCAGUGAAAGAACCAACCGCAACCUUAACCUUUUUAUGUUCAUCGAAAUUAUGGGAAGCAAAUAUAUUUUUUAUGUCGAACUCCCAUUCAAUAUAUAAAGCAGGUUUAAAACGGCCAUUAAAUGGUGGUAUAGAUACAUUAACCUGAUCAUGUGCAUUUGGAUAUUUGUGCACCUCUCGUGACGGUUGUGGUAUUUGCAAAGGUGGUGGCACGUCUCCCGCGAUCGACGAAGCCCAUGAAUUGACUCUGGAUCCUGUCAUGAUUAGUAGAACAAGAAACAAAACCCAAAAAUAAUGUUCCUAUAACUACUAGGAUGUGGUGGUAAAACGCUCACAGUAAAGCAAAUAUCAAUGUCUUACACGUUGAUAGAGGCAAAGGUGUCCCGUCUUUCGAUGAGAUGAUGGAUUUCGCUUUGGUGGAAGUCGACUUUGACGAUCCGACUACGAACGUGCGAGGACGUCGCGCCUUAGCAAUCGCUAAACCAACUCCGAGAGGUUAUUGACCACGCUGGAGCACGAUCAACCUGACCACGAGGGUCUGUUUCCUGCGAGCAAACGAAGAACAAGCAAGAAACUAAGAUUGCAAUCUGGAUAUUGCGAAUAUAAGAUGAAAGCUUUAUUGAUCAAGGUGGGGUUCUGUGACGCCUUUGUCUGGUCGUUGAACACAAACGAAGUACGCGAAGUUGCAGCUAUGGCGAACUUUUAAUCUAAACAAAACCCAAAGUCUAAACGAUGCCCUAAGGGCUGUAUAUAUGGAGGAAGAGGGGGAGAAUUUCGUGGCCCUUGGUGGAGGGGUCCGAAAUCAACCCUAUCUCUUGUUUCCCCACACAUACGGACUCUAAAAAUAGCCUAUACUUAUGUAUUUCGAAAUUACAUGGGCCUGGCCCAAUAAUAAGGUGACGCAGCACCUAAAAUAGCCUCGGGACGAGAUUUAUGAAGUGGCGUCUUGUAUAUUUCGUCCAAGGCUUCAUGCACCCAUUAUGGUGGCUUCAAAGUCCUGAAAUCAUCACUUGUAACUCCGUUCUUGUUUCCCUUGCGCAUGCCAUCAUCUCCAUGCUUGUUCUUGCUCCAAUGUUCAUCCUUCUCCAAGCUAGGCCCUUCAUUUGUAAGCAAAACAAAUGUAUCCAAUUUAGGCAGCAUCAUAUUCUCAUGAACAUUAGAAUCAUUACCAAGAAACGAAAGUACCUGGUAAUUUAGUUGGCGUGCACGAGCUCUAGUAAUUGGUCCAGUAUGUAUAGCAGCAGGGGCUGUGGGUGUAACAAUUGUAUUGAUGUCCUCAUCACAAUGUUCAUCAUUAAACCAUCCCAACAUUGGUGAAUAAACCUUACUUGCAUCAAAUUUACAUGCUACAACAUGCUUAAAUAAGCAAACAUGCAAUAAGUCAUUCAACACAGAAUCAUCACCAAGAUUAGAGGUCAUAUCAAAAUGAUUAAACAUUGGUUCUUUUGCAUCAAUAGUUAAUUCAAUGGGUGCACUCAAAAUUGUUGGUAUUUCAGUUGUUUGAUCACAUGGCAAAGUCAAAUUAUCAACGUAGUCCUCUAAAAUAGGUGGUGUGAUCAAAGUAGUGGGUAGCUCAUCAGAUGGUGCAUUCAAAUUGACAAGGCAUUCAUCAUUCUCAUGUAGAGAUGGAAGAUCAGUACCUUUGUCAUUACCUCUUAUGAUCAACUCAGAUGAUGUAGCCACUCUCGGGGGCGAUGUGUCACAUGGUGGAGGUGAUGUAGUCCUGACAACAACGGAUGUGGUUGUCAUAGUAUGCCUAGUAGUUGAAGGAACAAUCAUAUCAACUGUUGGAAUGUGCACCGUGUGCUUGUUCUCCUCGUGGCCAACACGUCGUUUUAUUUCCUGUUCAGCUUUGCAAGCAAGAUGAAACAAAUGGUCCAUAGGAUAACACUCUUCAUGAAUUAGUAUCUCUUGAAUAUCACGGUUUAAUCCUCCCCAAAAUCUAUCCAUAAAAUCAUCUUCACUUUCUUCUAAAGAGGAAUGCAACAAGGUAGUUUGUAAAUCAUCAUAAUAUUUUGUUACAGUUUCACUACCUUGUUUUAAGUGUUGCAACUUCUUAAUCAUGUCACGAGUAUAAUAAGCAGGGACGAAAGUAUGUCGCAUGGCAAGUUUCAAAUCAUCCCAAGUAGUAGGUAUAUAAUCAGGGUGUAACCGACAAUAUUCACUCCACCAAACCAAAGCAUAACCAGUGAAAGAACCAACCGCAACCUUAACCUUUUUAUGUUCAUUGAAAUUAUGGGAAGCAAAUAUAUUUUUUAUGUUGAACUCCCAUUCAAUAUAUAAAGCAGGUUUAAAACGGCCAUUAAAUGGUGGUAUAGAUACAUUAACCUGAUCAUGUGCAUUUGGAUGUUUGUGCACCUCUCGUGACGGUUGUGGUAUUUGCAAAGGUGGUGGCACGUCUCCCGCGAUCGACGAAGGCCAUGAAUUGACUCUGGAUCCUGUCAUGAUUAGUAGAACAAGAAACAAAACCCAAAAAUAAUGUUCCUAUAACUACUAGGAUGUGGUGGUAAAACGCUCACAGUAAAGCAAAUAUCAAUGUCUUACACGUUCUUACCAUGCAGCAGGCGGUGAUCGGCAACCAGCGGUGUCAAGUAACUCCGAAUAUUGAGUAAAGCGAUUGCCAGGGGAGCGUACGUAUACACGGCGUAGAAAUAUGUGGAGCUGGGUUGGCUAUAUAUGGUAGCAAAAGAUUAGCAAUAAUCAAUUCAAAGAUGCAAUGUUGAAUAAACGCUCAACGACGGUACUGUGCUGGUCCUAGGCUAGACCGAACUAGAGACGCGAGCCUAGAACACUAAUGAGGUCACGUCGUAGCACAACCAGCAUCAAUGAAGGAUACAAAGUAGCUCUGGACAGCAAGAUAUAAGUGAAGAUCACAACGGCAGUAAAGAUAAUGAUGUGAAACAAUAGCCAAGCUGUUUUACUGAACAGUGCACAAAACAGAUUCCAAUCCGAAUUCAGGUACGAGAUUGAUUCUAGAUAGAUCCAAUUUUUUUUCUCUCUUUUUUUUCUCACGCUUUUUUUUCUUUUUCUUCUCCCUCUUUUUUCUUUUUUUUUCUUUCCUUUUUCUCUCUUUUUUUUUCUUUAUCUUCUUUUUCUCCCUCUUUUCAAGACAAACUAGAUAAGAUGCAGAUUCGAUCAGGCGAAGAUGUGAGUGACCUCAACUAUGAUUAUGACAAUAAACAGUGCGUAGCACGUGGUGGAAAUUGGUGGAUUGGAUGGUGGACAGCGGAUGGGAUAAUGAUGCAGCGGCUGCGUGACUAAUGUGAACAGAACUCGAAACUCUAAAGAAACUAGACACUAAGACCAGCAACUCGACACGACGAUGCAACCGAUAAUUCAACUAUGCAAGCAAUGAAAAGAAAAUUGCACAGGCUCAGACUGGCUUGGACCAAGGAUGAAUAGAUCUAACUCUUUUUUGUGGCUUUUUCUUGGACAAUAGGUAAGAAAAUAAAUCUAAUCUAGGAAAACUGGAAAUUCUCACCGAGCAACCUGAAAACUGAUACCACUUGAUAGAGGCGGGGGUGUCCCGAUCUUUCGAUGAGAUGAUAACUAUCGAUUUGGUGGAGACGACUUUGACGAUCCGACUACAAACGUGCACGACGUUGCGCCUUAGCAAUCGCUAAACCAACUCCGAGAGGUUAUUGACCAUGCCGGAGCACAAUCAACCUGACCACGAAGGUCUAUUCCUGCAAGCAAUCGAAGAACAAGCAAGAAUAUGAUAAAAGCAAUCUGAAUAUUGCGAGUAUAUAUGAAGUAUUGAUAAAGGUGGGGAUCCGUAAGCGGUCUUGGUCUGGUCGUUGGACACAAACGAAGUACACGAAGUUGCAAUGGCUAACUUUUAACUAAACAAAUCCCAAGGAAAAGCUACUAGAUGGAUCUACUUAUAUAGGAGCAAGGGGUGGCGGCCAAGGAGGUGGGAGGACGUCCCAAGGCAGCCUAAAACUAAAUCUAGGUCGUACAAGGCCAAUGGGCCCAAGUGGAGGUGAUGUAACACCUUUGGACUUGUAGUUUGACUCGGAUUCUGCUGCAGCAUCAGAUUGUUUCGUCCACAACUCAACGCUACGGACGAAUUUGAAGGUGAUUCCACUUGGGUUGGAAAGUGCAUGAAAUCUAGUUUCCAACAAAAAAAGAAUCACCCAAUUCGGAGUCCGUCUGAAAAACUUGUGUGCGUUUUGAGUCAGGUAUGUCUGUGUAGUCCGAAUCUGAAUCCAGAACAUGAGAGACUUGGACUCUAUCUUCUCUUGGGCCAAAAGUGACGUGAGAGAACUUUUUGGACAGCAAAUAAACAUCUCUUUCUUCCUUAUCUUCGUAUGUGGAUUGUACAAAUGUCCCAUACACCUGCAAUUAGACAAAACACAAAAGUGUGUGAAGUAUUUUUGUUCUGGAUAACACAAAUAGAUUAUUGAAUAGUUUGCACUAGAAAUCACCUGACAAAUAUGCAUAUAUGCAAUAUUUUUGGUCAUAUCCAAGGUAGUCAUGUCCUCAUCAUUAUACCUAAACUUGCGCUACACACUUCUUGUUCAGUUGAGGGCGUCUGAUAUUUUUGCAACACCAAUAACAUUCUAACCCUUUUAGCAAGUUGUAACAGAGUCAAAAGGCGUGUAUGAGAACUUGUUCCGACAAUCUGAAUCUAUAAAUAGUAAAGUGUAUACACUUCUUUUAACCAAGAAAGUAAUAACUAGUUUCUGCUAAUCUGGAGACAGUAAGGUUUGGUUUUUAAAGUAAGUUGCUACAGCCAGUAGGGACUCAGUACACUCAGUAACAAUUUUAUCUGGAACGCAAAAUGACACCAAGAUUCUGCAAAAAUAAAUCAUACAAAAUAACCCAAAUAAUCAAGAACUUCCUGUAUGCUAGUUUUUGAACUUCCUUGAACAAAACUGUUUGCUUUUUUCUGUUGCAUACGCUACUAAUAUACAAACAGAAAUAAAUUUGUAGACCAAAGGACUCAGCAAAUUGAACCAUUAAUUUUCCAACCAGAGAACUGCAGGAGUUAGCAAAGUGAACUAUUUCCUCACUUAUUUUCCAACCAAAAAUCACACAUUUUUAAACGAAACCAAACUUUUUCAAUGAACUUCUAUAGGUUUAUCUAUUCGAACUUACCAACUUUCCAAACAAGUACUUAGCUUGCUUAUCUUCUUUCCUUCAUGAUGGAAUUAGAAGUGCACAACAUAGAAGCAUUAACACACGGAUCAACUAGGGCAAACAACAUAACACAAAACUAAAUAGAAAUUAAACCAAACAAUAGGGCACAGUUUUACUCUCUAGUAUACUAACCACUUCAGAAUAUUCAGUACAGUGGUAAUAGUAAUUUGCUCAUCCAUUUGGUAAUUUCUUAAGGUUAUGAAAUUAGAUUUUUAGAGGUUUCAUGAGAAAUCAAAUAUGUUCAUUCCGUACAUGUGAAUGAAUUGUCCCUGCUUUGGUCUGCUUAUUGCUAACCAUCAGCAAACAUUCUAGAGGGACUACAAAAUGAUUAAAGAGUACUAUAUAAAUUUCUUUAUCUGGCAAAUUAUGAUAUAGAUCUUAAACCUUUUUAGAAGAUGCUAUUUGUGUGCAACUUUUCUGUGAGUCCAUUUGAUCCAGAUAAAAUCACAUCAGAUUGGGGGGAAAGUUAGAUCAUGCUGGCAUAUGCACAACUGAGCUAAGUUGAUAUAUGCAUCUAUAAUGUAAUUAUUUAGCUUGCCAUUUCAUCAAACAGGUGCUAGGCACCUUGACUUCUCACCUUUCAUGAUGUUUCGAGAUGAACAAGUGCAUUUUUUUAUGGAACCAAACUUCUGAACAUUUUCCAAGACACUCUUUGAACGUGUGGCGGCGUUCAUCAGUGCCGGCAAAGCUCGUACGUGAAGGAGCAUGGCAGGAGGAGCUCGGACGGAUAAGGGAGGAAUAGUUGGACUGAUGUGAGCCCCAUACCUGGAUGAGGACCGGAGGAAGUAGUCCGUGUGGUCGGCGGGGGCUGUCUGUAGAACUGAGCAUUUUUUCGUGCAGUUCAUCCAACCUCCCUCGUGCUGCAGCAUAGAGAGAAACAAAUUAGUGAGAGAAAAGAGAUGUAUGUACUGCUGCUGUUCUUUUUGUUGAACCGUAACUGAAUGUCGUAACGAAGAGAAACCGAGAUGCAGAGGACCGUGGGGGGGGGGGGCUAUCCCGUGGCGNNNNNNNNNNNNNNNNNNNNNNNNNNNNNNNNNNNNNNNNNNNNNNNNNNNNNNNNNNNNNNNNNNNNNNNNNNNNNNNNNNNNNNNNNNNNNNNNNNNNNNNNNNNNNNNNNNNNNNNNNNNNNNNNNNNNNNNNNNNNNNGCUAGCCCAGCGGCGGAGGUGUUUUGCCAUGGCCGUGGGAGGCGGCGACCUCCAUGACCUCGACGUCGUCCGUGGGGAUCCGCGGACAGGGUAGCAGUGGGGGUGCAUCAGGGGCCAUGGCUGCGCACGAGGUAAGGCGCACCGGCGGCGAUGGCGUGCCACGAUGACCGGGGGCGGUGGCGCGCUUGGCCGGAGGAGGGGGGCAGGGGCAGCAGCGCGCUUGGCCGGAGGAGGAAGGAGGACCGGGGGCGGCGGCGAGCUUGGCCGGAGGAGGAAGGAGGACCGGGGGCGGCGGCGAGCUUGGCCGGAGGAGGAAAGAGGCGGCGGCGCGCUGGUGGGAGCACGCUUGGGCGGCGGCAUGAUGCAGGGGUGGAUUGGGGUCCUGGUGAAAGACGAUGGGGGCGUGGGGCUUUUUUCCAUUUUGUUUUCUGGUCGGGAAUGAUUGCUUCGGUCAGUUUACAAGAUUCACGUCGAUCGAUCUAUAUAUGGCGCAAAGGUAACAGAAUAAUAUUUUGUUANNNNNNNNNNNNNNNNNNNNNNNNNNNNNNNNNNNNNNNNNNNNNNNNNNNNNNNNNNNNNNNNNNNNNNNNNNNNNNNNNNNNNNNNNNNNNNNNNNNNNNNNNNNNNNNNNNNNNNNNNNNNNNNNNNNNNNNNNNNNNNNNNNNNNNNNNNNNNNNNNNNNNNNNNNNNNNNNNNNNNNNNNNNNNNNNNNNNNNNNNNNNNNNNNNNNNNNNNNNNNNNNNNNNNNNNNNNNUGAUUAGAAUAGUUAUUUGGAUCACAACCGGUCUAUAUAGGGCGUGCGAGGAUGUUCCUGAACUUCCAACUCCACGUUCUCCGCCUCUCCCCACUCUCCCCGAUUCCCAGCCGCCGCCAUCCCCGCCCUCGCGCGCCUCCCCCCUUACCGGCGAGCCUCCCCAUGGCUGGGUCCAGACCGGCCCCCAUGUCUGCGUCCCCCACACCCCGCCGACGAGCCGGCACCGCGGACCACGCGAUGCGGCGCGGCACCUCCGCCUCCUCCCGGUGAGCCUCUCCCGCCACCACUCUGACUCCUUUCGACGGGGCUCCGCCGUCGCCAUGCCUGGAUCCGGCCUUCUGCCACCAGAAGGGCCACACCGUCACUUCCAGUAUCCCCUCUUCCUCCAUGUUGCUGCUGCCCUUCCGGGCCUGCACCAGUGACCUCAUCGGGCCGACGACAGGGGUCGCGAGGCUCCGUGCCGGCGACUCCUAGGGAGGGAUGAAGUCCAGGGUAGAGUCGCCGCCCCGUCCACGCUUGAGCCCCUCAUUGCCCCGCUGAACACCGCUGCACAACGCAUCCCGUGGCCCGCCGCCGAUGCGCUCGAGCGUCUCCAAUUCUGCUUACUUCAUCGGCAAGGGAGGGAGCUCGCGGUGCUGCUCCCUGUAGGCUGUCGGCCUCCUGGGUGGUCAACCUGCUCGCCGUCCCCAGCUCACCCCUUGCGCUGGCACAAGCAGAGCACCGCGUCACGCGAGCAUCAGCACUCCCGUCCUCCCUAGCAUUCUCGUCGUUGGACCUUGCGUUACCGCUCUCUCCGUCGUGGUGUUUCUUCUCUCUCCUCCUUGUACUUGCUCCAAACUGACGCAUCUUGCUGUUGCUAUCUCUGCUCUGCUUUCUCUCAUGUUAGCCACUGCCGCUGUUCUAUAUUAUUGUUGAUGCUGCUGUUGUGCUCCAUCUCACUUCGCUUGGGUGUUUGUUGCUCACAACAAGUUUGUGUAAAUGUUUGGAGCAGUACUGCUAUUGAAUUUUAUUUGAUUAUGUCGGAUACUAUACUGAACUAUGCAUAGUUAGUAAACAAAAUUAGCUCGUGAUCUCUCUCUUUGUCCACUGAACUCUCAUGCCGGAAGUAUUUGAACUUUACUACAAAAAUAGUUUUUGUAUUUAGUUUCUAAAAAAAUGUAGUUUGAUGCCACUUCUAUAUGUGACCGAUGCACUGGUUUCAGCAGUAUUAUACUUCUGACAAAUGUGUGAAAUGCAGGUCGGCCCUCAUAGUUCGGACCCGAGGCCAUUCCAGAUAAGCAGCAACCACAUGGAGAGGCAAGUAAUGCGGCCAGGGAAAUUUGGCGAAGCAACGGUCUGGAAGUUCAGAGACGAUAUAAUGAGAAAAGUUGUGGCCCGUCAUUGUUUAAUUACACCUAAACAGCUACCCUGUUCUAUUAGUGCAAAAUUCUUCUGUUUUGGAUAUACGAAUAUGGAAUAGAUCACUGUUUAGAUUUCUGUUUCCUGUAGUCUAUUGGUAGCAUGUCCGCGUGCUAGCACUUGGUCCAUAUAUAACUGGAUUGGUACGCGGAAAAACCUGAAAGGUACACAUGUUAAUGUUGGGGAAUGUAGCAAUAAUUCAAAAUUUUCCUACGUGUCACCAAGAUCAAUCUAUGGAGUCAUCUAGCAACGAGGGAGGAGUGGAUCUACAUACCCUUGUAGAUCGCGCGCGGAAGCGUUCAAGAGAACGGGGUUGAUGGAGUCGUACUCGUCGUGAUCCAAAUCACCGAUGAUCCUAGCGUCGAACGGACGGCACCUCCGCGUUCAACACACGUACGGAGCAGCGAUGUCUCCUCCUUCUUGAUCCAGCAAGGGGGAAGGAGAGGUUGAUGAACAUCCAGCAGCACGACGGCGUGGUGGAAGUAGCGGGAUUCCAAUAGGGCUUCGCCAAGCACUGCGGGAGGAGGGAGAUGUGUCAUGGGAGGGAGAGGGAGGCGCCAGGGCUUAGGUAUGGUUGCCCUCCCUUCCCCCCACUAUAUAUAGGGCCAAGGGAGAGGGGGAGGGCGCAGCCUUGCCCCUUCCUCCAAGGAAGGGUGCGGCUAGGGAGGAGUCCUUCCUCCCCAAGGCACCUCGGAGGUGCCUUCCCCCUUUAGGACUCUUCCUUUCCCCUCUUCUCUUGGCGCAUGGGCCUCUUGGGGCUGGUGCCCUUGGCCCAUAUAGGCCAAGGCGCAUCCCCUACAGCCCAUGUGGCCCUCGGGGCAGGUGGCCCCACCCGGUGGACCCCCGGGACCCUUCCGGUGGUCCCGGUACAAUACCGGUGACCCCGAAACUUGUCCCGAUGGCCGAAAUAGCACUUCCUAUAUAUAAUUCUUUACCUCCGGACCAUUCCGGAACUCCUCGUGACGUCCAGGAUCUCAUCCGGGACUCCGAACAACUUUCGGGUUACCGCAUACUAAUAUAUCUAUAACCUAGAGUCACCGAACCUUAAGUGUGUAGACCCUACGGGUUCGGGAGACAUGCAGACAUGACCGAGAUGACUCUCCGGUCAAUAACCAACAGCGGGAUCUGGAUACCCAUGUUGGCUCCCACAUGUUCCACGAUGAUCUCAUCGGAUGAACCACGAUGUCAAGGACUUAAUCAAUCCCGUAUACAAUUCCCUUUGUCUAGCGGUACGAUACUUGCCCGAGAUUCGAUCGUCGGUAUCCCGAUACCUUGUUCAAUCUCGUUACCGGCAAGUCUCUUUACUCAUUCCGUAACACAUCAUCCCGUGAUCAACUCCUUGAUCACAUUGUGCACAUUAUGAUGAUGUCCUACCGAGUGGGCCCAGAGAUACCUCUCCGUCACACGGAGUGACAAAUCCCAGUCUCGAUUCGUGCCAACCCAACAGACACUUUCGGAGAUACCUGUAGUGUACCUUUAUAGCCACCCAGUUACGUUGUGACGUUUGGCACACCCAAAGCACUCCUACGGUAUCCGGGAGUUGCACAAUCUCAUGGUCUAAGGAAAUGAUACUUGACAUUAGAAAAGCUUUAGCAUACGAACUACACGAUCUUUGUGCUAGGCUUAGGAUUGGGUCUUGUCCAUCACAUCAUUCUCCUAAUGAUGUGAUCCCGUUAUCAAUGACAUCCAAUGUCCAUGGUCAGGAAACCGUAACCAUCUAUUGAUCAACGAGCUAGUCAACUAGAGGCUUACUAGGGACAUGGUGUUGUCUAUGUAUCCACACAUGUAUCUGAGUUUCCUAUCAAUACAAUUAUAGCAUGGAUAAUAAACGAUUAUCAUGAACAAGGAAAUAUAAUAAUAACUAAUUUAUUAUUGCUUCUAGGGCAUAUUUCCAACAGUCUCCCACUUGCACUAGAGUCAAUAAUCCAGUUCACAUCGAUAUGUGAUUAACACUCAAGGUCACAUCCCCAUGUGACUAACACCCAAAGAGUUCUGGGUUUGAUCAUGUUAUGUUUGUGAGAGAGGUUAUAGUCAACGGGUCUGAACCUUUCAGAUCCGUGUGUACUUUACAAAUCUCUAUGUCAUCUCCUAGAUGCAGCUACCACGCUCUAUUUGGAGCCAUUUCAAAUAACUGUUCUACUUGGAGUUAUUCUAAAUUGUUGCUCCAUUAUACGUAUCCGGUAUCUCUACUCAGAGCUAUCCGGAUAGGUGUUAAGCUUGCAUCGUCGUAACUCUUUACGUCGAACUCUUUAUCACCUCCAUAACCGAGAAAAUUCCUUAGUCCACUAGUUACUAAGGAUAACUUUGACCGCUGUACUGUGAUCCAUUCUUGGAUCACUCUUGUACCUCUUGACUGACUCAUGGCAAGGCACACUUCGGAUGCGGUACACAGCAUAGCAUACUGUAGAGCCUAUGUCUUAAGCAUAGGGGACGACCUUCGUCCUUUCUCUCUAUUCUGCCGUGGUCGAGCUUUAAGUCUUAACUUCAUACCUUAUAACUCAGGCAAGAACUCCUUCUUUGACUGAUCCAUCUUGAACACCUUCAAGAUCAUGUCAAGGUAUGUGCUCAUUUGAAAGUACCAUUAAGCGUUUUGAUCUAUCCUUAUAGAUCUUGAUGCUCAAUGUUCAAGUAGCUUAAUCCAGGCUUUCCAUUGAAAAACACUUUCCAAAUAACCCUAUAUGCUUUCCAGAAAUUCUACGUCAUUUCUGAUCAACAAUAUGUCUACAACAUACACUCAUCAGAAAUUCUAUAGAGCUCCCACUCACUUCUUUGGAAAUACAAGUUUCUCAUAAACUUUGUAUAAACCCAAAAUCUUUGAUCAUCUCAUCAAAGCAUACAUUCCAACUCCGAGAUGCUUACUCCAGUCCUUAGCUGGAGCUUUGCAUACUUAUUAGCAUCUUUCAGGAUUGACAAAACCUUCCGGUUGUAUCACAUACAACCUUUCCUUAAGAAAAUCGUCGAGGAAACAAUGUUUUGACAUCCUAUCUGCAAGAUUUCAUAAACAAUGCAGCAAUCGCUAAUAUAAUUCCAACAGACUCUUAGCAUCGCUACGAAUGAGAAAGUCUCAUCGUAGUCAACUCCUUGAACUUGUCGGAAAACAUCUUAACGACAAGUCGAGCUUUCUUAAUGGUGAUACCUACCAUCAUUGUCCGUCUUCCUUUUAAAAUCCAUAAGUACCUAACAGCCUUACGACCAUCAAGUAGUUCUCCCAAAGUCUACACUUUGUUUUCAUAUAUGGAUCCUCUCUCGGAUUAUAUGGCGUCGAGCCAUUUUGGAAUCCAGGCCCACCAUCGCUUCUCCAUAGCUCGUAGGUUCAUUGUUGUCUAGCAACAUGACUUCCAAGACAGGAUUACGUACCACUCUGAAGUAGUACGCAUCCUUGUCAUCCCACAAGGUUUGGUAGUGACUUGAUCUGAAGUUUCAUGAUCACUAUCAUAAGCUUCCACUUCAAUUGGUGUAGGUGCCACAGGAACAACUCCUUGUGCCCUACCACACACUAGUUGAAGAGACGGUUCAAUAACCUCAUCAAGUCUCCACCAUCCUCCCACUCAAUUCUUUUGAGAGAAACUUUUCCUCGAGAAAGGACCCGAUUCAAGAAACAAUCCCAUAUUGCUUUCGGAUCUGAGAUAGGAGGUAUGCCCAACUGUUUUGGGUGUCCUAUGAAGAUGCAUUUAUCCGCUUUGGGUUCGAGCUUAUCAGCCUGAAACUUUUUCACAUAAGCGUCGCAGCCCCAAACUUUUAAGAAAUGACAGCUUAGGUUUCCCUAAACCAUAGUUCAUAUGGUGUCAUCUCAUCGGAAUUACGUGGUGCCCUAUUUAAAGUGAAUAUGGUUGUCUCUAAUGCCUAACCCAUAAAACUAUUGUGGUAAUUCAAUGAGAGACAUCAUGGUAUGCAUCAUAUCCAAUAGGGUGCAGUUAUGAUGUUCGGACACACCAUCACACUCGGUGUUCCAGGCUGUAUUAGUUGUGAAACAAUUUCCACAAUGUCUUAAUUCUGUGCCAAACUCGUAAUUCAGAUAUUCAUCUCUAUGAUCAUAUCAUAGAUCUUUUAUCUUCUUGUCAUGACGAUCUUUCAACUUCACCCUGAAAUUACUUGAACCUUUCAAUAAUUCAGACUCGUGAUUCAUCAAGUAAAUAUACUCAACAUCUAGUCAAAUCAUCUGUGAAGUAAGAACAUAACGAUAUCCACUACACGCCUCAGCACUCAUUGGACUGCACACAUCAAAAUGUAUUACUUCCAGCAAGUUGCUUUCUGGUUCCAUUUUACUGAAACCGAGGCUUUCAGUCAUCUUGCCCAUGUGGUAUGAUUUGCAUGUCUCAAGUGAUUCAAAAUCAAGUGAGUUCAAACGGUCCAUCUGCAUGGAGUUUCUUCAUGCAUAUACACCAAUAGACAUGGUUCGCAUGUCUCAAACUUUUCAAAAACGAGUGAGCCCAAAGAUCCAUCAACAUGGAGCUUCUUCAUGCGUUUUAUACCGAUAUGACUUACGUGGCAAUGCCACAAGUAGGUGGUACUAUCAUUACUAUCUUUUGGCAUGAACAUGUGUAUCACUACGAUCGAGAUUCAAUAAACCAUUCAUUUUAGGUGUAAGACCAUUGAAGGUAUUAUUCAAAUAAACAGAGUAACCGUUAUUCUCCUUAAAUGAAUAACCGUAUUGCGAUAGACAUAAUCCAAUCAUGUCUAUGCUCAACGCAAACACCAAUCUCGAUGGUAGAGGGAGCGUGCGAUGCUUCAUCAUAUCAACAUUGGAAACACUUCCAACACAUAUCGUCAGCUCACCUUUAGCUAGUCUCCGUUCAUUCCGUAGCUUUUAUUUCGAGUUACUAACACUUAGCAACCGAACCGGUAUCUAAUACCCUGGUGCUACUAGGAGUACUAGUAAAGUACACAUCAACACAAUGUAUAUCCAAUAUACUUCUAUCGACCUUGCCAGCCUUCUCAUCUACCAAGUAUCUAGGGUAAUUCUGCUCCAGUGGCUGUUCCCCUCAUUACAGAAGCACUUAGUCUUGGGUUUGGGUUCAACCUUGGGUUUCUUCACUAGAGCAGCAGCUGAAUUGCCGUUUCAUGAAGUAUCCCUUCGUGCCCUUGCCCUUCUUGAAACUAGUGGUUUCACUAACCAUCAACAAUUGAUGCUCCUUCUUGAUUUCUACUUUCGCGGUGUCAAACAUCGCGAAUAUCUCAAGGAUCAUCACAUCUAUCCCUGAUAUGUUAUAGUUCAUUACGAAGCUCUAGCAGCUUGGUGGCAAUGACUUUGGAGAAACAUCACUAUCUCAUUUGGAAGAUCAACUCCCACUCGAUUCAAAUGAUUGUUGUACUCAGACAAUCUGAGCACAAGCUCAACAAUUGAGCUUUUCUCCCUUAGUUUGCAGGCUAAGAAAUUCGUCGGAGGUCUUAUACCUCUUGACGUGGGCACGAGCCUGAAAUCCCAAUUUCAGCCCUCGAAACAUCUCAUAUGUUUCGCGACGUUUCAAAACGUCUUCGGUGCCUCAACUCUAAACCGUUUAACUGAACUAUCACAUAGUUAUCAAAACGUGUAUGUCAGAUGUUCGCAACAUCCACAGACAACGUUCGAGGUUUAGCACACUGAGUGGUGCAUUAAGGACAUAAGCUUUCUAUGAAGCAAUGAGGACAAUCCUCAAUUUACGAACCUAGUCCGCAUAAUUACUACUAUCAACUUUCAACUAAAUUUUCUCUAGGAACAUAUCUAAACAGUAGAACUAAAGCGCGAGCUACGACAUAAUUUGUGAAGACCUUUUGACUAUGUUCAGGAUAAUUAAGUUCAUCUUAUGAACUCCCACUCAGAUAGACAUCCCUCCAAUCAUCUAAGUGAUUACAUGAUCCGAGUCAACUAGGCCGUGUCUGAUCAUCACGUGAGACGGACUAGUCAACAUCGGUGAACAUCUUCAUGUUGAUCGUAUCUACCAUACGACUCAUGCUCGACCUUUAGGUCUCUUGUGUUCCGAGGCCAUGUCUAUACAUGCUAGGCUCGUCAAGUUAACCCUAAGUGUUUUGCAUGUGUAAAACUAUCUUACACCCGUUGUAUGUGAACGUAAGGAUCUAUCACACCCGAUCAUCACGUGGUGCUUCGAAACGACGAACUUUAGCAACGGUGCACAGUUAGGGGAGAACACAUUCUUGAAAUUGUAAUGAGGGAUCAUCUUAUUUACUACCGUCGUUCUAAGCAAAUAAGAUGUAUAAACAUGACAAACAUCACAUGCAAUCAAAUAAUAGUGACAUGAUAUGGCCAAUAUCAUAUAGCUCCUUUGAUCUCCAUCUUGGGGCUCCAUGAUCAUCUUGUCACCGGCAUGACACCAUGAUCUCAUCAUCAUGAUCUCCAUCAUUGUGUCUUCUUGAAGUUGUCUCGUCAUCUAUUACUUCUACUACUAUGGCUAACGCUUUAGCAAUAAAGUAAAGUAAUUACAUGACGUUUAAGUUGACACGCAGGUCAUAAAUAAAUAAAGACAACUCCUAUGGCUCCUGCCGGUUGUCAUACUCAUCGACAUGCAAGUCGUGAUACCUAUUACAAGAACAUGAUCAAUCUCAUACAUCACAUAUAUCAUUCAUCACAUCCUUUUGGCCAUAUCACAUCACAUAGCAUACCCUGCAAAAACAAGUUAGACGUCCUCUAAUUGUUGUUUGCAUGUUUUACGUGGCUGCUAUGGGUUUCUAGCAAGAACGUUUCUUACCUAUGCAAAACCACAACGUGAUAUGCCAAUUGCUAUUUACCCUUCAUAAGGACCCUUUUCAUCGAAUCCGACCAGACUAAAGCGGGAGAGACAGACACCCGCCAGCCACCUUAUGCAACUAGUGCAUGUUUGUCGGUGGAACCGGUCUCACGUAAGCAUACGUGUAAGGUUGGUCCGGGCCGCUUCAUCCCACAAUACCGUCGAAUCAAUAUAAGACUAGUAGCGGCAAGCAUAUUGAAGAAAGUCAACGCCCACAACUUCUUUGUGUUCUACUCGUGCAUAGAAUCUACGCAUAGACCUAGCUCAUGAUGCCACUGUUGGGGAACGUAGCAAUAAUUCAAAAUUUUCCUACGUGUCACCAAGAUCAAUCUAUGGAGUCAUCUAGCAACGAGGGAGGAGUGGAUCUACAUACCCUUGUAGAUCGCGCACGGAAGCGUUCAAGAGAACGGGGUUGAUGGAGUCGUACUCGUCGUGAUCCAAAUCACCGAUGAUCCUAGCGCCGAACGGACGGCACCUCCGCGUUCAACACACGUACGGAGCAGCAAUGUCUCCUCCUUCUUGAUCCAGCAAGGGGGAAGGAGAGGUUGAUGGAGAUCCAGCAGCACGAUGGCGUGGUGGAAGUAGCGGGAUUCCAAUAGGGCUUCGCCAAGCACUGCGGGAGGAGGGAGAUGUGUCAUGGGAGGGAGAGGGAGGCGCCAGGGCUUAGGUAUGGUUGCCCUCCCUUCCCCCCACUAUAUAUAGGGCCAAGGGAGAGGGGGAGGGCGCAGCCUUGCCCCUUCCUCCAAGGAAGGGUGCGGCUAGGGAGGAGUCCUUCCUCCCCAAGGCACCUCGGAGGUGCCUUCCCCCUUUAGGACACUUCCUUUCCCCUCUUCUCUUGGCGCAUGGGCCUCUUGGGGCUGAUGCCCUUGGCCCAUAUAGGCCAAGGUGCACCCCCUACAGCCCAUGUGGCCCUCGGGGCAGGUGGCCCCACCCGGUGGACCCCCGGGACCCUUCCGGUGGUCCCGGUACAAUACCGGUGACCCCGAAACUUGUCCCGAUGGCCGAAAUAGCACUUCAUAUAUAUAAUUCUUUACCUCCGGACCAUUCCGGAACUCCUCGUGACGUCCGGGAUCUCAUCCGGGACUCCGAAAAACUUUCGGGUUACCACAUACUAAUAUCUCUAUAACCCUAGCGUCACCGAACCUUAAGUGUGUAGACCCUACGGGUUCGGGAGACAUGCAGACAUGACCGAGAUGACUCUCCGGUCAAUAACCAACAGCGGGAUCUGGAUACCCAUGUUGGCUCCCACAUGUUCCACGAUGAUCUCAUCGGAUGAACCACGAUGUCAAGGACUUAAUCAAUCCCGUAUACAAUUCCCUUUGUCUAGCGGUACGAUACUUGCCCGAGAUUCGAUCGUCGGUAUCCCGAUACCUUGUUCAAUCUCGUUACCGGCAAGUCUCUUUACUCGUUCCGUAACACAUCAUCCCGUGAUCACCUCCUUGAUCACAUUGUGCACAUUAUGAUGAUGUCCUACCGAGUGGGCCCAGAGAUACCUCUCUGUCACAUGGAGUGACAAAUCCCAGUCUCGAUUCGUGCCAACCCAACAGACACUUUCGGAGAUACCUGUAGUGUACCUUUAUAGCCACCCAGUUACGUUGUGACGUUUGGCACACCCAAAGCACUCCUACGGUAUCCGGGAGUUGCACAAUCUCAUGGUCUAAGGAAAUGAUACUUGACAUUAGAAAAGCUUUAGCAUACGAACUACACGAUCUUUGUGCUAGGCUUAGGAUUGGGUCUUGUCCAUCACAUCAUUCUCCUAAUGAUGUGAUCCCGUUAUCAAUGACAUCCAAUGUCCAUGGUCAGGAAACCGUAACCAUCUAUUGAUCAACGAGCUAGUCAACUAGAGGCUUACUAGGGACAUGGUGUUGUCUAUGUAUCCACAUAUGUAUCUGAGUUUCCUAUCAAUAAAAUUAUAGCAUGAAUAAUAAACGAUUAUCAUGAACAAGGAAAUAUAAUAAUAACUAAUUUAUUAUUGCUUCUAGGGCAUAUUUCCAACAGUUACAUGUAGAGGUAUGGGAAGUACGAAAAGUUCAGUUCAUAGUUAUGUCAUAAUUUAUCUCUCCAGACAGGUCCGAUACAAAAAAAAUUGGCAUGUCAGAUACAGAAACAUCUGAAGUUUGAAAAGAUAGCAGACUGGAAUAGAAAACAGGAGAACUCUGUAACAAAAUAGUAGUUGAAAUACAGUUGUGUGAUAUAUGCAGAAUUAUAUCAAGAAGAAAAGAAGAUAACACUGAAUGUCUUUGUGUGAUGCUGGCAGAGUACUAGUUGUACACGUGGUGAGCAUGUAUCGGAGGAGUGUUUGGUUUUUCCUUUAUUUCCUUUUGUGUGAGUACUACUAGUCCACUUCUAUACUAUUCUUUCUUUCUGUAAAAGGUUCAGUUUGACCACGGUAUGUUAAAAGGAGUCUACUCACUUGUGAGUGCAGCAUAUGCUCGACUCGAGUAACAAUAACUAUCAGAUAAAAAAGAUUACUUUGAAAAGUUACAGGACACAAAAAAUCAGAAAGGUUAACAUGGCAAAACCUAAGAAGUUUGGAACUUCAAAACCCAUUAAGUUGGGAUAAAACUAAAAAAGCUUUGUUUAUAAAAUCACAUUUUUCCGGUUUCUAAAAAAACCAAGAGUUCAAAUUAUAAUAAUGCAUAAUUUCAAUGUUUAUUUAAAAAAUGUAUCCCCCCUCCCAAGUGAAGUUAAAAAAAGUUGUGUGAUUGAUAGUCUUUGUUCAUAUGUCUACUAGAAUUGGAUUUUUAAAGAAGUUCAAAUUAAAAAAUAUAAGAAGUUCUAUAUAUUAAAUAAAAGAUGAAAUAUGUUCAGAAAAGAAACCAUAGAAUUUUAACUAGGGAGUUCAAAUAUGUCAUAAAAUAAAAUUCACUUACCAAAAUUAUAUUUUGGUAAAAAAAUACAAUCAAGAAGUUCAAAUUAAAAAAAUAGAUAGUUUGGGAUUCAUAAAAAGCUCGGACUUUUCUUGUUACUAAAUAAUAAACCAAGAAGUUCAAUUUCAAAAAAUAGAGCAGUUCAAUAUUUAUUAAAAAAAUCAAUAUUUUCCUGAUAGUAACGAAUAAACCAAGAAGUUAUGUUAGAAAUAACCAAGAAGUUGUACGAUGUUUAUUAUAAAAGUAGGAUUUUUUCCAUUACAAAUGAAUAACACCAAGAAGUCCAAAUUGAACAAAACCAAGUAGUUAAAUUUAAAAAAUAUAAUAGUUCAAUGUAUAUGAAAAACUCAAGAUAUUCCUCGUUCCUAAAUAAUAAACCAAUAAAUUCAAUUUCAAAAAACGGAGCAACAGUUCAAUAUUUAUUCCAAAAACUGUAAUUUUUCACGUAACUAACGAAUAAACCAAAAAAUUUAGUUCGAAAUAACUAAGAAUGUUUAUAAUGUUUAUUACAAAACUAGAACCUUUUCCAUUACAAAUUAAUAAUACCAAGGAGUCCAAAUUGAGAAAACCAAGAAGUUCAAUUUUUAAAAAUAUAAUAGUUCAAUGUAGGAAAAAUAAAAGUAUGAAGUUCAAUUUGUAAAAGAACGUUUGAUGCUUACUCGAAAACAUAUUUUUUUUCUAAGAAUAAAACUGAGAAGUUCAAAUUAAAAUAAUAGAGAAGUUCGAAGUUUAUCAAAAACUCAAAUUUUUCUCGUUACUAAAGAAUAAAAAUGAAGAAGUUCAAAUUAAAAUAAAUGGCACACCUAAAAAAAUUCAAACGAAAUUUCCCUGCUUUGAAAAACUAGAAGUUCAAACUAAAAUAAUGAAGUGGAUUGAUGUUUAUAAAACCCAAGGUUUUCAAAUUAAAAUAAAUGGUACACCUAAAAAGAGUUUAUUUUAGUAAAAAAAUGGUUGUUAGAAGUUCAAGUGCUUGGCGAGGAAAAUUUUAAAAAUUCUUGUGAGAGAGGUUCGCCGUGUAUUUAAAUGUCCAAAAUACGUAAAAAAGGAUGUUGUUUUUUGUAUUUUAAAAUAAUUCUCUCAAACCAGAGAGAAGUUCAAAGUGAUAGAAAUAAAGUGAAAUACAAUAUAGUGAAACAGAGUGAAGUUCAAACAGACAUGCCCCGGAAGUUCAACUACUUCACGAGUGCAAAAAACAGCACGUCAAAAAACAACACGUCAAAAAUAGAGUGAAAUUCAAACAGACAUGCCUGAGAAGUUCAACUACUUCGCGUGAUGCAUUUUGAUUCGCGGUGAACGCAGAAUUCAUGAUGUCAUCAUUUCUCUAAUUUACUUCAAAACGGCAGGAAUAUCAUUUGUGUAAGUUCAAGUCCUUCGUCGUAGUUAAAAAAAUUAUUGUGAGAGAGGUCUGUAUAAAAAGUAAUAUCAUUUUUGUAACACUGACGAUGGAUAAGAAAAUUACAAACAAAAAUACGUCACAAAAGUUCAACUGAAAACAAUAGGAAGUUCAACUACUACAGUGGAUGAAUUUCAUAUGGAAAACUUUUAAAAUCGUCGCGAGUAUGAAAAAACUAUUAACACGGGAAAGUUGCAUGUUACAGUAGCUUUCCACCGGUAUAUCACUUGCUCAAUUCCGGUGAGUGUUCCGGUGAGUGGACAGAGAUCUACGGGCAAUAAAAGCACGUGAAAAACAGAGUGAAGUUCAGGUAGGCAUGCCGAGAAGUUCAAGUUCUUCACGCGGUGCAUUUUCGAAAAAUCUAUUUCGCGAUAAAGGCAGAAUGAAUGAUCCCUCCGUUUUCAAAAUUACUUGAAAACGACUAGGAAUCAGAGAAAACCAUCAACAUGAAAAAGUUUCGUAUUUUCCGUAGCUUUUCAAUGGUAUAUUAUUUGCCCUAUUCCGGUAAAGUUUGUAGAAAUUACGGUGAAAAUACGUUUUUAGCCAUUUUCAAAAUUGACUUAAAACAGUAAGAAAUUGGGAGAAACAAUAUAUACCAAAAAGUUUCGCAUUACUAAAGCUUUCCAAUGCCAUAUCAUUUAUUGCAUUCGGUGGUACGUUUAAAAAAUUAGCUCGAAAAUAUAAACUCGGUGGAACUUGUAUUGUUUUCUAAAUUACUUUUAAACCGUUCAAAAUUAGAAAAACUUUAAACAUGAAAAGUAGCACAUUUUCAUAAGCUUUCCAACGCCAUAUCAUUUGCCUCAAUUGGAUUAGCCGUUUAAAAAUGACGUUGAAAAUACGAACUCGGCUGUUCAGUUUGUAAAAGUUUACGAUUUUGCAAAUUCCUCUUUAACCAUAGGGAAUUAGAGAAAACUUUCAACAUGUGGAAGAAGCGGUUUUGCGGUAGCUUUACAACGCCAUAUUAUUUGCCUCAUUCUGAUAAAUGGUUUAGAAAUACGAUCGAAAAUACGAUUCACGUUUUUUGUAUGAAGAAAAAACGGUUUUCAAAACUGCUCUUAAACCGCUUACAUUUUGCCAAAAAUUUAACUUGGAUCAUGAUACUGGUGUCCAUAGCUUUCCAAUGGUAUAUCGCAACCCCCAUUUGGGUAAUGUUGGCUGAAGUUCAACCUAGCACUGGGAGAAGUUCAGGUCGAACAACUCAGGCAGUAAAAUUGCAACGGAAGCUUGUUUCAUCACGACCCAAGAGCAAAUCCGCCAAUGAGCGAGAUUCCUAUUUAAAACGGGCAUUUAGUUGCUAAAAACCGUUUGUAGAUUACACUUACAUCACAUAGAACAUGACUGGCCAAAAAAUUCGCGCGGGGAGACACGGUUGAGAAGAUAGCCCGAAGGUCGGGUUCCUGCAUAGUAAAGUUCAGGCGUGUAACUCAGGAAGUUCAUGUUAUGAUCAUAAUAGUGUUUAUAUAUAUAUAUAUAUAUAUAUACAUAUGAAGAUGGGUUUAUAGGAGUAUGUACUCCUAGAACACCUGGCAUUGUUUGGCUCUCACCUACGCUCACGCUAAAUUUUAAGUGAUUUUUUUAAAACUAGGAUGUUACUGAUCCUAUUUUAUGGGGAUUUGUUCGGCACGUUCGGGACCAGCUCAUUCGCUUGUGCACAUCCAUUCCUGCCUCUUGCUGCAUCGGCGACCGACGGCGACAGCCACGACGGCGUGCAUGGCACCGUCCCUGCAUAGGCGAGAACUUUGUUGGCAUGAGCCUUUUGGUGUAGCGAUUCCUACAGCACCAACGUUGACGGAAGUAUGCGUACACAGUGGAUAGUCAAAGGUAUGCGAGAUUCAAUUAUUAUUUUAUGAUCUCCUACGGAUGUCCUGGCUCAUCCAAUAUUUCACAUGGCGACUAGUUGUUUUGUGCAAUGACUUAUUUUCCCGUGUGUUUUUCUAGCAAUUUGAAGCCUACGGCGGAAGAGUAGCACAAAUUGGAAUUUUUUAGGGGUAGAUUGGUUUUGAUUAUGUGAAAAACUCCUGUCAUCUCCUCCAUGGUAGCAACUCCUCCCCUAAUUAAUUAGCAGCAAAUCGAUCUAUAUAUAGGCAUAUUCUUCCUGAUGGUCAACCACACCUCGCAGAUUCUCUCGCUCUGGCAAGAUAUCUUUACUGGAGCUUAGUACUUUUCUGUAGAUCUUCACAACAUGUAAGUAACUUUGGUUUGUCAGCAUCAGUACAACAUUCGGUCAUGCACGAGUUUUUCCUUGCUAUUUUAUUGAUCCACGGUAUGUAUGCAUAGAUCAGGUUCUUGUUCUACUCAUGCUUUUGAAUAAAAUAUUUCACGCAACUGACGUAUGAAAUGCUCCCUAAUUUUCACGCAACUGUGGUCAACAGGAGGACGAUGGCAACCAUAGAUGGCGGCGCGGCCAUGGUGAUCCCCAGUCCAGCUGCCCCGCGUCCGGUUUGGCACAAGCCACAGAUGCAAACAUGUUGUCGGGUUGAAGCACACAUGCAUGAACAUAUACUUGGCAACGGACGAUGCAUAUAUCUAUGCAUUAUCAUGUACUGUUUGUAUGAAAAUUACUAUAGCAGCUUUCUUUGCAAGUAUGCAUUUUUGUAGUACUUAUGCACGUGCUUUUUUUUAUUUUUAUACUCUAAAAAUAUUGUAUAUUGUUCUUCAUGAAUAAUGUGGUAUAUACUCUCGUACAAAAACAUAUGUCAUCACAAUUAAGUUCUAUGUACUCUCUUGUGGUAUAUUGCUUACGAGUGAUGUAGUAUAUACUUAAACAAUCUAGUACAUACUACAUACUACAAAAAUGAAGUAUAUCAUAAAAGUUGAAGUAUAUACUUCCUGAAAAUUGAUGUGGUACAUACCCUCUCGUAAGAGAUGAAAUACACAUGCUUCCUCACAGAAGAUGUAUAUACUCCCUAAAAAAUAGUACUCGUACAUGCACCGUAAAAUAACAACAUAUAUUUACAAUAAAAUUAUGUACUCUACCAUAUACUCGCAGAGCUAAAAAGUGGUAUAUACUAUAAAAUGUAGUAUAUACUGUAUACUCCUUAGGUAAAAAAGUAGUAUAUACUCCUCACAAAAGAAUUUACUGUAUCUGCAUGAAACGCUAUAUACCACAAGCGUGUACAUCUAUUACUUUGAAUUUCAAUAAGAUAUCACUUUCCUAGUUUUAAGGAGCUACGCAUGCAAACGGAUCGGCAAGGAGCACUCACCGUGUUAUUAGGAGUUGAAGCCCCGGUUGGUUGGUGGUUUUGGUCAAUGGAUAAGGUGGGAGUAUGUACAUCCGGGAGUACAAAAUAGGUGUCAUAUAUAUAUAUAUAUAUAUAUAUAUAUAUAUAUAUAUAUAUANNNNNNNNNNNNNNNNNNNNNNNNNNNNNNNNNNNNNNNNNNNNNNNNNNNNNNNNNNNNNNNNNNNNNNNNNNNNNNNNNNNNNNNNNNNNNNNNNNNNNNNNNNNNNNNNNNNNNNNNNNNNNNNNNNNNNNNNNNNNNNNNNNNNNNNNNNNNNNNNNNNNNNNNNNNNNNNNNNNNNNNNNNNNNNNNNNNNNNNNNNNNNNNNNNNNNNNNNNNNNNNNNNNNNNNNNNNNNNNNNNNNNNNNNNNNNNNNNNNNNNNNNNNNNNNNNNNNNNNNNNNNNNNNNNNNNNNNNNNNNNNAGUCUUAUUCUGAUAACACCUAGCUUAUUCUGCUAACACUCCAACAGCGACCCGACGCGACGCCCAACUGAUCUGGAAAACAAAAACGACACCACCCCACUGGCACCCGCCACUCCUCCCUCUCCCUCACUCCUCCCUCGACCCCAGAGCGACAACGAGGAGGGCCCUGGGCGCCGCCCCUUCCGUUGCUUCCAACCGCUCCUCCGGCUGGAUCCCAUCCUCCUCUCCGGCUAGAUCCGGUCAUCCUCAGCCCUCCCCCAGCUUCCAUUCCUCCUCUCCGGCCGGAUCCCGUCGUCUCCCACCGCCACCGCCCAUGUACAACGCCGCUAUGCGCCGGAUUAGGCGCGGCCCAUCGUUCCCCGCCUUCACCGCCCAUAUCCAGGGCCGCUCGACGCCCGGAUCCGCCAUGCCCCGCCUCCCCCACCCAGAUCUCACCCUCGCCACCGCCACUGCUGUUGUGCACUGUGGGCGGAUCCGGGGCACCACUGCUGGUGCCGUGCCCUUGCCUUCCCCACCGAACGCCCCUCUAACUUCCUUGUCCUCCCACCAGAUAGAGCACCGGAGACAAUCGAGGCAUGGUCCGCCUGGCCGCCGUGCGCCGCCCAUGUGAGUACCUUUCCCCCAUCGGCCUGGAUCCAACUCCUCUGCUACAUCAAUGGUGAGUUCCACGCCGCGCCAUGGAGCCAGUAUACCAGUUGCAGUUCAUUUGAUUUUUCCUUUGGAUUUUGGAUGUGCAGAAUUGUUGUGGUUCAUUUGAAAUUCUUUUUGAACCUCACUGACUUCUAUGUUUUAUUUCACCCAUCCUCCGCUGUGCAGGCACCCAUCCUCCGUUGUCGCAUCCUCUGCUAGCCGUCGGCGUGUGGGACGACACUGGAUGGGGGCGAUGGCGCAUCCGUGCGGUUCGCUGACACGGCACGUUCGUACACUCGUUCUGGUGAUGUAGUUCCCUGGCGUACUCCCUUAUCCAGCAGCGAGUAGCUCGCUAUCCUCAUCAUCAAGCGCAUCCACAGCAACUCGCUGACUCGCUAAUUGCAGUAGUUUUUUUUCCUGUUUUUUGGAUUUUGGAUGUGCAGUGCACCCAGAUCACGCGAGCAGUGCACGCGGAUCACACGAGCAGUUAAUUGCAGCGUGAUUAUAGUUUUGGUGGCGCGGGUAGCAUUUUUUCUUUUAUUUUUAUAGAAAAAAGUUUCAUCUAGUUAGCCUUUUUUUAUUUUGAAUAUGUAGUUCAGUGGCAUGGUGUAGUUUGCAGGUGCAGUACGCCGCUUGGGUGUGAUCUAACACAUCACGGCUAGUCCUCAAUUGCUGUUCGGCUGGUGACAUUGUGGAUUUUGUGUGUAUGGUUGUGUGUGGCUGUUUAAAAAUAAUGAAAAUAUAUAGAGUAAAUGUUUUGAAAAUCACUUUGUUCUCCCGCGUGGUUCACUAUAAUAAAACUCCUCCAUUGUUCACUAUAUCAAAUGCAACGCGGCAGUGUGUUUGGCCCUCUGAUGUGGUUCACUUUUGAGAGUGAUGGUGUUCACUUGUGCCCAACAUGAAAAAAUGCGAAAAAAUUAAUGAAACAACAAUAGUAAUGCGGUUCACUUCGAUAUAUGAUGUGGUUCGCUUGCCCUAGUCUUCGCGGUCCACUCUCUUUAAUAAUUUUUUUGAAAAAAAGACAACAAAAAUUCGUCUGAGAAAAAAUUUACAUCCGGCAAAAGAAAUCAUGAAGUGCGCUUGCUCGUCCGAUGCAGUGCGGUUUUUCGUCUGAAGCAGUGCACUCCAUCUCGUUUGGGAAAACUUACGUCCCACAAAAAAGAAAUCAUGUAGUUCACUUGUCUGUCCGAUGAAGUGCGCUUUUUAGUCUGAAGUAGUGCACUCCACCUCGUUUGGAAAAAUUUACGUCCCACAAAAAAGAAAUCAUGUGGUGCACUUGUCUGUCCAAUGAAGUGUGGUUUUUAGUCUAAAUAAGUGUGGUUUUCUGUCUGAUGCAGUACGACCCGUUUAUGGUAGUCUCGAGGUUCAAUUUUCAUAGUAUUACGGUUCACCAAACACUGGACAUGAAAGUGCACUCCACCUCGUUUAGGAAAAUUUACGUCCCACAAAAAAGAAAUCAUGCAGUGCACUUAUUUGUCCGAUGAAGUAUAGUUUUUAGUCUAAAAGAAGUGUGGUUUUCUGUCUGAUGCAGUACAUACGACGAUUUUGGUGUUCCGAAAAAACAGAGUGUUCGCAUUUCGUUAAAAUCAAAAUUGCUUCUAAACCGUACGGAAUCGGGGAGAGUGUUCUAUAUAAAAAAGUUGCGCCUCAUCGAUAUCUUUCCAACGACGUAUAAUUUGAAUCAUUUCGACCAGCAGUUUGUAAAAAUUUCACGAAAAACGGCCGCUACCUCUCAUCGUCAGCCGCACAAUUUUUAAAAUUAACUAAAAAUUGUAAGGAAUCUGAAAAACAUUUUAACAUACAAAAGUUGCGCCUCGUCUGUAGCUUUCUAACGACGUAUCAUACGCCCCAUUUCGACAAACGAUUAGAAAACUAGAGUAAAAACAGUACCGAAAAUUUAAAUUUUCUUGAAAAACAAAAUUCCGCGAUUUAGUAAAUUUGAAACUACUCUUAAACCGUAACGAAAUAGAGAAAAUAAUACAUAUGAAAAAGAUGCGCCUCGAUGAUAUCUUUCCAAUGGUGUAUCAUUUGCUUUGUCCUGACGAGCGGUUUAGAAGAAAUCGCGAAAAAACGCUCGCUGACACUCGUCAUGGGCCGCACCAUUUUUAAAACUGCUCUUAAACCGUGUUGAUUCUCGAAAAGUGUUCAACAUGUCGAAGUUGCGCCUAAUCCAUAGCUUUUCAACUAUAUAUUAGACGCCUCGUUCCGAUAAACGGUUAAAAAAACUAGAGUGAAAACAGUACCAAAAACAACGCGUGCAGUGCGGAAGUGUUAUCAGAAUAGUUAUUCUGCUAAUAUUAGCAGAAUAGUUAGUAUAUAUAUAUCGAAAAAUGGUUGUGUAUUCCUGGGAGUACGUACUCCCGCUCCUUAUACCACAUAGAUAAAUCUUUUAUACCUCUUUAUUAUUUUUAAAAUAUUUCACUAGUAAUUAUUAGAUAUCCCAAAAUGAGUUUUAUGAAAAAAUUCAUGUGAGUCUACAUAUUUUUAAAUAUUUACGUAUAUACUAAUGUGUUUGUACGUGAAAAAGGUAUAUUACAAAAAGUACGUCAUAGAUGAUAUUUUUUUAGCAAAACUCAUAUUGGGGUAUCUUAGAAUAUUAAAUGAAGUAUAUUGAAAACAAUAAAAAGGUAUAAUUAAUGUGUAUAUGAGAUGUAUUGAGGGUGGGAGUACAUACUUCCAGGAUUACAGAAAAGGAGUCAUAUAUAUAUAUAUAUAUAUAUAUAUAUAUAUAUAUAUAUAUAUAUAUUAGCAGGCACCUAAGUGCCCAGGCACCUUGCCUAGAUGCCGUUAGAUCGAAUCGUAGCAUCUUUUUUAUUAUGUAUAGAUGAGUUAUUGGGUCUGACCCGUUAACAAAUAGGUUAAUAUUUUGAAUUAUAUCUCAUCGUUUAAGAAAUAAGUUUCCAUUUGUGUGUUUGUCAUCCAUACCCCGUUCGAACAUUCCAAAAGUAAUUGAUAUCUGCCAAUUGAAUAUCUUACAAAGAAUUUUGCAUGGCGUGGACAUUAUGGAAAGGGUAUAUGAUGGCAAUGAAAUACAUUCCAAUGAUGUGGAUGUCAUCAACAGGACAUUGUUUGAACAAAUCAAGCCGAUGAAAAUAAUUUUCCAUCAUACCUUCCAAAUAAUUUUGCAUGGCGUGUCAAUUAUGGAAAGGUAUAACUAGUUAAUUAAAUACCAUGCAAAGAUGCGCGUGUAAUUAAUGGUCCAUUGUUUGAACAUUUCGAAUUGAAAUGAUUUUCCAUACUUACUGACAUGUAUGAUAGGCACAAGUUAAAAUAUAAAGGUAUUUCAUAAUUACGAAUUUCUGUAAAACAAUCAUCAUUUGUUGAAUGUUAUUUAUUUUAUUAGUAUUGGUCAUGUAGGUAUAUACCUAUAAUAAAAAAAUAUCUCCCCACAAAAUAAAUUUUAAAAAAUAUCUCUACAUUUGUUAGUCUGGUCGUGUGGGUAUGUACCUAUGAUUGGUGCAAAUUAAAAUGUAAAGUUAUUUUAUCAUUAUGAUUUUUGUAAAAAAUAAUUAAUCAUUGAAUGUCAUUUAUUCUAUAGAUGUGGGUAUAUCAUAAAGAUGAUCUUUAAUUGCACUAGUGGCUAAAUCUUUAGGGUAUAUUAAAAAAAUUAUUCCUUAUGGUAGUUUUGAGUUUGGAGUAGAGAAAAUGAUUAGGAAAUGUGAAAUAUAAAUUUUACUGGAUGGAAUAAGACAAGCACUACCGAGAUCACAGAUACUCGGCAAGGAAAAAGGAUGAUACUCGGUGAAAUGCAAGUUCACCAAGUUCCUGCUGGCUGGGUAUUAAACUCAAAACACUUGGCAAAAGGAUGACACUCGACUAACAUGAUCUUUGCAUAGUGUUACACAAAAAGGAAAUGCAUGUGAAAUCCUAAAGAUCUUUGUGGCGCUGUUAUUAUUAAGUAGCAACAGUGUGUCUUCUUAGGUAUACACUGCCUAGUGUUUUAGUACGUACCAUUUUAUAUGUUUUCUUUUGAUUGUGCAUGACUAAUUGCUCCGCAAUAAAUUGAUUCCUACCACAUCAAUUAGAUAUUUUCUAGGAAAUCAAUGUGUGAUUAAAUGUUAUAUAAUUCUUGUGUUGAUGUUAGUUUAUAUUGACGUGGCCAAUACCAUAUAAGAUCUAAUUUUUUCUGCAAGGAAUAUAAUAUAUUCUUUAGUUAGAUUAGUGGUUAUAUCUCUAGGGUAUAUGCAAAAAUAGUUGUGAUAUACAUAUGGCGAAUCUAGUACGACGCCCAUUUGACACACUACCAGCACCAUCCAACUCAUUUAGCAAAAAACUUUGUGUCCAUUCGAUCCAUGUAUCAUAUACAUGUAAAUACAAAUCUUAUUGGACGCAGAGCCAUUCCGAUGGAAAAGAAAAAUAGAGUAGGGAAUCAUAAAGAUCAUUAUCGUAAUUCUAAUAAAAUGGAACCAUAUAUCUGCUCGUGUACAUUAUUGUCAAUUUUGGAUGAAAGCAAGCUUUACAAAAUUACGUUGGGUGAAUAACUAAAGAUCACCACAGGUGGAAGUAUUAUACACCCAUAGGUUGUGCUAUGUGGGUAGGCAUUGUUUAAUAAUUUGCAUGGUGUUGUGUAGGUAUCUCUCGACGAUAAUCAUUUAAAAUUGGAGGUAUCUAAUAUCUAUUACUAUGAAACAACCAUGCAGGUAUGCAUCUUGUGUACUACAUACUCACAAAAUUUGGUGGAUUAUAAGUUGAAUAUAUGAACUUAGGGAUGUCAUAGUAAGAUUGUUGGUAUAUGCCUUUUAAAUUUUUACAAAAAAUUCUACAUAUGUCAAUUAUGGUCGGGUGCACAUAAGGAAAAACUAAAUACCCCGCAAAAAAAAGAAAAAGUAAAUAAUGCAGUGUAGUGUGAUGAUGGCGUAUAAUAAUAUAUGGCGCACCAAUUUGUUCUCACUAUAUAGCUUGGUCGUGGGUACCAGAUAUACCCAAAUGAAAGUAAAAGUAAAAUCCAUAAUUAGAUGGUAUUUUCUCUACUACAUUUCAUUGUUGUGUAUGAGAUACCCAUGAAAAAUAAGCCGUACGAAAAUGCGGUACAUCCAUACUGUUUUAGGAAAUUGAAAAGACUUUGUACCAGUGUGUCAGUGUACAAGAUACCUAUAGAAUACCCAACAAGUAACUUUUUAUCAUUAUUAGGAGACUUUGAGUAUGGUCGUUGGGCAUAUGACACUGUGGGUAUCACACAUUAGCUAUAUGACACCAUGUGUAUCUAAUACAGGCAACUGAUACCUAUUGUAUUAAAAUUUGAAUAGGUUAGGGAGUGUACAACUAUACUUUUAGGCCUUAUGCCACAUCGGUGGGUAUCCAAUUUCUUGGAAAAAUGGUUGUAAUAAAAUGUGAUUUGCCAUUUCUGUUACAAAAUUUAGAAAGUAGAAUACGGUGUGAUGGUUAGGUAUUAGGUUGUGCAACUAUAUCUGUCUGACACGGGUACCAUCAUGCUCUAUAUAUAUCCUGGAAAUAGUACCCAAAAUCAGUAUGGUAAUUUUCUUAAUAUAUGGUCCCUUUUAUAUAUCCUGAACAAAAGUAUGACAAUAUGACUCAUUUUAAUAUUCAAAAUUUUAAAAAUACCUGGGAGUGUUGCCCAAAAUGUGUGUCAUUACAACCCAAAUUACAUGUUCCAGCACACAAUUAGAGAUAAAAGAUAAAAGGAGAUCACUUAUCAUUUGAUACACAUGUAUAUCUUAAAUCCUAUUCGCAACCAUAUUACAUCCCGAUUUUGAUGACUAAUAUUUGCUAUCACACUCGAAAUUGCAACUACAGAUGCAGGAUCAAAAACGAAGAAGUAUACAAUUAAGUCGCAUGUAUCAUCAUUCGCUUCUCUCGCAUACUGAUUGUGUCCGACAUUGUCACGCAAAGCCUUCAUUGUCAACCAUCCAGCACAUCUCAACAUUAGCUCGGCGGCUCUGUGUCAUAUAGAUCAUUUUUUUUGUAGAUGUAUCACAAGAGAGCCAUGAUAAAGUUAACUGAAAAAGAAAUAAAAAAUGCAACGAUAUCCAAUUAGAUGAACAAAAAAAGCUUUGAACACAAAGGAAAAUGAGAGAAUAAAUUACCAGAUAUAUUGAAGUAUCCUCACCAUUAUACAUUUAUGAGAAAAACAACACAUACCUUGCUAUAGGAGCUAUUCGUAUAAGUCAAAAACUACAAGCACAUGGCUGGGAUUUGUAGAUGAGACAAGGUUUGCGAAUUACAACAUACACUUCAAGUCUCAUGUUUCAUAGAACUAUUCUGCACAAAGUACAUGAAUCCUACAUACCUCGCAUGACCAUAACUUUGACUAACAUCGAGAGAGAAAAAGGUCACAUCAGGUAUGUUCCUCGAGGUGGUAGCUCAGUUGUCCGGGCGGUCAUAGUCUCCAUGGUGUAUUCCUCGAUUAUGGUCGUGUGCAUGGAAAGGUAAAAGAGUGUGACGAAGAGGUGGAGAUACAUGCAGUUGAAAAAGAAAUAGGUAAAUUGCUACAGAUGUAAUAGAGAGAUAAACAGCCUGGGAGCCCCAUUAGCGACCGUGACGGUGACAAUGGCAACCAUGGCCAUGCGGGGUAUGCUCGUGUAGAAGAAGGACGAGGCAGAGAUGAAUCAUGUAGGUAUGCAAAUGUGUGCAUGGUUUUGGUCCAGUUUUAAUGGCUAGCCAAAUGAUGGCAAGUACGUGGGCUCCUAUUUCUGGUAAACAAUCAAAUUAGACGACAUCUUUCAUAUUUGGAAAGAAUCGAAUUAAAGGGCAACAACAUAAUGCGAAAAAUUAUGGAAAGGAACAAAUCAUGCUCAUGCAAUAAUAUUUGGAAGGUGAGAAUGGACCAGAAUUGGGACGCAUGCAAUAUUUAAGAAUGAGUAAAGAAUGUUGUUAACGGGUGUAGCAAUCGAAACCCGAUACACAUAGGCAGGAUCAUCCAUUGAUCCAACGGCUGAUGCUCUAGGUGCCCAGGCACCUAGGUGCCCCAGUUAUUUUACCUAUAUAUAUAUAUAUAUAUAUAUAUAUAUAUAUAUAUAGUAACACUAAACUAAGUGUGAGUGUAGAAUAGCUUAUCCUACACCCCAGUAACGGUACAUACAAAAUAUAGUAACACACUAUGUAAAAUAUAUUAAUUUUUGUAAAAAUGUAGUAAAUUACAAACAUAGAUGAUUAAAAAAAAUAUUUUCCGAAUUACUACAUUUUGUACACCGUUUUACUAGAUUUUGUACAUAGCGUUACUAGGGAGUGUAGAAUAAGCUAUUCUACACUCACGCUUAGAAUAAACACUAUCUUCGUAACCAUGGCUUCCCCCACGAAUUAUUCUGGUUAGUCUUGUUCUAUAUCAUAUUAGUGUAAUCUAGGAACAUUUUUAGCAACUAAAUACCGGUUUUAAAUAGGUAUCUCGCUCGUUAGCAGAUUUUGCUCUCGGGUCGUGAUGAAAUUGCGUUUUUUGGCAAUUUUACUGCCUGAGUUGUUCGACCUGAACUUCCCCUAGUGCUAGGUUGAACUUCCACCAACAUUGCCCAAAUGGGGCUUGCGAUAUACCGUUGGAAAGCUAUGGACACCAGUAUCAUGACCAAAGUUAAAUUUUUGGCAAAAUGUAAGCGGUUUAAGAACAGUUUUGAAAACUGUUUUUUCUUCACACAAAAAGCGUGAAUCAUAUUUUCGAUCGCAUUUCUAAACCGUUUAUCGGAAUGAGGCAAAUGAUAUGGCAUUGGAAAGAUGCUGCAAAACCGCUCCUUCCACAUGUUGAAAGUUUUGGCUAAUUCCCUAUGUUAAAGAGUAAUUUGGAAAAUCGUAAAAUUUCACAAACCGAACAGCCGAGUUCGUAUUUUCAAUGUCAUUUUUAAAUGGCUAAUACAUUUGAGGAAAAUGAUAUGGCGUUGGAAACUUAUGAAAAUACGCUACUUUUUCAUGUUGAAAGUUUUUUCUAAUUUUGAACGGUUUAAAAGUAAUUUAGAAAACGGUACAAGUUGCACCGAGUUCGUAUUUUUGAGCUAAUUUUUUAAUCGUACGUCCGAAUCUAGCAAAUGAUAUGGCGUUGGAAAGCUUGAGAAAAUGCGAAACGUUUUUCUAUAUAUUAUUUCUCCCAAUUCAUUACAGUUUUAUGUCAAUUUUGAAAAUGGCUAAAAACGUAUUUUCGCCGUAAUUUCUACAAACUUUAUCGGAAUUGGACAAAUAAUAUACCGUUGAAAAGCUAAGGAAAAUGCGAAACUUUUUCAUGUUGUUGGUUUUCUCUGAUUCCUAGUCAUUUUCAAGUAAUUUCGAAAAUGACGAGAUCAUUUGUUCUGCCGUUAUCGCGAAACAGAUUCUUCGAAAAUGCACUGCAUGAAGAACCUGACCUUCUCGGCAUGUCUACUUGAAAUUCACUCUGUUUUUCACGUCCUUUUUUUGCCCGUAGCUCUCCAUACACUCACUGCAACACUCACCGGAAUUGAGCAAAUAAUAUACCGGUGAAAAGCUGAUGUAAACACGCAUCUUUCCCGUGUUGAUUGUUUUUUCAUAAUCACGACGGUUUUAAAAGUUAUUCAUCUGAAAUUCAUUCAGUGCAGUAGUUGAACUUCCUGUUGUUUUCACAUUGAAAUUCUGUGACGUAUUUUCGUUUGUAAUUUUCUCAUCCAUUCGUCUGUGUUACACAAAUGAUAUUCCUUCUGUACAAACCUCUCUCACAAUAAUUUAUUUUAACUUCCUCCUAUGGAGAACUUGAACUUGUAACAACAAAAAACUUUUGAACUUUGCUUUUUAAUUCUUUUUAAUACAAAAUGCACACCGUGUAGUACAUGACCUUCUGGCAGUUAUCAAUCUGAACUUCUCUCGGUUACGUGAAAAUAUCUGAGUUUUUUAUAAAUAUUAAUCUGAAUUUCUUAAUCCUUUUUUAUGAAUUUUGAAGCACUCUAUUUUUAAAAGUUGAACUUCUUGUUAUUUUAUUUUUGAACUUCUUGUUCCCAUUCUUUAAUAAUGACGUAAACCUGAGUUUUCUAUAAUCAUCGAACUUCUCCAUCUUUUUAAUCUGGACUUCCUAGUUUUUUUCUUAAUCUUUUUUAUGAAAUUUUGAAGCGCUCUAUUUUUAAAAGUUGAAAUUCUUGUUAUUUAAUUUUUGAAAUUCUUAUUUCCAUUCUUUUAAUAACGAGGAAAAUACGAGUUUUCUAUAAUCAUCGAACUUCUCCAUCUUUUUAAAUUGGGCUUCCCGGUAUUAUUUCUUAAUGUUUUCUAUGAAAUUUUGAAGCUCUCUAUUUUUAAAAGAUGAACUUCUUGUCAUUUUAUUUUUGAACUUCCUAUUUCCAUUCUUUAAUAACGAGGAAAAUCUGAGUUUUCUAUAAUCAUCGAACUUCUCCAUCUUUUUAAUAUGGAUGCCCUAGUUUUAUUUCGGAAUCAUUUUUUUCAAUUUGAACUUCAUGGUUGAUUCUUCAAUACUAAGGGGUAUUUGAGUAUUUUGAGAACGGUAAAAUUUUAGUUUCUAAAUAAACAUCGAACCAUUUCGUUAAUUUCAUUGAACUUCCAGUUUUUUAGAGAUGGGGAAAAUCUAUUUUUAAACUUUUUUUAGUUGUUUCUUUUUUUAAUUUGAACUUCUUCAUUUUAUACUGUAGUAACGCUAAAAAUCUAAGUUUUUCAUAAUCUUUGGAUUUCUCUUUUAUUUUAAUUUGAACUUCUUAGUCUUAUUCUUAGAAAAAAAUACGUUUUUAGUUAAGCAUCAAACAUUUUUUAACGGAGAAAAUGUUUUAACCAUCCUAUGAUCACAUAUGUUUUUACUUCUAGAGUUUUUUUAACGGAGAAAAUCCUUUUUUAUACAUUUGUGUUGAGAUGCUUUGUUUUUUUAGUUUGAUCAUCUUGGGUUUGUAAUAAACAUUGGACUUCUUCUUUUAAAUUUAAACCUCUAGAUUUUUUUAGAAACAGGGAAAACCAUUAUUUUUAUAACUUUUGAAAUGAUCAAUUUUUUAAUUUGAACUUCUAGGUCUUUUUAGAAAUGGAUAAAUUCCUUUUUUUAUAAAAAAGUUGAACUGCUCUUACUUUGAUCUUCCUUGGAUUUUCUAGAUAGGUCAACAUAUUUUUUUGUUACAAACAUCGAAACAGAUUUUUGUUUUACUUUUGUUUGGUUUUUUAUUAAAAAGGGAAACUCCAUGAAUUUUUAUUGUACAAACAUAUGUGUGUAUAUUUCUUGAACUACCAAAGUUAGCAUUUUUUGCAACGCGUGUUUUCCUUCUUGGUAUAUAAACAUCGAAUUGCUCUGUUUAUUUUAAUUUGAAAUUCUUUGUUUUAUUCUUGUCGUAACAGGAACAAUAUUUUUUUUGUAAAAGUUGAAUAGUCCCAACUUCUUGUUUUCAUGUAAAAAAUCAUGUUUUAUUACAUUUUGAACUUUCGCUUAUAUUAUAUAUGAACUUCUUCAUUUUUUGAAUUGUUUUGGUGACAAAAAUCUAACAGUUGUUCUGCCAAACUUAUUUUUGGCAUCUAUUUCGAACCUACAUGGGAAAAAGGGUUGUUACAGUGGAUGUGUUAAACAUACACAAAAAGAGAAUAGGAAAGGAGUUACAACGAACAAUUUUUGUCUCGUAGUAUCAAUCUUUUCCACCGGAUACACAUCCAAAGAGAAAAAAUGUACCAAUACCUCCAUAAUGCUACAAAAAUCAUCAGAUCACGAGGAAUAGGAAAAGAGAGCAGUCCAAGAUGCUCACCCCACGUCCCCAAGUGAACAUCAAGGUUUCUUGAAAAUUUUACAACCGAAAUUUGUCAUCUGUCGAGUUUGAACUUCUUUAGGCAGGGGGAACUGUCAGCCAAACCAAGAGAACAAAACACAUCACAAUAGCACAAGAGAAGAGAUUCUAAACUGUCAAGUAAGCUUUUUUCCUUUUAUUCAUGCUCUUGGGCAGCUCGCGAGUUUCCAAACUGCUUGGUGAACAGAUGGCGGCAGCAACAACAUCAAUGAGUUUUUGGCUGACGAGAGGAGGAAAGAUGCCAGCCUCGUCGGAGCAUCGUGGCAGUGUGAUCCGAGCACUGCAGCGGCGAACGUCCUGGGGCUGCAUCAUUGAACGGCCCGAGGCAGUGAGGUUGAACGGCUUGUGUGCUACCACGGCCACCGGAAGGAGCGUGGGAAGGGGCGGGACGAACGAGAGGAUCCAAAGGAGCUGCCGAGAGGUGGAGAAGGAGAAGAGGAACACAGAGGGCGAGAGGAGGCUCACCCGAGGGGAGGAUUGAGGGUUGGCUAGAGGGGAAGGACGCGGUGUUGACCAGAUCCGUGUCGGAUCAACUAGGGCCUCCUAGGUUGAUAGUGCUCGUGGUUCACCGUCGGCGACGACACAGAGCGGCGCAUGGAGGUCGAGGAGCAGGGGCGCGGUGCAAAGGAGGCCGGAGGUGGUGGCUGUGGUGAGAUUUGGGGAAGGAAACGGUGGUGGCGGGGCUAUCUUGUGAGGGCAGCGGCGGUGACGGGGAGAUCUGGGGAGGGUGGCGGCGGCCCGAUCUACUGAGGGUGGUGCCGGUGGCGGGGCAAUCUGGUGAGGGCCAAUGGCGGCACGGGCCAGGGAGGGAGGCGACGGUGGGAUCGGGAGAAGGUAGGGGAGGGGAGGCAGGCGACGGUGGGACCGGGGGUGGGGGUCGUGGGCAGUGGGUGUUUUUCUUUUUCUAGUAACGAUCGGGGCCAUGUGUGUUUGCGAUCUCACGAGCAUACCGUCGGCCCCUAUAUAGGCUGACAUGAUCCAAAUAACUAUUCUAAUCCCAGGAUGAGAAUAGUGUUGUCCUAUAUAUACAUAAACACUAUGCUGAUCACGGGAUCAGAAUAAUAUUCUGAUCACAACCUGAACUGCCUGAGUAACGCGCCUGAACUUCCCUCUGUACGAACCCGACCUUCGGGCUAUCUUCCCAACCGUGGCUUCCUCCGCGAAUUAUUCUGGUUAGUCGGGUUCUAUAUCAUGUUAGUGUAAUCGAGAAACAUUUUUAGCAACUACAUACCGGUUUGAAAUAGGUAUCUCGCUCAUUGGCGGAUUUUGCUCUCGGGUCAUGAUGAAAUUGCGUUUUUUGCAAUUUUACUCCCUGAGUUGUUCGACCUGAACUUCCCCUAGUGCUAGGUUGAACUUCUGCCAAUAUUGCCCAAAUAGGCUUGCGAUAUACCGUUGGAAAGCUAUGGACAACAGUAUCAUGACCCAAGCUAAAUUUUUAGCAAAAUGUGGGCGGUCUAAGAGAAGUUUUGAAAACCAUUUUUUCUUCACACAAAAAAUGUGAAUCGUAUUUUUGAUCGCAUUUCUAAACCGUCUAUCGGAAUGAGGCAAAUAAUAUGGCGUUGGAAAGAUGUUGCAAAAUUGCUCCUUUCACAUGUUGAAAGUUUUCGUUAAUUCCCUAUGGUUAAAGAGUAAUUUGGAAAAUCAUAAAAUUUCGCAAAGCGAACAGCCGGGUUCGUAUUUUCGAUGUUAUUUCUAAACGGCUAAUCUAAUUGAGGCAAAUGAUAUGGCGUUGGAAAGCUUAUGAAAAUGUGCUACUUUUUCAUGUUGAAAGUUUUUCUAAUUUUGAACAGUUUAAAAGUAAUUUAGAAAAUGGUACAAGUUGCACUGUGUUCGUAUUUUUAAGUUAAUUUUUUAACCGUACGUCUGAAUGUAGCAAAUGAUAUGGCGUUGGAAAGAUUGAGAAAAUGCGAAACUUUUUCUAUAUAUUAUUUCUACCAAUUCAUUACGGUUUUAUGUCAAUUUUGAAAAUGGCUAAAAAUGUAUUUUCACCGUAAUUUCUACAAACAUUAUUGGAAUUGGACAAAUAAUAUAUCGUUGAAAAGCUAAGGAAAAUGCGAAACUUAAUCAUGUUGAUGGUUUUCUCUGAUUCUUAGUCGUUUUCAAGUAAUUUCGAAAAUGAUGAGAUCAUACGUUCUGCCUUUAUCGCGAAGCAGAUUCUUUGAAAAUGCACCACGUGAAGAACUUGAACUUCUCGGCAUGUCUACUUGAACUUCACUCUGUUUUUCACGUGCUUUCUUUGCCUGUAGCUCUUCAUCCACUCACCGGAACACUCACCGAAAUUGAGCAAGUAAUAUACCGGUGGAAAGCUGAUGUAAACACACAACUUUCCCGUGUUGAUCAUUUUUUCAUAAUCGCGAUGGUUUUAAAAGUUAUUCAUCUGAAAUUCAUUCAGUGCAGUAGUUGAACUUCCUGUUGUUUUCAUGUCGAACUUCUGUGACGUAUUCUCAAUUGUAAUUUUCUCAUUCAUUCGUCCGUGUUACACAAAUGAUAUUCCUUCUGUACAAACCUCUCUCACAAUAUUUUUUUAACUUUCUCCGAUGCAGAACUUGAACUUAUAACAACAAAACUUUUAGAUUUUGCUUUUUUAAUCUUUUUAAUACAAAAUGCACACCGUGUAGUACGUGACCUUCUGGCAGUUAUCAAUCUGAACUUCUCUCGGUUACGUGAAAAUAUCUGAGUUUUUUUAUAAAUAUUAACCUGAAUUUCUUAACCUUUUAUAUGAAUUUUUAAGCGCUCUAUUUUUAAAAUUUGAACUUCUUGUUAUUUUAUUUUUGGACUUCUUGUUUCCAUUCUUUAAUAACGAGGGAAAUCUGAGUUUUCUAUAAUCAUCGAACUUCUCCAUCUUUUUAAUAUGGACUUACUAGUUUUUUUCUUAAUCUUUUUUAUGAAAUUUUGAUGUGCUCUAUUUUUAAAAGUUGAACUUCUUGUUAUUUAAUUUUUGAACUUCUUAUUUCCAUUCUUUUAAUAACGAGGAAUAUAUGAGUUUUCUAUAAUCAUCGAACUUCUCCAUCUUUUUAAAUUGGGCUUCCUGGUAUUAUUUCUUAAUCUUUUUGAUGAAAUUUUGAAGUGCUCUAUUUUUAAAAGUUGAACUUCUUGUCAUUUUAUUUUUGAACUUCUUGUUUCCAUUCUUUAAUAACGAGGAAAAUCCGAGUGUUCUAUAAUCAUUGAACUUCUCCAUCUUUUUAAUAUGGAUGUCCUAGUUUUAUUUUUGAAUCAUUUUCUUUCAAUUUGAACUUCAUGGUUGAUUCUUCAAUACUAAGGGGUAUGUGAGUAUUUUGAUAACGGUAAAAUUUUAGUUUCUAAAUAAACAUUGAACCACUUCGUUAUUUUCGUUUGAACUUCUAGUUUUUUUUAGAGAUGGGGAAAAUCUAUUUUUAAACUUUUUUAGUUCUUCCUUUUUGAAUUUGAACUUCUUCGUUUUAUACUUUAGUAACGCGAAAAAUCUGAGUUUUUCAUAAUCUUUGGACUUCUCUUUUAUUUUAACCCCAGCAUUAGAAUAGUGUUGUCCUAUAUAUAUAUAUAUAUAUAUAUAUAUAUAUAUAUAUAUAUAUGCUGGGUCUAUUAUGAUAACACCCUUAGAGUCUUAUUCUGCUAACACCUAGCCUUAUUCUGCUAACACCCCCGCCUACCGCUAUAGCUACAAACAAACCACCAAACUGCGGCAAUAAAAAAAACCACCCAUNNNNNNNNNNNNNNNNNNNNNNNNNNNNNNNNNNNNNNNNNNNNNNNNNNNNNNNNNNNNNNNNNNNNNNNNNNNNNNNNNNNNNNNNNNNNNNNNNNNNNNNNNNNNNNNNNNNNNNNNNNNNNNNNNNNNNNNNNNNNNNNNNNNNNNNNNNNNNNNNNNNNNNNNNNNNNNNNNNNNNNNNNNNNNNNNNNNNNNNNNNNNNNNNNNNNNNNNNNNNNNNNNNNNNNNNNNNNNNNNNNNNNNNNNNNNNNNNNNNNNNNNNNNNNNNNNNNNNNNNNNNNNNNNNNNNNNNNNNNNNNNNNNNNNNNNNNNNNNNNNNNNNNNNNNNNNNNNNNNNNNNNNNNNNNNNNNNNNNNNNNNNNNNNNNNNNNNNNNNNNNNNNNNNNNNNNNNNNNNNNNNNNNNNNNNNNNNNNNNNNNNNNNNNNNNNNNNNNNNNNNNNNNNNNNNNNNNNNNNNNNNNNNNNNNNNNNNNNNNNNNNNNNNNNNNNNNNNNNNNNNNNNNNNNNNNNNNNNNNNNNNNNNNNNNNNNNNNNNACCCCACAGCACCGCCCCACGACUCCCCCACCCAAGCACAACUCUCUCAUGGCUCACGCUGCCUCCCUGGAUAGCCGGAUCCCGAUCGCCCCGAUUGAAACCCCACACAUGUGAUGGCCGCCACCUGGGAGCCGCGAUGGCCCGGAUCCGACUCGCUCCUCCAUGGCCUCUGAUGUCGCCAUGUGGUGCGCCACCGGCCACCCACGCCCCGCGCAGCUCGUUGCUGCCCGAUAUUCAGUUCAGCGACCGUGGCAGUGCAGUUCGGAGGCGCGGGUGAUGUGGUUCAGUGCUGGUCGUCAUGGAUGGUCCUCGGGGUAGAUCCCGUAGGUGCUCUUCCAACUCUCUUCACUUUCGUGGCGCUCGAGCGUAGAUGGGACGGUGUCCAACAUCGGCGUGCAGUACGACAUACGACGACGUGCAAUACAGGAUACAACGGCCUGCAGUUCGGUGACCCUCCCACGCGCCAGAACAACCAUGAGCAACAGCACGGCUGGGAGCUCCUCCACCAUUCGCGCCCCAACCACCACUGCAACCCUCUUUCCCCUUGGCUACCUCCUUCCCCUGUAACACCCACGAUGCGGCUAUAUCUCCCACGUGUCGGAGCACGACUUAGAGGCAUAACCGCAUGGUAGGCAUGUCGCAAGAGGGGUAAUCUUUACACAUCCCAUGUACUGAAUAAGAAAGGGAUAAAGAGUUGGCUUACAAUCGCCACUUCACACAAUACAUAAAUAUAUCAUACAUCAUCCAGAAUACAAUCAAGGUCCGACUACAGAACCAAAAUAAAGAAAGACAACCCCAAAUGCUAGAUCCCCGAUCUCCCCAACUGGGCUCCUCUACUGAUCAUCCAGAAAAGACACGUAGUAACAGCCAGAAUCCUCGUCGAACUCCCACUUGAGUUCGGUAGCAUCCCCUGCACUAGCAUCAUCGGCACCUGCAUCUGUUUGGAAGUAUCUGUGAGUCACGGGGACUCAGCAAUCUCACACCCUCGCGAUCAAUACUAUUUAAGCUUAAAGGUAGGAAACGGGUAGUGAGGUGGAGCUGCAGCAAGCACUAGCAUAUAUGGAAGCUAAAUUACGCAAAUGAGAGCGAGAAGAGAAGCAAAGCACGGGCGAGAAGCUAAUAAUGAUCAAGAAGUGAUACUAAGGGUACUUAUGUUCAAGCAUAACACGAGACCGUGUUCUCUUCCUAGACUCCGCCGAAAAGAGACCAUCACGGCUACACACGCGGUUGCUUCAUUUUAAUUAGAUUAAGUGUCAAGUUUUCUACAACCGGAUAUUAACUAAUUCCCAUCUGCCCAUAACCACGGGCACGACUUUCGAAAGUUCAAAACCCUGCAGGGGUGUCCCAACUUAGCCCAUCACAAGCUCUCAUGGUCAACGAAGGAUAUUCCUUCUCCCAGGAAGACCCGAUCAGACUCGGAAUCCCGGUUACAAGACAUUUCGACAAUGCUAAAACAAGACCAGCAAGACCACCCGCUGUGCCGACAAAUACUGAUAGGAGCUGCACAUAUCUCGUUCUCAGGGCACACCGGAUAAGAUAAGCGUACAUGAACCAACAUAACCCAUGUUGCCAAGGGACGGUCCCACACGGGGCUCUAGUUUGGACCAACACUCAAAGGAGCACUGGCCCGGGGGUUUAAAAUAAAGAUGACCCUUGAGUCCGCGGAACCCAAGGGAAAAAGGCUUAGGUGGCCAAUGGUAAAACCAAGGUUGGGCCUUGCUCAAGGAGUUUUAUUCAAGGCGAACUGUCAAGGGGUUCCCAUAACACCCAACCGCGUAAGGAACGCAAAAUGGCGGAAACUAAGGCGGCAAGAGUGGAACAAAACACCAGGCAUAGGGCCGAGCCUUCCACCCUUUACCAAAUAUAUAGAUGCAUUAAAGUAAACAAGAUAUAAUAAUGAUAUCACAAAAAUCUCCAUGUUCCAACAUGGAACAAACUCCAACUUCACCUGCAACUAGCAACGGUAUAAGAGGGGCUGAGCAAAGCGGUAACAUAGCCAAACAAUGGUUGGCUGGGAAAGGUGGGUUAGAGGCUUGACAUGGCAAUAUGGGAGGCAUGAUAUAGCAAGUGGUAGGUAUCGCGACAUAGCAAUAGAGCGAACAACUAGCAAGCAAAGAUAGAAGUGAUUUCGAGGGUAUGGUCAUCUUGCCUGCAAAAUUCUCAGAGUUGACGAAAGCUUAAUCCUCGUUAGCGUACUCAACGGGUUCCUCGAUCACGUACUUGUCUCCCGGCUCUAUUAAAAGCAAGAACACAAGCAAAGGAAACAAAAAUCAACCACGGUGCAAUGCGCAAGCAACAUGAUGCAAAACAUGGCAUGAUAUGCGAGAUGUGAUAUGCAAAGCAUAUGCGUGCUCCGGAAGGAAAAGGAUGAACAAGGCAUCAACUUGGCAAACCAAGUGCUCUGCUGGAAAGAUGAGUUGAUUUUGGUCGAAAUCGAUAUAAAGAUCACCGGAAUCAGAUGCAUGGUUUGCAAAUGGCAAGCAAAACAAUAAUGGCACAAUACCGCGAUUAACAGCACGAUGCCACCUAGAAUGCAACAAGAAACUAAGGUACUACACUCCAACGUAUCAACAAAGCACAUGGUAGUGAUCUACUCAAGAUGCUUGACAAAAGAUGAACACUGAUCUACAGCUAAAUCACAUAAGAGCAGGUUCAAACAAGCAUGGCAAAAGUGCAAAAGAUAUCAGCUUCACAGACUUAGUGAAAAUACUAACAUGCUAGGAAUUAACAUCAGGAAGCAAUGUUUAGAGCAAGCUAACAACAUGCUACAUGAGCGGAUCAUAGCAAACAAAGGCAUGUCAUGAAUCUACUCAAAGCCUAGAACACAAGUCCCUUACUGACCAUGAGCCAAAAAGGCACAGAAGAUAUGAUGGCACCCAUGUAAACAUAGCAAGUUUUAUAAACAGAUUCAGACUUGGCAGAAAACUGAGCAUGCAAAAACAGAGUUAUGAAGGCAUCUUUGCAAGCUCGAUUCACUCAACACAAGGCAUCGCAUGACAAGAUAAUCAUAGAAUCAACAAGAUGGCAUGUUUAUGAAGCUAACCAAGGCAAGCUAAAGUUCAUAGCAUGCAUGGAUCAACUACAACAUCCAUGGAAAAAUUGAUUAACAUGUAAAUAAUCUGCUGGGAACAUUUUAUAGCAAAAGUAGAGCAAGAUUAAGACAUGCUAGUGGACUCCAUAAUUGCAAACAGGGGCAUGGAUGGAUAGAGCAUAACCAUAUGUCAAAAUCAUCCUUACUGAAGAUACUCAAAACAAGCAUGGAUCACUCUGUGGCAUCAUGGAUACAUGGCAUAAAAAUAACAGUAGCCAAAGACUUAGCCAAAAUCCUGAGAUCCUGAAAUCAACAAUAUCACGAAGGCUACUUUGCAUGCUUGUGCUAGUCAUGACAAAGAUCACAAAAAUACAUGGCAUACACCCCUGUAAAGAUGGCAUGGCAUAUAUCAAUAUACAUGUAGGGCUCAUGCCCAUAUGCAGCACACAACAAAUGUAGCAAAAAUGACAACUCCUCAUACUCUGAUAAGAGUCAGCACCUAACAAUUUAUAGCACUCUUGCAUCAGUUAUUAGGGCAUCAAGAUGGACUCAAACAAGCAUGUCACAAUGUAACAAAAUGAAGAGCACAUCAUGAUGAACAUUUUGAUAUAUUGCACGCACAAAACGGAGCUACAUGCAAGAAGUUAUGAUGCAUUGAACAGAGGCUUAAAACAUAACAUAAAAAGGACUUAGAGGGGAUUUGGACCUCCAGAUUUGAGAUCUAGGGUUCGGUGGCGCGGAUGAUGAGGACGGCCAGAGCGGAUCUCGCCGGAAUCUGCAGGGGCGGUGACCGGAGCUCGAAGGAGAGGAGGCCGGCGAGGGGGUCCGGCGAACGACGACCGUGGGAGGUGGCGGAGACAGGUGCUGGCGGCGGAGGACGAGCUAGGCGCGGUCGCCGGCGCGGAGGAGCGACGCGGCUGCCAGCCGGCAUGGAGGAGCGCCGGUGAUGGCGGGCGCGGUCGGUGGAGCACGCCGGCAAGGCGGUGGCGGGCUCGGUGGGAGGCGGCGGGCGAGCGCGGGUGUCGGUGUCAAAACAGGCCGAUCUUGGGUAGGGGGUCCCAAACUGUGCGUCUAAGGCGGAUGGUAACAAGAGGCAGGUGACACGAUGUUUUACCCAGGUUCGGGCCCUCUUGAUGGAGGUAAAACCCUACGUCCUGCUUGAUUUAUUCUUGAUGAUAUGAAUAUUACAAGAGUUGAUCUACCACGAGAUCAGAGAGGCUAAACCCUAGAAGCUAGCCUAUAGUAUGAUUGUCUGUUGUCCUACGGACUAAAACCCUCCGGUUUAUAUAGACACCGAAGGGGGCUAGGGUUACACAAGGUCAGUUACAAAGGAGGAGAUAUCCAUAUCCGUACUGCCUAGCUUGCCUUCCACGCCAAGUAGAGUCCUAUCCGGACACGGGACGAAGUCUUCAAUCUUGUAUCUUCAUAGUCCAACAGUCCAGCCAAAGGAUAUAGUCUGGCUGUCCGGAGACCCCCUAAUCCAGGACUCCCUCAGUAGCCCCUGAACCAGGCUUCAACUUCGAUGAGUCCGGCGCACGGUGUUGUCUUCGGCAUUGCAAGGCGGGUUCCUCCUCCGGACACACCACAGAAGAGUUUGAAUAAAAGGAUAGUGUCCGACCCUGCAAAAUACAUUCCACAUACCAUCGUAGAGAGAAUAAUAUUUGCACAAAUCUAAUCUGUUGACACAUUUUGGCAACAUGACAUCAUGCCAUGGCUCGGUGAUUAUUCGAACCGUUUUUCUUUAACUAGCCCCGCACAUAACGCGAGGCAGUUUCUUGACACGUCUUGUCAAAGCAGAGAUCGUGUCCCCCUUAUUACGGGAUUCUCGUCAAUACGGGCAUGGGUAACCCAACCGUGCCAUCAAUUACGGCGCUUGAGGGAUAAGCGAGUUUUACCAGGCUAGUGGGGGCGCAUAGUUUUGGCCGCCCUUAUAAAGGGAUAAGGUUUAACCUUUUUCUACCCACGCCUUCUUCCUCCUUGCUCAUUCGUUCUUGCGCACUUGAGCUCCAACGCCCAAGUCCACAUCCUUCUCCUCAACCUUCUCCAAACAUGUACGGAGCGGGAGGCAAGUGGAUGGCUUCCUCCGUCACGGAGGGACACAUCAAAAAGCUGCGAGGAGCCGGAUACUUAGCCGCGAAUAUCGUGCAUCGGCUACCCGCUGCAGGGCAGAUCACCCCUACCCCGGAACCUCACGAGAGGGUAGUCUUCCUCCACCACUUCCUCCGCGGACAGGGGUUUCCCCUCCAUCCAUUCGUCCGCGGUCUUAUGUUCUACUAUGGGCUAGACUUUCAUGAUCUGGCCCCGAACUUCAUCCUCAACAUUUCGGCAUUCAUCGUCGUGUGUGAGGCUUUCCUCCGCAUCCGGCCCCACUUCGGCCUGUGGCUGAAGACCUUCAAUAUCAAGCCGAAGGUGGUGGGAGGCCGACAAACGGAAUGCGGUGGAGCCAUGGUGGGCAAGAUGCCCAAUGUUAUAUGGCUUGACGGCUCCUUCGUGGAGACCAUAAAGGGAUGGCAAUCGGCGUGGUUCUACAUCACCGAGCCGCGCGACACCAACUGGGUGGUGGCCCCCGAGUUUCGAUCUAGGAUCCCCACGCGGCUCACCUCCUAGAAAGAGAAGGGCCUAUCCUGGGGUUCAUCGGUGGAGCUGGACGGACUCUAGAAAUGUAUCCGGAAUAUGGCAAGCAAGAAGCUCAAGCUUGUCAACAUAGUCCAGGUCAUGCUCUUCCGUCGGAUCCUCCCGUGUCGACAACGGGAUUUCAACUUGUGGGAGUUCGACCCGGCCUAGCACCAGACUCUGAGCGAGCUCUUCGACAUGACGCACAAGGACGUCUGGAGGGUGCUGUUCAAGGGUGUCGAGGUCCCUCCCUCUCUCAUCGAGGACCGCGGGCUAAGCGCGAAGCGCCCUGCGAAUCCGGUAAGUUUUGUACAUCUGGUAGGAUUUUUACUUCCCAUAGCUUAACCACGUGCGGGGUCUGAGCUCCCAUGCCUUUGACAGGACUGGGUGGGGGCAUCGGAGAAGAUCAACUGUCCGGCCCCUCUGCCCGAAGACACUGCGGACGCUCUCCUAAUGGAGAUGCUCACUCCGGCUCCUUACAAGGUGCCGAAGAAGGCCAAGAAGAAGGCCAAGGGAACCCGGAAGAGUUCCCGACGCCAGGUGGUAUCGGACUCAUGGUCCGAUGACUCUGCAACGCACUCCUCCCACGAAGACGAGGAGGAAGAUGAAGAUGUUCCCCCUCCAGCCGAGGGAGACAAGAAAAGGAAGGCCGCCCCAACCCGGGGGGAGGAGGGCGAAGGGUCCAAGAAGGGAAGGACUCUCCUUCCGGACUGCUCCACAACAGCCGCCGAAGACGAAGACGAGUGGCUGCUCAGGGCCAAGCCCCUGGCGAAGUCGUAAGUAUUCGGAUACCGGAGUAACUCAUAGCAUACAUUUGUCGCACUGCUUCUCCUAACGCCGAAUAUGAUUAUGCAGACCGCCCCAAGCCCGUAUCGACGUAUCUUCGUCGGGCGGCUCCUUGGACUCGUCGGAUAUGGAUAGCGAUCCACUUCUGACCGCCACCUCCCCUUUCCCUACAGAUAAUGCCAAGGUGCUGUCUCAAGAGGCACCGGGUCGAGGGGAGACAGUCCCGAAGGCGCCUCAAGGCGACCUUCCGGACUCCGGGAGCAGAGGGGGUAAGGCUCCCGAGGGCUCCGAGUUCGGCCUUCAGCUGAACAUUGCACCGAAACCUCCAGUGGUUCCAGACUCGGGCAGGCGGCCUCCUUCCAAAAGGGGCAAGACGUCUGUGCCGGUAACCUUUGUCCAUCUAGAGGCACCGGAUAAUCUGCUGGGAGCGCUUCGCAGCGCUUCCAUCGACGAAGAGCACCGCACUAUUAUGAGUGCGGUGAUCCAGAAGGUUCAGUCCGCCAAGAGCGGACUGACUGAAGCCUGUGCCAGCCUUCUAACAGGCUAUGAGGUAAGUGUUUGAAAUAUAGGAAAAAUAUUACCGCAUAGACAGUAGCCCCUGAUGCUCUGUUUGGUGUUUAAAAAGAAAAGCCGAAUAGAGGAUCAACUAAUAUCUACAGGAGUCUAAUAUAAGUAUGUCUAUAUGCAUAUGCAGGCUUCGCUGCUGACCUCUGCCGCACUGACUGUGGAGGUUGCCGUACUGAAGCAGGACCUCGAAGGGUCCAAGAAAGAGCUCGGCCUUGCCAAGAGGCAGCUCGAGGAGAACUAAGGUAAGUAAUACCUAGUCUGUAGAUAUGUAUAUAUAUAAAAGGGAUGCAAUUGCAAAAUGACAGGAUCAUCUUUAAUUUGCCAGGGGCCACGACCGAAGUGGCAACCCUGAAGCAAGCGCUAUUCGAGGCCGAAAACAAAGCAGCCCAGGAGCGCACCGAGUGGGAAAAACAAGAGGCACGGGUGGGCGAGGUGCAGCAAGAGCUCCACGCUCUCGUGACGAAGCACGAGGCGUUGGAGCUUGACUUGAAGACGCGAGAUUCCGAGCUUGUCGCGACCCUUGAGAGUGCAAAGAGUGCCAAGGCCGAAGCCCAAAAGGCCCUCCAGGAGAUUGAUGCGAUGAAGAAGAUAGCGGCGGGUAAGGCAUUCUAUAUGCAAAGCAAGCAUGUGAAAGUAAAUUACUUGUUACUUAACCGAAUCUAGAGCUCUCCAGGAGCAUUCACAGAUUUGCCCCGUAACAUGUCGGAUGCUGCACAAUUUUACCAGGCCGAGGAGGGAAGCUCAACAGAGAAGCUGUUCUGGUCUCAGUAUACUGGGACUGAACACCCGAUGCCUCUGAUCGACCAGCUGAGGCAACUGGUCGAGCUGCACAAGGCGACCGAACAGGCCAUGAAGGGAUUUAUAGUCCGGAUGUGGACUGGCGACGCCCUUCCCAACAGCUACUUCAGCCUGGUGAGGCGGCUUGUGGAUGCCUGCCCAUGGCUGGAAGUCAUCAAGCGGUCCGUCUGCAUCGAAGGUGCACACCGGGCUAUCGCCCGUGCGAAGGUGCACUGGGCCAAGAUGGACGCCGUGAAGCUGGUGAAGGAAGGGCCGUCGCAGGGCAAGGAGCAUCGCCACCCCGAGAUGUACUAUGAGGGUGUCCUGAAGGGUGCCCGUCUUGUAACGGACGAGUGUGCGAAAGAUGUAAUAUUUGAAUAAACUUGCUCGUGUAAUCCUGUAUUAUGAAAACUUGUUCAUAUGCGCUAUGCAAUGCUUGUUUGAAUUUAAAAUAUUGCCUUCUGUUCGGCUGUUUAUCAAAUCUGAGAGAUGGCUAGUCGUCGGCUCCUGCCCCCACGCCACGAGUGCUGGGUUGUUCGGUAUAAACCUGAGCACUCUUGUUCCCAUUUUUGGGUCCUUCGAGGGAGGUGCUUAGCACAACGAACAAGGCAAUCGGACUAUAAUGCGUUAUCACUCUCACUUAGCCAUAGAAUUCUAUAAUUUUAAAUUUCGGCGAAGCCCCUAGUAUUCGGAAGGCUGAUUUCGGGGCGCUAUACACGCCUUAAGUCGGACAGGGCCGACUCCUCGCUCUAAGCGGCAUAAGUCUUUAGGGACUUGAAACCUCUCGAACAGCGUCCAGUCUCUCGCCUUAUCAUGAUAGUCAGUUUUAGCUUUCUCUACUGAGGUGCUUAGCCCAGCAGAACCGGGGCACAAUCGCAGUAGUUCUCCCAGUGCUACCUUAGCCGAUAUAGCGGAACGUAAGGUACCAAAACAUGGGAGCCGGGCAAACCCAACUAUUGACCCAAGACAUGAUUCGGAGCUGAUGCAUAUAAUGCUAUAAGUUCGGGGUGCCGCACUGUCGAAAGUGUUCGGACUUCUCAUGCCGUAUUAUGGGGUAUGCCUAAGCCCCUAGCAUAUUGGCCGUACCAGAAUGUACGGGUGCUAGAUGUCAUGAAUGAACAUAUAUAUACAUAUAUAUAUAUAUAAAGGAAGAAUGCAAUAAUAGUCUUAAUGCUAUGCCUUGUUUAUUCAAAAAGGUGCGUUAAAGCAGAAUAAUACAAGUAGUGCGAUAAGCAAAAAGUAGGACUGUUUGACAUGUCCCUUCCAAGGGCAAGUUGAGGAAUAGUAUUAAAGAAAAUAUUUCACUCGUUAUCGUAAUCCACCUGGGAGUUCCGUGGUGUGACGUAGCUUGCUGCCUCCUUGGUUGCUGCAUCAUGUGUUCGGCAAUCAUGCUGCUGGAGAGGGUUUCCAGAGAUUAAAGUCCUGAAAGAGAAAAAUAACAAAGCGGGAAGCCCCUAGUGCGGUUUAAGCCGCGUCUUGGAGCGUGCCGUAGUCGUGCCCCGCUCCCCACCUAUGCCCAUGGUAUUUUUAAUGCAUAAUUAUGUACGCGUGGCACGGAUUUUGCCGUUUGGCUGGGACCGGGUGGGGGCCACAUUGCUAUGCAAGCUCGGAACGUGCCAGGCGGUCCAGUUGCCGAUUACUCCGGGCGCGCUUGAAGGUGUCUGGGUCCUUAAUCGCCGAACUAGUGGAUUGCCUUAAGAGGCUACUUUGCGCUUCUGCUGCGAGGGCCGCAGUGUGCUCCUCCGUGCGGAGAGAGCGCUUUGUGUUUCCAUUGACUGUGAUGACCCCCCAAGGUCCUGGCAUCUUGAGCUUGAGAUAUGCAUAAUGCGGUACCGCAUUGAAUCUCGCAAAUGCAGUUCACCCGAGCAGUGCAUGGUAGCCACUGCGGAACGGGACUAUGUCAAAGAUUAACUCUUCGCUCCGGAAGUUAUCCGGGGAUCCGAAGAGCACUUCCAGUGUGACUGAGCCUGUGCAAUGGGCCUCUACACCUGGUAUGACGCCUUUAAAGGUCGUUUUUGUGGGUUUGAUCCUUGAGGGGUCUAUACCCAUUUUGCGCACUAUGUCCUGAUAAAGCAGGUUCAGGCUGCUGCCACCAUCGAUAAGGACUCGUGUGAGGUGAAAUCCGUCAAUGAUUGGGUCUAGGACCAGUGCGGCGAAUCCGCCUGACGGAUACUAGUGGGGUGGUCCCUGCGAUCGAAGGUGAUCGGACAGGAGGACCAUGGGUUGAACUUUGGGGCGACUGGCUCCAACGCAUAUACGUCCCUGAGCGCACGCUUCCGCUCCCUCUUGGGGAUGUGGGUUGCGUAUAUCAUGUUCACCGUCCGCACUUGUGGGGGGAACCUCUUUUGUCCUCCGGUGUUCCGCUGCCGGGGCUCCUCCUCGUCAUCGCUAUGUGACGCCUUAUCUUUGUUUUCAGCAUUUAACUUGUCGGCCUGCUCGAACACCCAACGAUCCCUGUUGGUGUGGUUGGCUGGCUUGUCGGGGGUGCCGUGUAUUUGACACGAGCGAUCGAGUAUACGGUCCAAACUGGACGGGCCCGGAGUGCUUCUUUUGAAUGGCUUUUUCCGCUGACCGGGUUUAGAGCCUUUGAAUCCGGCGUUGACUGGCGUAUCCUCGCUAUUGUCACUGUUAAUGCAGCGAUUAUGCUUGUUGCGACGUGACCUGCCGUUGCCGUCCUUGGUAUCCGAAGUACCAUGGUUCUUUGAUAUGUUAUUGCUGUGAGCCAACCAGCUGUCCUCUCCCGCACAGAAGCGGGUCAUGAGUGUCGUGAGGGCUGCCAUAGAUUUCGGCUUUUCCUGGCCAAGGUGCCAGGCGAGCCAUUCGUCGCGGAUGUUGUGCUUGAAAGCUUCUAGGGCCUCUACAUCUGGACAGUCGACGAUUUGAUUUUUCUUUGUUAGGAAUCGUGUCCAGAAUUGCCUGGCCGAUUCCUCUGGCUGCUGAAUUAUGUGGCUCAAGUCAUCGGCAUCUGGUGGUCGCACAUAAGUGCCUUGAAAGUUGUCGAGGAAUGCGGCUUCCAGAUCUUCCCAACAGCCAAUGGACUCUACUGGCAAGUUGUUGAGCCAAUGCCGAGCUGGUCCUUUGAGUUUGAGUGGGAGGUAUUUGAUGGCGUGUAGGUCAUCGCCGCGGGCCAUGUGGAUGUGCAGGAGGAAAUCCUCGAUCCAUACCGCAGGAUCUGUUGUGCCGUCAUAUGAUUCUAUAUUUACGGGUUUGAAACCCUCUGGGAUUUGAUGAACCAUUACUUCGUCUGUGAAGCAUAAGGGGUGUGCAGCACCUCUGUACUGGGCUAUAUCGCGACACAACUCAAAUGAGUCUUGCCCGCUUUGUUCGGCCCGACCGGACUUACUUUUACUAUAUCCGGCGUCACGAUUAUCGUCUCGCAUAGUGGCGCGCCCUCAUGAUCCGUAGAUCAAUCUUGCGGUUUUGCUUUGUCCUCCAUUACGUCUCACAGGUCUGGCGUAUUUCCUCAUGCCUUUUUAUUUGAAUGGCGUCGGGGUGUGGGCUGAGCUUUUGGCUGGAAUGCCUCUCUGUCGCGGCAACGAGGUGGCCGAUCAGCCGCGUCAUACGCCGGGGAUGUAGGUUUCGGUGCUUCCUCCUCCAGUCGGGGUAGCAACCUGCACUUUGGGUAACUCUUGGAGGGGCGUUCGAGUUUAUAUUCCUCGGCCGCCAGGACUUCAGUCCAUCUGUCAGCUAGCAAAUCUUGAUCAGCUUGAAGCUGUUGUUGCUUUUUCUUAAGGCUAUUUGCCGUGGCUAUAAGCCGGCGCUUGAAGCGCUCUUGUUCGACGGGAUCCUCUGGCAUGACGAAUUCGUCAUCAUCGAGGCUUGCCUCGUCUUCGGAGGGAGGCAUGUAAUUAUCAUCCUCCUCCUCUCCAUCUGUCGCUCUCUCAGAAGGGCUGGCUUCUCCAUCCUCCUGCUAUAAAUCUUGCUGGAGGGGAUUGUUGUUGCCUUCGGCACUUUUCGGAGUGCUAUUAUCUCCGGUGCCGGUAUCACCGCUUUUGCCUUGGCGGGACUUAGAGCGGCGCCGCUGACGCUGGCGCUUGGGUUGCUUCUUGGAGGGGUCAUCCUUCGCUGUCCCAUCGCCAUUGCCUUCUUUGGGUGUGUCCAUCAUGUAUAUGUCAUAUGAUGAGGUGGCUGUCCAGUGCCCUGUGGGCAGUGGUUCCUCUUCGCCUCCCGCAUCGUCGUCCAUACCGUCGAUGUCUUCGGAGUCGAAGUCGAGCAUGUCGGUUAAGUCAUCGACAGUGGCUACUAAGUGGGUGGUGGGUGGGCGGCGAAUUUCUUCGUCAUCUGCGUCCCAAUCCUGACGGACGUAGUUCAGCCAGGACUCUCCUGACAAGGAGAGAGACCUUAAUGAGUUUAGUAUGUCGACAAAGGGCGAGUGCUAAAAAAUAUCCGCGGAGGUAAACUCCAUGAUCGGCGCCCAAUCGGAUUCGAUAGGAACGGGUGCAGGCGGUUAGGAGUCCGUGGCCGGAGAAGGAUCCGACAGUUUGGCAACACGGCUCUCGUGAAGGGUAAGGUCGAUAUUCGGCUCGAUCGCCGCAGAGGAUACGACCUCCAUGGCAGGGUCUAUCCACCCGUCCAUGGAUGGCGCAACUGGCUCCAAAUUGAGGGUCGGAGCGGCUGCCGGUGCGAUUUCUUGAACACUGUCUGAUGGUAGAGCUAAAUCGUACUCAUCGUGACCGCGUGGCGCACAAGGCAGGGGCUCGAAUCCGUCGAAGAUCAAGUCUCCGCGGAUAUCGGCCGUGUAGUUUAAGCUUCCAAACCUGACCUGGUGGCCAGGGGCGUAACUUUCGAUCUGCUCCAGAUGGCCAAGUGAGUUGGCCCGCAGUGCGAAGCCGCCGAACACAAAGAUCUGUCCGAGGAGAAAAGUCUCACCCUGGAUUGCAUCGCUAUCGAUGAUCGUAGGAGCCAUCAAGCCUAACGGCGAUGACACAGAGGAACUCUCAAUGAAAGCACCAAUGUCGGUGUCAAAACCGGCGGAUCAUGGGUAGGGGGUCCCGAACUGUGCGUCUAAGGCGAAUGGUAACAGGAGGCAGGGGACACGAUGUUUUACCCAGGUUUGGGCCCUCUUGAUGGAGGUAAAACCCUACGUCUUGCUUGAUUUAUUCUUGAUGAUAUGAAUAUUGCAAGAGUUGAUCUACCAUGAGAUCAGAGAGGCUAAACCCUAGAAGCUAGCCUAUAGUAUGAUUGUCUGUUGUCCUACGGACUAAAACCCUCCGGUUUAUAUAGACACCGGAGGGGGCUAGGGUUACACAAGGUCGGUUACAAAGGAGGAGAUAUCCAUAUCCGUACUGCCUAGCUUGCCUUCCACUCCAAGUAGAGUCCUAUCCGAACAUGGGAAAAAGUAUUCAAUCUUGUAUCUUCAUAGUCCAACAGUCCGGCCAAAGGAUAUAGUCCGGCUGUCCGGAGACCCCCUAAUCCAGGACUCCCUCAGCGGGCGCGGGGCUGCGGCGGUUGGGCUCGGGUGGGCCCUCCUUGGGCUCGUCAGGCCACGGCAGCGGGGAAGGGUCUGGGGACACGUGGCGUGCCCUGAGUGGCUGAGGGAGGCGGCGGAUGCGUCCGGCCGGCGGCUGAUGUGUCCGGCGGUGCGGAGGGAUUGGAUCUAGGGUUUUGGACCCGGAUUUUGGACGAGGAGGACAUAUUUAUAGGUAGGAGGAGUUUGGAGUGCCCAAAUGGAGUGCAGUUUUCGCCCACGCGAUUGUGAUCCAACGACGGAGGACAUGGGAGUUGUUUGGAUGGGUUAAAGGGCCGUUUUGGAGGGGUGUUGGGCUGCAACACACAUGAGGCCUUUAUGGUUCGCUGGUUAACCGUUGGAGCAUCAAACGGACUCCAAAUGGCAUGAAAUUUGACAGGCGGUCUACCGGUGGUGUACCAAGGCCGCUUGGCAAAUCUCGGUCCAUUACGAGAAUGUUUAACACCCGCUCAUGAAAAGAGACAAAAGGGGACACCGGAGGACGUUGGAGUGUCAGAUUGCGAAACAGACAACGGGGAAAAUGCUCGGAUGCAUGAGACGAACGCAUAUGCAAAUGAGAUGCACAUGAUGACAUGAUAUGGAAUGUGUCAUGGAAUUGUCACGGCAGAUGUCCUAGUGGAAGGACUUAGUGGUAGGGCCAUCGCAACUAGGAAGCUUAAAGGGGUUAAUCGGGACAAAGGACACAAGAGGUUUUAUACUAGUUCGGCCCCUUACGAUGAAGGUAAAAGCCUACGUCUAGUUGUGUUUGGUAUUGCUGGGGUUUCGAUCACCAAGAGGCUAACUCGCUGGCUUGGUUAUCGAUCUCUUGUUUCUUGCCCUAAGCCGCCAUCGGGUCGUCCCCUUAUAUACACGGGUUUACGCCUGGUGGCCUACAGAGUCCCAGCCGGCUCAUAGUCGUAUCCGGCUCGGUGACUUCCUUUACAUGCCUUUCUUUACAAGUGUUCCCUUACAUACGAUAGUUUGUAAUAUUGGGCCUUAAGCCGCCUCUAGGCCUUUGGGCCUUCUAUACGAUUUAAUAACCUAUCAUCUUAAUGUUUACUGGGCUUCUUGUGUAACCCACCAUUGGGGCUGACCCGGCCCCUCUUGGGCGGGUCAUAACUGAUAGUUGUAUCCCCAACAUUAGGCCCCAGGUUGACUUUGUAUUUUGUUCUUUGUCAAUCUUCAACACUUAGACAAAGUCCAUAUUCUUAUCCUUGCAGAAGUUUUUGUAACCCGCCAUGACGUCAUCUCUUGGAAACGCAAAAAACUUUUAUGACGUCAUCUCCCAAUGGAUCUUCACCUUUAAUGUCUUCCGAGAAUCGAGGCGUCUGUGUAGUUGGAUAACAUUUAUUCGGCCCUUCCUCGAUUUUUGCACCCAUCUGUUCACAUUUUUCCUUAUAAAUAGGCACGCCUCGGCCUUCCUCAUUCUUCUCUCACUCUCCGUCUUCUUCCUCUCGCAACCCUCCUGCUGCUCGAGCCUCACCGCCGUCACGGUUCUCCCCCGUCUCCGUUGACCUUGGCCGCUGCAUCAACCUGAAUCAGUCCAGAGACGGCGGUGACCCCCGCAAAAGAUCUGUGGUUGUAAGUGUUCUCCUUUUCACUUCUCACAUCCGCAUUAGGGUUUCCAGAUUUCUUCGUGUUCUUCAUAGUUCAUCACAGUUCUUCGUAGUUCUUCCACCGCGGGCCUCUUCUUGAUCCAAAAAGAUAUAUAUGCUUGUGCAGUAGUGUUUUUGUGCCUACUCUUGAUGCCCACAGAUCCCUUUCUCUGGUUCAAAGAUCUCAUUGGAACUCACAGACUCAUCUGCGCUAAACUUUUUAGGUCUAGAAUUUUUUCAUUUUGAAUAGCCAUUUGAUCUGGAAUAAUACCAAGCAGUUAGGAAACUUGUUUGUCUCAACACUUAAUUGAAAUUGCUUUUCUCAAAUAUCUGUAGUCAUGGCGGCUUACUGUGCCGGCUUACUUUUGCUUAUAUGACAUUAGCCCUCAACUAAGCCGUCAUUACUUCCAUGUAUUAUCAUUAUUUAACUGUUAAUUUCACCAUGGAAUAGAACCGGCAUGUUGCCUUUCUUUCAGUUCAUUUUUGAACAUCAUGCCGUCCAAAGCGCCAACCAUCUACAACUGGGUUCCCUCAACUGAAACCAAGGAACAUUUGAAGGACUUCUUUUCCAUAGGGUUUUUGCCAGGGAAAACCGUCAUCUCUUACCGUGCCCCUGACCCGGAGGAAGAACGGCCCAAUCCAAGAGACGGGGAAGUGAUUGUUUUACUGACCAUAUGAACUGUGGCUUUUCACCGCCCAACUCAAAGUUCUUCAGAGAGGUCCUCCACCUUUUCAAACUCCACCCUCAAGAUAUCGGGCCCAACUCCAUAUCUAAUAUCUGCAAUUUCCAAGUGCUAUGUGAGGCGUACCUUCAGGAAGAGCCGACCGUGGAGCUGUUUAGAGAAUAUUUUUAUCUGAACCAGCAGAAUGAGUGCACCAACGGCCUUAGCUUGGAGCUUGGAGGCAUCUCAAUUUAGCGUCGGCAGGGCACUAUCUUCCCCCUCAUAGUCUUACCGAGUCAUCCCAAAGACUGGAACCAGACUUGGUUCUACUGUCAAGAUAUUUCACCAGCAAAUGAGAAGCCACUGUCGAGUUAUCGCGCCGAGCGUCUUGACUCCAAAUUCGCGCUCCCUAACAAGCUUACGGCUGCCGAACGUAGGAAGUUGAUCCCAUCCAUAAAAAGGAUUAAUGUAACACCCACGAUGCGGCUAUAUCUCCCACGUGUCGGAGCAUGACUUAGAGGCAUAGCCGCAUAGUAGGCAUGUCACAAGAGGGGUAAUCUUUACACAUCCCACGUAAUGAAUAAGAAAGGGAUAAAGAGUUGGCUUACAAUCGCCACUUCACACAAUACAUAAAUAUAGCAUUACAUCAACCAGAAUACAAUCAAGGUCCGACUACGGAACCAAAUAAAGAAACACAACCCCUAAUGCAAAAGAUCCCCGAUCUCCCCGACUGGGCUCCACUACUGAUCAACUGGAAAAAAAACACAACGAGCACGAUCUUCAUCAAGCUCCUCCUUGAGCUCGGUUGCGUCACCUGCAUGGUAUCAUCGGCACCUGCAACUGUUAGAAGUAAUCUGUGAGUCACGGGGACUCAGCAAUCUCACACCCGUGAGAUCAAGACUAUUUAAACUUAUGGGUGGGAAAAGGUAGUGAGGUGGAGCUGCAGCAAGCACUAGCAUAUAUGGUGGCUAACUUACGCAAAUGAGAGCGAGAAGAGAAGCAAAGCACGGUCUUGAACUAGAAGUGAUCAAGAAGUGAUCCUGAAACUACUUACGUUCAAGCAUAACUCCAAAACCGUGUUCACUUCCCGGACUCCACCAGAAAAAGACCAUCAUGGCUACACACGCGGUUGAUGCAUUUUAAUCGAGUUAAGUGUCAAGUUCUCUACAACCGGAUAUUAACAAAUUCCCAUCUGCCCAUAACCACGGGCAUGACUUUCGAAAGUUCAAAACCCUGCAAGGGUGUCCCAACUUAACCCAUCACAAGCUCUCACGAUCAACGAAGGAUAUUCCUUCUCCCAGGAAGACCCGAUCAGACUUGGAAUCCCGGUUACAAGACAUUUCGACAAUGGUAAAACAAGACCAGCAAAGCCGCCCGAUGCGCCGACAUCCUGAUAGGAGCUGCACAUAUCUCGUUCUUAGGGCAACACCGGAUGAGACAUGCUACGAGUAAAACCAACCCUCAAGUUUCCUCGAGGUGGUCCCCCAAUCUACUCAGUUCGGACCAACACUUAGAGAAGCACUGGCCCGGGGGGGGGGGGUUAAAAUAAAGAUGACCCUUGAGUCUACAGAACCCAAGGGAAGUGUAGGAUCUAGAAGUAGAUGUGUCUAGAGGGGGGUGAUUAGACACUUAGUGCUAAAGUUGCAAUUUUUAAGCUUUUUCGGUUUGAGUGGAGUUUUAGACACAAUUUCAACACACACAAUACAUAUCAAGCAAGCAUGCAAAGAGUAUAUGAGCAGCGAAAUGUAAAGCAUGCAACUUGCAAGAAUGUAAGGGGAAGGGUUUGGAGAAUUCAAACGCAAUUGGAGACACGGAUGUUUUUCCCGUGGUUCGGAUAGGUGGUGCUAUCCUACAUCCACGUUGAUGGACACUUCAACCCACAAAGGGUAACGGUUGCGAGAGUCCACGGAGGGCUCCACCCACAAAGGGCAACAGUUGUGCGAGUCCACAUAGGGCUCCACCCACGAAGGGUCCACGAAGAAGCAACCACCCACAUAGGGUCCACGAAGAAGCAACCUUGUCUAUCCCACCAUGGCCAUCGCCCACACAGGACUUGCCUCACUAGCGGUAGAUCUUCACGAAGUAGGCGAUCUCCUUGCCCUUACAAACUCCUUGGUUCAACUCCACAAUCUUGUCGGAGGCUCCCAAGUGACACCUAGCCAAUCUAGGAGACACCACUCUCCAAGAAGUAACAAAUGGUGUGUAGGUAAUGAACUCCUUGCUCUUGUGCUUCAAAUGAUAGUCUCCCCAACACUCAACUCUCUCUCAUAGGAUUUGGAUUUGGUGGAAAGAAGAUUUGAGUGGAAAGCAACUUGGGAAGGCUAGAGAUCAAGAUUCAUAUGGUAGGAAUGGAAUGUCUUGAUCUCAACACAUGAGUAGGUGGUUCUCUCUCAGAACAUAUGAGUUGGAAUUGUGUAUGUGUUCUGAUGGCUCUCUCCUCGAAUGAAGAGGUGGUGGAGGGGUAUAUAUAGCCUCCACACAAAAUCCAACCGUUACACACAGUUUUCCAAUCUCGGUGGGACCGAAUCAACAAACUCGGUCGGACCGAAAUGUAAACCUAGUGACCGUUAGAGAUUUUCGGUGGGACCGACUGGAUCAACUCGGUGGGACCGAUGUGCUAGGGUUAGGGUAAAUCCAAAACUCGGUUUGACCGAUUACUCAAACUCGGUGGGACCGAUUUGGGUAAUAAGUGAAACUGAGAUUUGGUCAAGCAAACUCGGUGGGACCGAUUGCAUAUCUCGGAGGGACCGAGAAUAUUGCAAUGGGUAACAGAGAGUUUGCAAGCCCAUCUCGGUGAGACCGAGAUCCCAUCGGUGAGACCGAACUGAUUAGGGUUUGGCAGUGGCUUAUGACAAGUGAAACUCGGUGGCGCCGGAUAGGAAGAAUAGGUAGGACCGAGUUUGGCUUAGGGUUUAGGUCAUAUGUGGAAGUGGGAAAGUAGCCGAGGAUUUUGGAGCAUAUCAUUAAGCACAUGAAGCAAGAGGCUCAUUAAGCAACACCUCAUCCCUCCUUGAUAGUAUUGGCUUUUCUUAUGGACUCAAUGUGAUCUUGGAUCACUAAAAUGUAAAAUGAGGAGUCUUGAGCUUGAAGCUUUAGCCAAUCCUUUGUCCUUAGCAUCUUGAAGGAGUUCCCACAACCUUUAGUCCCUGCCACUCUGAAACAUGCUAGAUAGAAAUGUUAGUCCAACAAGAGAUAUGUUGUCAUCAAUUAUCAAAACCACCUAGGGAGCACUUGUGCUUUCAAUCUCCCCCUUUUUGGUAAUUGAUGGCAACAUACAUCAAAGCUUUAGAUAAAGAUAUAAAGAACAGCAAGUAAAGCUUUGGAAGGACAUGUAACAAGCAUAGACUCCCCCUACAUGUAUGCACUCAUGUAAAUAUGAAAUAUAGAGGCAUGUGAGAGCAUAACCAUGACAGAGUAGGCAAUGUGUUACAUGUAUCUUGGCCAUAUGCAUCAGAGCAAAAGAUUAUCAAGGAAAAAUACCUUCAUGCUCAUGAGUCCUUCUUGCAAACAGUAUGUACAUAAGCAAGAACUCCUCAUACUCAUGAUUUUGAUGCAUAUACUUACCUUGUGGUCUUGAGUUGGCUUUGGAUGGAAUGAACCUGCACAAACAAAGUUAGAUAACACAGGUACAUUCACUAGCCAGAGCAAACAAAAGAAACCACAAGAAUACCAAGACUGGGAUGACAUGUAGAGAGUGAGUAUAAGGUACCACAUUGGAUUCAACAUGUCCCCAAGAAUAAAGAUAUGCAAUGAAUUUGACUGAUUUCUUUCCCUUAGGUGUCUUGCUCCCCCUGAAUCUUACAUGGGAUAUUGGGAGAAGAUAAGGAACAGCAAAUCAGAGCUGGAAGAUACAAAUGAACAUGUCUUUCCCCCUAAAAAGACAUGUGACAUCUCUCCUCUUGAACAUCAAGCAUCAAGCAUCUGGGAUCCUUGAGUAUUCUCUCCCCCUGGAAGUCUCUCUCUCCCCCUUAACUUGUAGGUUUGGUCCUUGAGACUUUUUCUCUCCCUUGAUGUGAUCUCUCUCUCCUACAAGCUUUGAUGUGAUCUCUCUCUCCCCCUUUGACAUCAAUUUACAAGAAGGGCUUUCUGGAAUCCGUAGUAUAGGUUUGGUCCUUGAGACUCAGCACAAAGCAAAGGAUAAAAUUGUGAUGCUUGUAGAGGACAAGAUUCAUUGAGUGGAGCUGGAUCAGAAGAAAUGUAGAACAAGUGGCAAACUGUUUUUCUGAUUGCAAAGUCGGUGGCACCGAGUGGCAUAUUUCGGUGGUACCGAAAAGAUUCGGUUGGACCGAAAAUUGCAAGUCGGUGAAACCGAGUUUACACAGAGAAAAACACUUGUCACCUCAGCUCACUAGACAUGUAGGAUCUCACAAAGAUUUGCAAUGAAUUACCUGAAGGAUUUGCAAGGAAUUAAAUGCAGAAAAUGCAGAACAAAAACAAAGAGAAAAGAGAAGAAACUGAAAGAUCUAGAUGAAGUUUUUUUUUGAAAAGGGAGAGAGAAAAUAAACAUGCAUGAGACAAAUGCAAUAACACAAAGAAAGAACACAAGAGAGCUUCAUCUAGAGUUGGGCGGUGACAUAGUCACCUAUGUUAGAGUAUAUUGACUUAGGAGUCAAGUGAGAACACUUGAUCAUAGGUCAUACUCAUCGUUUAAGCUCAAAAUGGGGUUACCAUUUUUCGUAUAAACAUCUUGAUGUAUUCACAUCUUGUUGAGUUUCUUUGACUCAUGUCUUGGAGUAAAGCUUCCCUAAGAUGGAAUAACAUACCUUGGGUGGUGGUGUGGUUCUUGCUCAUGUAGUUGAACUUGUGUGGGUGCUCAAGGUUGAUGUAGCUCAUCAAGAGUUGGGAGCACCACUUGGAGUUUGAGUUCAUCUACCUACAUGGGUUAGUUCUUGCAAGGAAGAGCACUUGUGUAUCCAAAAAUGACAAUCAUGAAGCUUAACAUAGAAUUUGUCAAAGGAUAUGUUUGAAUGGUUUUGUGCUUCCUUGUCUUCAACCACCAUUGUGUAGAGUCUUGGUGAUGUAGAGAUUGCUCAAGAUGUGAGUGAUUCGCAAUCUCAUGGAAUUAGAUUCAACCAAGCACCUACAUGGGUUAGACAACAUGCAAGGUACAAAUAUAUCCAAGACAUAAGAUAGUUAUCAUAAGAGAUAUAUCAUGGAUUAGUCAUAAGCUCAUGUCUUGCAUGUAUCCAAUGGAGUUUCUACUCCAAGUUCAAAGCAUCAAUGAUGUUUAAUUCUCCUCUCAACCUGCAAAACACUUUCUCAUCAAGAGGUUUAGUAAAUAUAUCCGCUAAUUGCUUAUCGGUGCAAACAUGCUUAAGAUUAAUGUCACCCUUAGCAACAUGAUCUCGAAUGAAAUGAUGACGAACUUCAAUAUGAUUAGUUCGAGAAUGUUGUACAGGAUUAUGACCAAUUUUGAUAGCACUUUCAUUGUCACAAAGCAGUGGAACAUGUUUCACAUAAAUCCCAUAAUCUUUAAGAGUUUGGGUCAUCCAAAGUAAUUGAGCACAACAUGAACCAGCGGCAAUGUAUUCCGCUUCGGCGGUGGAUAAGGAUACCGAGUUUUGUUUCUUGGAAGACCAAGACACAAGGGAUCUACCAAGAAAUUGACAAGUACCCGAAGUGGACUUUCUAUCAACCUUGUCUCUGGCAUAAUCCGAGUCGGAAUAGCCAACAAGAUCAAAAGAAGACCUCUUAGGAUACCAAAUGCCAAAAUUUGGUGUAUGGAUUAAAUAUCUCACUAUCCUUUUUACAGCCUUAAGAUGACAAUCUUUAGGAGCAGCUUGAUAUCGUGCACACAUACACACACUUAGCAUAAUAUCGGGACGUGAAGCACAUAGGUAUAACAAUGAACCAAUCAUAGAGCGAUAAACCUUUUGAUCAACUGGUUCACCAUCUUUGGUCAAAUCAUUAUGUCCACUAGUAGGCAUGGGUGUAGACAUACCUUUGCAUUCUUGCAUAUUGAACUUCUUGAAUAAGUCCUUGGUGUACUUUGUUUGAGAGACAAAUGUACCUUCCUUAGUUUGCUUGAUUUGCAAACCGAGAAAGAAUUUGAGUUCACUCAUCAUAGACAUCUCAAACUUCUCUGACAUUAGCUUUCCAAACUUUUCACUAAAGAGAGGGUUAGUUGAACCAAAUAUGAUAUCAUCGACAUAAAUUUGGCAUACAAAUAGUUCUCCAUUAACCCUUUUAGUAAAAAGAGUAAAAUCAAUUUUACCAAUUUCAAAACCACUUGUAGUAAGGAACUUGGUCAAGCAUUUAUACCAUGCUCUAGGAGCUUGUUUAAGACCAUAAAGAGCCUUGUGAAGUUUGUAAACAUGAUUUGGUUUCUUAGGAUUGAUAAAGCCUGGAGGUUGUUUGACAUAAACUUCCUCCUCUAUUUCACCAUUUAGAAAAGCACUUUUAAUGUCCAUUUGGUACAAGGUGAUAUUAUGGUGAUUAGCAUAGGCAAGUAAGAUGCGAAUGGACUCAAGUCUAGCAACGGGAGCAUAUGUCUCACCAUAGUCCAUACCUUCGACUUGUGUGUACCCUUGGGCGACGAGACAUGCUUUGUUGCGAACCACUUGUCCAUCUUCAUCUUGCUUGUUGCGAAACACCCAUUUGGUACCAAUGAUGUUGUGGUUGUUGUCGGGCUUCUCAACCAAUGUCCAAACUUGGUUUCUCUCAAAAUUAUGUAGCUCUUCAUGCAUAGCGUUUAUCCAAUCCGGAUCUUCCAAUGCUUCUUCAACCUUCAUAGGUUCAAUGCUAGAGAUGAAUGAAUAGUUUUCACAAAAGUUAGCUAAACGAGUUUUUGAGCGAGUGAUUCUCCCGGUUUGUAUAUCAUUGAGGAUUUGCUCAACGGGAUGAUCUUUGGCAAUUCUUGCUCGAACUCGUGAGAGCUUUUGCUUGGGUCUUCGUUGAGCAUCUUCUUCAUCUUGUUCUUCUUCUUGGCCUUCUUCAUUGUUGACGUCGUCGUUCUCUUGUCGUGGUGGAGAAGGAGGUUGUUGAUGUUCGUCUUGAUGUAUUUCCUCGUUUUCUUCAUCUUGGUGUGUCCCACUUGUGGAUGCUUCCGUGUCGAUUCUUGGUUCACCUUGUCGUGAAGUAGAAGCUUCCACUUGGACGGAUGAAGUAUUCUCCUUCACCUCCGUUGGACAAAUUUUGCCAAUGGACAAGUCUUGAAUUGCUUCUGAGGGGUCUUUGUCUCCUACAUCAAUUGGCAAUUUAUCUACUUGCGAGCCAUUAGAUUCAUCAAACUUCACAUCUACCGUCUCUUCAACCUUUUGGGUGAAAUUGUUGUAGACACGGUAAGUGUGAGAGUUUGAGCCAUAACCAAGUAGAAAACCUUCAUGAGAUUUAGGAGCAAACUUUGAACGACGAUGCUUAUCAAGAAUGUAGCACUUUGAGCCGAAUACUCGAAAGUAUCCAACUUGGGGUUUGUUACCGGUGAGAAGCUCGUAUGCCGUCUUGCCGAGUAGCUUGUGAAGAUACAAGCGAUUUGUUGCGUGACAAGCUGUCUCAACCGCUUCUGCCCAAAAGUGCUUUGGCGUCUUGUAUUCAUCAAGCAUCGUUCUUGCCAUUUCGAUGAGCGUCCGGUUCUUCCUCUCAACAACUCGAUUUUGUUGAGGUGUGUACGUGGCCGAGAACUCGUGUGAAAUCCCUUCUUCGUCAAGAAAGGUGUCCACAUUUGCGUUCUUGAACUCCGUUCCGUUGUCACUCCGAACCUUCUUGAUCUUCAUGUCAAACUGAUUUUGGGCCUUCCUAGCGAAGUUUCUGAAGAUCUUCUGGACCUGCGACUUGUCAUUAAGAAAGAACACCCACGUAAAUCUUGAAAAAUCAUCAACUAUAACUAGACCAAAAGAAUUUCCACCGAGACUCUUGUAGGCGUUGGGACCAAAAAGAUCCAUGUGAAGUAGCUCGAGUGGCCUCCGUGUGGUCAUGAUGUUCUUCACGGGAUGUCUUCCUCCAACCUGUUUACCUGCUUGACAAGCACUGCAAAGUCUAUCCUUAUCAAAUAUGACAUCGUUAACUCCAAGGAUAUGAUUUCCUUUAAUAAGCUUGUCAAGGUUUCUCAUGCCAACGUGACCUAGUCGUCUAUGCCACAACCAACCUUUUGAGGAUUUAGCAACAAAGCAAGUUUUAGGUUGUGCCUUUUUAGAGAAAUCGACGAUGUAAAGAUCACCUCUACGCAUACCGUUCAAAACCAUUUUAUGAUUGUCUCGACGAAAUACUUGGCAAUCUACCUCAGUAAAUAGGACAUUCAAACCGAAAUCAGCAAGUCUAGAUACUGAAAGUAAGUUGUAGCCAAGAGAUUCAACGAGCAUGACAUUUUGAAUGGAACUAUCAUGUGAGAUGGCCACCUUACCAAGGCCAACCACUUUACCCUUUGAAUUAUCACCAAAGGUGACAUAUUUUCGAGGGCCGUCAUUUUCAGCAAGCUCACGAAACAUCUCUUCAUCUCCGGUCAUACGAUCAGUACAUCCACUAUCAAGAACCCAUUCCUUUCCUCCUGAUUCAUAUCCCCGAAGAUUUGCCAUAAGACCAAAAUGUCUCAUUGCAUCAUCAAGAUCGAAGUCACUAUCAUCAUCAUCAUAGUAUCCAUGUUCAUCAUGAUCUUGUGACUCAUCAUUUCCUAGAGAGGGUAAUUCAUUAGAUAAAUGAUCAUCAAAGUGGUCACUUCUAUGAAUUCUUAUAGCUUUGAAUAUGAUAUCAUUAAUGAUUCCAACAUCUCCUUUAGCAAGCUUAAGAUUGGUAAGUUCAAAUAGACAAUUACCAAAACUAGGAUCACUAGAGUUCAUCUUACUCAAGGCAAUAGAUUUAUGGAGAAUUUCAUCCAAAGUUUUCAAGGAAUGAUCGGGAAAUCAUUCCUCAAGAAAUUUCCAUAUAGUAUAGGCACAAUUAAGAGUAGGCAAACUAGCAAUCAAAUUUUUGGGCAAUCCUCUAAUGAUGAGCUCAAUAGUUCUAAGAUUGCGAAUCAUGUCAAUAUCUUCAUCUAGGGUAGGAUGCAAAGGAUCAAUAUGAGGUGCACAAGGGCUAGCAAUAUACUUGUUCAAAUGAUAUUGAUUGAAGAUUACAAGCAUCUCAUUUUUCCACUCACGAAAAUACUCUCCAUCAAGAAUAGGCACUCUAUGUCUAAGACUCCCUAAUGUAGACACAUCCAUCUUCCUCCAAUGGUGAUUAAACCAAGGCAAUGGAGACCAAAGCUCUGAUACCACUUGUAGGAUCUAGAAGUAGAUGUGUCUAGAGGGGGGUGAUUAGACACUUAGUGCUAAAGUUGCAAUUUUUAAGCUUUUUCGGUUUGAGUGGAGUUUUAGACACAAUUUCAACACACACAAUACAUAUCAAGCAAGCAUGCAAAGAGUAUAUGAGCAGCGGAAUGUAAAGCAUGCAACUUGCAAGAAUGUAAGGGGAAGGGUUUGGAGAAUUCAAACGCAAUUGGAGACACGGAUGUUUUUCCCGUGGUUCGGAUAGGUGGUGCUAUUCUACAUCCACGUUGAUGGAGACUUCAACCCACAAAGGGUAACAGUUGCGAGAGUCCACGGAGGGCUCCACCCACAAAGGGCAACGGUUGCGUGAGUCCACACAGGGCUCCACCCACGAAGGGUCCACGAAGAAGCAACCACCCACAAAGGGUCCACGAAGAAGCAACCUUGUCUAUCCCACCAUGGCCAUCGCCCACACACGACUUGCCUCACUAGCGGUAGAUCUUCACGAAGUAGGCGAUCUCCUUGCCCUUACAAACUCCUUGGUUCAACUCCACAAUCUUGUCGGAGGCUCCCAAGUGACACCUAGCCAAUCUAGGAGACACCACUCUCCAAGAAGUAACAAAUGGUGUGUAGGUAAUGAACUCCUUGCUCUUGUGCUUCAAAUGAUAGUCUCCCCAACACUCAACUCUCUCUCAUAGGAUUUGGAUUUGGUGGAAAGAAGAUUUGACUGGAAAGCAACUUGGGAAGGCUAGAGAUCAAGAUUCAUAUGGUAGGAAUGGAAUGUCUUGAUCUCAACACAUUAGUAGGUGGUUCUCUCUCAGAACAUAUGAGUUGGAAUUGUGUAUGUGUUCUGAUGGCUCUCUCCCCGAAUGAAGAGGUGGUGGAGGGGUAUAUAUAGCCUCCACACAAAAUCCAACCGUUACACACAGUUUUCCAAUCUCGGUGGGACCGAAUCAACAAACUCGGUCGGACCGAAAUGUAAACCUAGUGACCGUUAGAGAUUUUCGGUGGGACCGACUGGAUCAACUCGGUGGGACCGAUGUGCUAGGGUUAGGGUAAAUCCAAAACUCGGUUUGACCGAUUACUCAAACUCGGUGGGACCGAUUUGGGUAAUAAGUGAAACUGAGAUUUGGUCAAGCAAACUCGGUGGGACCGAUUGCAUAUCUCGGUGGGACCGAGAAUAUUGCAAUGGGUAACAGAGAGUUUGCAAGCCCAUCUUGGUGAGACCGAUAUCCCAUCGGUGAGACCGAACUGAUUAGGGUUUGGCAAUGGCUUAUAACAAGUGAAACUCGGUGGCGCCGGAUAGGAAGAAUCGGUAGGACCGAGUUUGGGUUAGGGUUUAGGUCAUAUGUGGAAGUGGGAAAGUAGCUGAGGAUUUUGGAGCAUAUCAUUAAGCACAUGAAGCAAGAGGCUCAUUAAGCAACACCUCAUCCCUCCUUGAUAGUAUUGGCUUUUCUUAUGGACUCAAUGUGAUCUUGGAUCAGUAAAAUGUAAAAUGAGGAGUCUUGAGCUUGAAGCUUUAGCCAAUCCUUUGUCCUUAGCAUCUUGAAGGAGUUCCCACAACCUUUAGUCCAUGCCACUCCAUUGUUGAACUUAUCUGAAACAUGCUAGAUAGAAAUGUUAGUCCAACAAGAGAUAUGUUGUCAUCAAUUAUCAAAACCACCUAGGGAGCACUUGUGCUUUCAGGAAGGUGAUAGGUUGUUAGUGCAAAAGUAAAACCAAGGUUGGGCCUUGCUGGAGGAGUUUUAUUCAAAGCGAACUGUCAAGGGGUUCCCAUUAUAACCCAACCGCGUAAGGAACGCAAAAUAAAGGAACAUAACACCGGUAUGACGGAAACUAGGGCGGCAAGAGUGGAACAAAACACCAGGCAUAAGGCCGAGCCUUCCACCCUUUACCAAGUAUGUAGAUGCAUUAAGUAAAUAAGAUAUAUUGUGAUAUCCCAAACAAAUCCAUGUUCCAACAUGGAACAAACUCCAAUCUUCACCUGCAACUAACAACGCUAUAAGAGGGGCUGAGCAAAGCAGUAACAUAGCCAAACAAUGGUUUGCUAGGAAAGGCGGGUUAGAGGCUUCACAUGGCAAUAUGGGAGGCAUGAUAUAUUAAGUGGUAGGUAUCGCGGCAUAGCAAAAGAGCGAGCAACUAGCAAGCAAAGAUAGAUGUGAUUUCGAGGGUAUGGUCAUCUUGCCUAAAAUCCCGCAAGGAAGAAGAACGAGUCCAUGAAGAAGACAAGCGGACGUAGUCGAAUGAAUCCUCACAACUCCGGAACGGAACCAAAGCUAACGAGAGAAGUGACCCGGAAAGAAGCAAGCAACAUAGUAAACAACCAUCACAUAAUCAUGACAUGAUGCACAACCAAGUAGGAUGCAUGUCCGGUUAAUGAGGCAUGUCAUGGCAAGGUGCACAAAUAACACUACAAAUUAAGUGGAGCUCAAUAUGCAACGGAGUUGCAUAUUGAAGAAAACACCACAUGACUUAUUUAGUUCUCUCUCGUUUAGGUACUCAACAAUAUUAAAUGUUGGUUAGCAUAGCAAGAGGUGAGGCAUAACAAAACUAUACUGUCUAGACAAAUUAAAUGGGGCCGGAUAUAACAAACAACAAAUUCGGUAAAUCCCCAUAUGCAUUAGCAAUUUAAAGCAACAACAAUUUUAAACAUUUUAAAUGUUAUUAUCAUGAUGCGGAUGACAUGCAAGUUUUAUGCAAUAUUUAUUAAAAAUUGACAUGAGCAUGAUGAGAGCAUUUGUCAUCGUGGCGGAAACAAAAGGGGUGCCACGGCGACGAUAAUGAAACGGUGCCAUGGCAACGUUCUGGUUCCGACAACUCAUUGAGACGCCGGUGCAACAGAAAGUGUGGCGGGAGAAUGCAAAAGAUGGUGGGGUGAUCCCGGUUACCGGGUGUCCCAUGAGUCGAUGGCAAGGAAGCGAGAGACACUACGGACACGGUGCAGACAAAGGGUACAUGCCAUACAACACAACAAUCAUUCUUGGAAGGUCAUCUCGGCGGUUAUACCUUUGUAGCGUGCAUUAUCGGAGCGGUUCGCGUUCGAUGCGGUGUAGGGGAAGUAGAUGUUCUCGGGAUGUCCAUAGUGGAAUUAGUGGUACUAUUGGCCAUCGAUGAUCAAUGGGACGGUAGUGGAAGUAGAGGUACACGACGUCUUGUCCAAAAUCAUGGCGGUAGUAGUUGUACCCCUGUUGUCAUCGAACUUGAUGGAACCAAUGUCCUCGAGGGUAGUCGUGGGAAGUAGUCGUACUCGCGAACUUAUCGGAUCCACGGGGACGGUAGUUGUUCCCGGCGCUUGUGACUCGCGGUACUUCGGGCAACAGUAGUCGUACACGUCCAUAGAUGUUCGGGGUCGCGACAUGGAACUUGACGUCCACGGGGUCUUCGAGGGUCAACGGUAGUGGUACUCGGGUCGUCGGUGACGGUAGUUGUUCUAUGCAUCGGGCAUCAAUGUACUUGUUGUUCUUAGCGAUUCCGAAGACGGCGGUAGUGGUACACUUUCGAAAAGGGACUUGACGCAUCAAAGGUCUUCGGUGCCACGGUACUUGUAGGUCCGGGUCUUGACGUAUCCAAAAUGGUCAUCGGUGGUGGAACUUGGCGCUGUUGUGGUGGACGUUCGGGCACCGUGCGUCGUGGUACUUGGCGUUCUCAUCCUUGUCAAUCCAAAACAACACUAACCCCAAAAGGCCUCUGGUGGGCAGUAGGAAGGACUAGCGGUGCGUGAGCAGCGGCAGGAAGCGGGCACGCUCAAGGGAGAGCAGCAGAGGCCAGUAGCAACAGACGAUGGUGGAUUUGGGCAACAGGCGCGACGACGCUGGGAACCGGGCGGACGCAAGCAGGUCCGGGCGGCGCCAGCAGCAGAGUUCGUCGGAGAGAGCAGCUCGGGCAGGAGUUCGUCAGCACGGGGAGGAGGCUGGCCGAGGCCAUGGACGCAGCAGCAGGGCGACGCCGGACAUUGAACGGCGAGGGUGAGGGGGGUCCAGCGGAGCUCGGGCUCCCGGCUAGAAGGACGAACGGGGAGGAGGAGAUCCGGCGCGGGCACGGGGUUCUUGAAGGUCGAGGUCGCCGAGUAGCCGCGGAGGUGGACUUGGCGCUUGCUCCAGCGAAAAGACGGACGACGAGGCGUCUGAGGCAGGGAAGGAGCACGGGCGACGCGCUUGGGGGCCGGCACGGUGGUCUCCAUGGUCGUGCGGUCCACGAGAAGGUACAUGGCAGCGCCCCUCGCCGGAGGCAGGGAGGCAGCAGUGAUCCGGCGAGGCGGUGCAGUAGAGGUAGGCAAGGGGACGCAAGCUCCUAGCACUAGCUACGGGGAGCUGUGCGGGUGUGUGUGUGUGCGCGGCGGCGGUGAGGGAACGAGAGGAGAAGCGGGGAUCGAGGCUAGGGAGCGGCGGUAGCGGGAGGACGCGAGGGAGCGAUGGGAGAGGGAGAGAGCGAUGCGAGAGAGGCCGAGGCCUAGGGUUAGGGCAUGCGGGCUGGGCCUGCUGGAGCACAGCUGGGCCUAGCAGGCCGGCCCAGUGGGGAGGGUGCCGGCUGAAGGGCUUGCGGGGUUGGGCUCUGUCUCUCUCUCUCUUAACCCCUCUUCUAUUGCCCAAAAAAAGAAAAAAAACAACAAAGGAAAGAAAAAGAAAAGAAGGGCGGAGACAGGAUUUGGGCACGGGGAUAAUUUUCCCGAACUCAUAAAAAUAUGCUUGUUCCGAGAAAAUAGAAAAGGUGAAGAUUGAAAGAUGUAACAUUCAAACUCGUUUGAAUUUAAUUCCAACGGGUUUGAACUAGGACCAGAUUUAAGAGUGGCCAAAAUAUUGAGAUUUUUGAUGGAGCUCCGAAAAUUGAAGAAAGAGUUUAUGGGCAAAGUUUGAGGACCAAACUUGAAGCGGAAAAAGGCAUGUGAUUAUUUGCAAGUGUGUUAAAGGUAAUUCCAAAAAAAUGGAAUAAUUUUAUUAUAGCUCCCUAAUAGUAUUGAGAGGCUUUAAUAUGUUAUAAAGAGAAAUCACAAGUGAAUUCCCUCGAUUUAAAUGGAUCGAAGACCCAUACAGUUUAUUUAGUUGAGUUAAGAAAAAGAAAUGGCAUGAUGGCAUGAUGACAUGAUGCAAUGCACACGAUGCAAAGAUAAAUGCAAUGAACCAAACAAAUCACACGACGGAACCCGUAAUCCCUGGAAGGCAUCUGAAGCUCCGGUCUUGGGGCGUCACAACACUCCACCACUACGAGAGGAUCCCGUCCCGAGAUCUAGGAUGGCACCGGAGAGAAAAGGAGGGGAAGAUAAGAGGUAAAACUAAGUUGCUUCUUUGACAAACGAGUGAAACCACGAACCUUGGGAGGUUGAGCAAAUUGAAAGAAAGAAUACAACGAAGAUGAACAAAGUUGAAAACAAUCCGUUAGAAAAGAGGAACAAGGAACAUUACGGGAACCUUGUAGGUUGGCAGACAUAAGAAAAGGGUUUCAAUGGACAAGAAGUACAUGCAAACACUCCCGUUGAAACAAGAUGUACAAGGAACGAUAAAGAUCAAUUAUGACAACACUCCGGUUGGAAAUGGAAGGUAAAGACUAUGAACUUGGCAAAAAUGAAAGCACUUAGAUGAGACUUUGGUUAGAAGAGGAAUGAUAGCCACAACACUCCAGUUAAAACAAAAUAGAGAAGGAAUAAGGAUGAUAUAAUUUGGACAUCACUCCGACUGUAAAUGGAAGGAAUUGAAGACGAGCUUGAAAAGAUGAGAAGAUACUUGACGAAAUCCACAACACACUGCCUCCGGAACUAUUUAAAGAAAGGCACAAUGGGUAAGAAAGAUUUCAGACAGCACUCCGUUUGAGAAGGAAGGCAAAACUUGAUAAGAUGAGAGAACUUGGAAAGAUGGCACGCCACUCCGGUUAAAUGGAUAAGCAUGAAAAGAACAUGGUCCUAACAAUCCGAGAUGAUGAGUGAAGAGAGCAACAUCACAAUGCCUCCGGAACGAAUGAAUGGAAACCUAGAUGGUUGGAAAGAAAAGAACGGAAAAGAAGAAUGACAACUCUCGCAAAUAAAAUUCAAAGAGCAUGUUUACAAAGAAAAGGUUGAACGGAGUUGUUGGAUUAUCAACAACGAAAAGAGUAAGCUUGAAGUGGGCUUAUGGAAAACAUCCCAAAAUUAUGAGGUGAAAUUCUUCCACUAACGAAACAAUAGAUUGGUUGAUAUCAACAAGGAGACGAUAAACUUAUUCACCGGGAGGAUAAAUGAAGAACUUGGGUCAUUUAUGAGCACCAUAAAUAGCAACAAUCCUUAGGGAAGGCUUUAGGUGAAACAUGGCACAAGAUAACUCCAACGAAGAGGUUGAUUGGUUGAAAAGAUGUCUUGAGCGAAGAGAAAAUGAUGGAUUUAGAUAUGUCACUCUUGAAAAACUUGUGAAUCGUGAAACAUGAAGGGAAAAUUAUCAAUAAUGACAUAACACCACCUCAAAAGAUAAGAUAGAACGAAGAGGACUUUGGGAUGCAAGAUGCAGAAUGCUUGAACUCCUCUGAAAAGAAUCUCAAUGAACACUUCGAGAAGAAAUAGAAUCCUUGAUCAACCAUCAUGUAGAGCCUCCAUGAAGAACUCCGGUAAGAAAAUAAUGAACAAACGAAAGGAAAGAGAAGUUGAAAACACAAGGUGAAGAUUUGCAAUGAUUAGAUGGAUCUUCGUGAUGAUAUAAUGCGAAAAACAUGGAACUCCGGAAAAGAAAAGAUAAAGAAUCUCGAACCGAGAAUGUGAUAUGAUGAACCACUCCGGAAAGCAGAAAUUGGAUUUACUCGAUGAAACAAGAAUAAGAAUUACAUUAUGCUUAUCCUUCAUCAAUUUAGAUUGAUGACAAGUAUGGAUUUGGCAUACUACUUAUUCUCGUUGAAAGGAUUAAGAGAGAUAUGGCGCAAACUAGAGAAGAUCUUCAAUGAACCACCGGUAGGAUUGAAACAACGAAUAAAUUGAUAUGAUAAACGAAGGAAGAAGAAUCUUGGAAGAACCAUCGUAAGAAUUAAAAAUGAAAGAAGAUACUUGAGAAGAAUUUAGAUACAAGUGAAACGAAGAGAUCAUGAACUGAUUAGAGGACAUUUGAAUGAUGCACCGGUAUGAUUUGGAGAACGAGAGCUGAAAGCUGAGAAUGAAUAAUCUUGCAAUGAUGGUCUUCGGAGAAUCAAACUGAAAAGACUCUUGAGUUGCUACGGAUGGUUGAAAAGAAUUCUCACAAUCGGAAAAAAUUAUGAGCGGAUGACAUCAAGCUAGAACCGCGAAUCUUGAGAUAACGAAUAAGAUUGCAGAGAAAAACUCUUCUUCGGUCUUCACAUGUUGAGAAUGAUGACGAGAAACACUACCAAGAAUUUUUAGACACUCCGGGAGAAUCAAAAGCGAAGAGGUUGAGCCAACGAUGAAAAGAAUUUGACAGAUCUUGGAGAAAGGCAUUUGACUGAUGAAAAUUCAUUCUUACGUCAAACUUUGAAAUGAAUUCGAGAAUAGCUCCGAGAAAAAAUUAGAAGAGUCAGGUAAGAUCCUGGGAAAAGACCUGUGGGUUAGGGCCCACUCAAAAGAAACACCGUUGAAGGAUUUAAAAGAUAUAUUGCAUCGGUUGAAUUAAAUGGCUUGAAUGAGAUAACAUCCUCAAAAUAGCUUGAACGGAUACAAAGUGGAAACACGAAUCUUCGAGAUAUCUUCAGCACUCCGGAAAAAUUGAAUAGCGAGGAGUGGAUGAUUAAGAGGUGCACCGGCAUGGGAAAGCAUUUGAAACAAAGAAAGGAUAUGAUCAACCAAGCUUGACUUGAAUCCACCGGGGAAGAAAAGAACGAAAAUGAUGAACUUGAAGCUCCGUUACAAUCUUCAAGAGAAUCACCGGAUACGAACAUUGAUUGAAAAGAAUGGAGAGACUUCAUAUGAGUAAAAUGAUACUUGAUUAAGAAAUCUGAGUCCUUGAAGAAAAAGGGGUGGCUGGGCGGGAAAACAAAGACAACUUGGGACAAAUGAAACAAACACCAUUGAGAAAGCUUUGAGUUGAACUUGCGGAUGUUGGAAUGAUCGGAUCCACUUGACGAGAAGCACACCGGUUGAAAAGGAUUGACAUGACAAUCUCGAUUAUUAGGAAGGAUUAGUAUUCACAUAGGAAUAUGAGAACACCACUAAGGAAAAGGCAUGGAAUCAACACUUGACAUUGAAGCAACUCGAAUACCACAACUGAAAACAAAACAAAGGAUUGGCUUGCAGAAUAAGCUGGAACAAACAUAUGAUAGAGAUUUCGUCUGAAGUUUUCGUGGUGGGGCCCACACGGGCUCGAUCGUACAGCACCAUCAUGUACAAGGCAGUGCACAUGACAUACGAAGCGUCCCCGAGUCAGCAUAGCCAAGGACUCUUUAAGACACAACGAGACCACUGUAAAACCAACUGUGGAUAGGCGGACCACUAGACGUCGAACCCCAAUCUCAUAUCAUGCAUCUGUCGGAAAGAUAUCCUAGGAGCUACUUGAAUUCCCACUUAUAAACUCCUGAAACUUUCUGGUUAUGCAAUCAGAUGUUGGGGAUACAGGGGAAGCAUAAUAUCUCACCCAAAACUAGCAAAUCCUACAUCCAGCUGUAUCCAUCCUUCAACACAUAACCAAGAAACCUUCGGAAACCAUUUACCUCAACCUUCAAAAAGCAUCCGUUAUACGAGUUAUGGCAAUACUCCCAAACUCCCGCCCCAGUACUGGGUGGCGUCGAGGUUAUCUCACCAACAACUACAUAAAAGAGAUUUUCGAUGUCGGCGAAACUCAGGUAUUCCAGAACUGCAAGAUAAAAUUGUGACGACAACACCUCGGAGCUUAACUCCACGGGACACCGCCACAACCUCUAAAUGUCAGGAGCCACCAAGAACAAUGUUCUCGUCAGAAAACCAUCGGAACGAUUCCAAGAUACCCGCGUGAUCCUAAAAAAAAUCGUGAAAUUUUAGGAGAGAAGAGUCAAAACUCUACGUCAAGAGGCCUCACCAGAGCGAUGAAGGGACUGAAGAGUAAAAAGAAUCCUACUCUCCGAUAUAUAUAAUCCUAUAAGACUCAAAACAUUUUUCUAGACUCAACAACGCCAGUGAUUCGAUCAAGCAGGGGGCUCCUAAGUCGGGGAAUGCUCUCAAAAAGGAGUUCACUCCUUUGUGGAUGUACUUCAUUAGCUUUUGCCCCGCGGUUCACUUGCCCUCGUCACUGCGGUCCACUCUCGUUUAUAAAAAAUGUUGAAAAAAAGACAACAAAAACUCGUUUGAGAAAAAAUUACAUUCGACAAAAUAAAUCAUGUUCACUUGACCGUCUGAUGAAGUGCGGUUUCUAGUCUGAAGUAGUGCGUUCUUCUGUCUAAUGAAGUGCACACGUCGAUUUUAGUGCUUGUUUGAGAUAAAAAUUUCGUCUGAGAAAAGAAACCAUGAAGUUUACUUGACCGUCUGAUGCAGUGUGGUUUUUAGUCUGAAGCAGUGCGUUCUUCUGCCUGAUGAAGUGCACACGUCGAUUUUAGUGCUUGUUUGGGAAAAACAUUGUUUGAGAAAAGAAACCAUGAAGUUCACUUGACCGUCUGAUGAAGUGCGGUUUUUAGUCUAAAAGCAGUGCGGUUUUCUGUCUGAUGCGGUACAUACGAUGAUUUGAUGUCAUGAAAAAACAGUCUCCGCAUUUUGUUAAAAUAAAAAUUGCUCUUAAACCGCAAAGAAUCAGAGAGAGUGCUCUACAUGAAAAAGUUGCGUCUCAUUGAUAUCUUUCCAACGGCGCAUAAUUUGAAUUAUUUUGACAAGCGGUUUGUAAAAAUUUCGCGAAAAGCGGCCGCUGCCUCUCGUCGUCAGUCGCACGAUUUUCAAAAUUAACUAAAAACUCUAAGGAAUCUCAAAACCAUUUCAACAUAUGAAAGUUGCGCCUCGUCCGUAGCUUUCCAGCGGCGUAUCACACAUCUCGUUCUGACAAUUAGUUCAAAAACUGGAGCGAAAACAAUACACAAAUUGCAAAAAAAUCAAAAAAACAUAAUUCCGCGAUUUACUAAAUUUAAAACUGCUCUUAAACCGUAACAAAUUAGAGAAAAUAAUAGAUAUGAAAAAUAUGCACCUCGAUGAUAUCUUUCCAACAGCGUAUCAUUUGCUUCAUUCCGACAAGGGGUUUAGGAAAAAUCACGAAAUUACGCAUGCUGCCGCUCGUCGUCCGCCGCACCAUUUUUGAAACUGCUCUUAAACCGCGAGGAAUCUCGAAAAGUGUUCAACAUGGCGAAGUUGGGCCUAAUCCAUAGCUUUCCAACAGUAUAUUAUACGCCUCGUUUUGAUAAACGUUUAAAAAACUAGAGCGAAAUCAGUACCGGAAAAACACUGCGUGCAGUUUUUUUCCGACAAGAAAUUCACUAAUCUGUAUUGCAGUGCCCUUGCUACAGAAAAUACAGCACUGCAUUUUAUAUAGCAAGGGAACAUCUAGGCUAUUCUGUUUCGCGUAACAGAAUAUUAUUAUGUUACCCUACUUGAACUGACGGUUUCAGGCGGCUGUACUGAUGAUUUUCAUCACGUCGAAAUGAUCAUCUUUUCGUCGAAAUGGGGCGUGUAAUAUAUCAUUGGAAAGCUCUUGACAUGUACAUUACAAAUAUACUAGAUUUUUUUUGUAAAAUCAUCAUGGUUUAAGAGCAGUUUAAAAAAACAUUUUUUCAAAACCGAAAACGUGAAUCGUAUUUUGGACUUAAUUUUCAAACAGUUUGUAGGAAUUGAGCAAAUAAGACGGCGUUAGAUAGAUGGUGAAAAUCUGCUUCUUCCAUAUAUCUAACGUUUUUUCAAAUUCGGUAUGAUUGAAAAGUAAUUUGGAAAAUGGUGAAAUUCUGGGCGAAACGUAUUUUCGCAUUUUUUGCAAAUGGUUUGUUGGAUCGACGCAAAUGAUACGGUGUUGGAAAGCUAUGGAAAAUGCGCAACUUUUUCGUAUAGAAAUGUUUUUAUAGUUCCUUACGGUUUAAACUCGAAUUCAAAUACGGUCAAAUUUGAUUUCGAACGCGGUUUUUUUUAAAAAGUUUGUCGAAAUGGGGCAAAUAAUAUACCAUUGGAUAGCUAUUGAAAAUGCAAAACUUAAUCAUGUUGAACGUUUUCUCUACUUCGCAACCGUUUAAGAGUAAUUUUGAAUAAGGUGAAACUUAUUGUGUUGUUUUUCUGUCUAAAAAAUAGAGUAUUCGUACUGAUCUAUGUCUGUGUUUGUACUAAGGUAUUUUUCACAGAGUAAUGUUGAAUGGUUCUGAAAGAGUACUCGAACUUAUGUGCGUCUUGGUUUGUACUAAGCAUGCUUUCACAUACUAGAUUUUACUCUAUUUUCGAUAUGGUUUUCCUCGUAACUUUUCAACGGUUUACGAUCUUAUGGGACAGUUUUCCUCGUAACUUCUCAACGGUUUACGAUCUCAUAGUCCCCGAACUUGCAUGGUUUAUAUCGUUGAACUGAAUGAUAUAUUUUUUAAAUUUUUUUUAGCUCAGUAGUUUUUGCAACGAUGUUUUGGACUUCUCUCGUUUUGCGACUUGAACUUUUACCAUUUGAAUUUUCAUUGGGUUUGUUUUCGUUUGAGCUUUUUUCCCAAACUUAUCUGGGACGUUGUGUUGAACUUAUAACUUUUUAAAUUGUGAACUUGUUAUGUUUUUACAAUACCAAAGCUAGUAAAUAGUAGGAGAUUCACCCAACAAAGGGGCUAAUUACAUAAAGCAGGCACAGUAAUACCGCGGUCAAAUCGGUAGCUAGCAGCAACAGCAGUGAUUACCAACACGUACACAUGAACUGGUAACAAACUUGCACACAAUCUGACUAACAAAAAGAACACAAUACACAUGAACUGAUAAUCCGCACGGCUAAUGGCAGAGCUUUGUUGCACCUAGGUCCACCCGUUUACUGAUAGUAGAACUUCUCAGUUGUAUUAAUUCAGUCUGAUGUUUAAAUUUUCACCAUUUUGUCCUACAUAUUAGAAUACUAAGAACAUAUAUUUACUGAAGAUCCUACCAAUACAGAGUUACAGAAUAAAUUCUUUGUCCAAUGACAAUGUAAGAGUCACGGCCAGUAAUCACAAACAACACUAUCUCGACCGCCGGGCAUGUGUGUGCGGCAAGGGGAUGCAGAUACUCCGAUGAUAGAUGUGUUGAGACAACAAGUUCAUGCAGGAGACCUUGAACUACUCGCCUGUUGCCAUUGAUGGCUAUGGAUCAUGCAAAAUCCUGACCAAAAGAUCACAUUAUUUUCACGAAACUAAUCUCUUGAACUUGCUCCACGACAAUCUUUGAACCUCCUACAAGAACAAUCAUUAUUUUAAAGUUCACAUGAAUACCUACAAGCUAUGAUCACAAACAUUCACAAAACAUUCUUUUAAAGAGUUAUGCCGCAUUAAUUAGAACCAGAAAAAUAGGGUGAAACUAUGGCAUCUACACUACACAUCAUCUAGACUGUAGCAACAACUGUUUUGCAUGAUCAUUGGCAUUUGGAGUAGCAUACAACAACUGGACGGAGAAGGGAGAAAGAGUUGGACUGGUGUGAACCCUGUACCUAGACAGGGACCGGAGGAAGUAAUGCAUGGGGCGGCGGGGGCUGUCUGUAGUCCAACCUCCCCUGUGCCGCAGUUCAGAGAGAAACAAAUUAGUAAGAGAAAAGAGCAGUAGAGAGGAAAGAGAUACGGCAGAUGCAUUGACUACUGCUGUUCUUUUUGUUGAAGGGCAGAUGAAGAAACUCCCGUAGGUCGCAGCUGAAGAAUUACAGUGGCUUCAUAACAAGUUUAACAACACAACAUUUUGGCAGCAAGUACGUGCAG